This 132191-nucleotide long non-coding RNA is filed under the name Cucumis sativus (cucumber). RNAcentral describes it as "long non-coding RNA (CSAT_LNC002698)". The stretch from base 27056 to 27127 matches the Rfam family "tRNA". The record is from RNAcentral. Lineage: Eukaryota; Viridiplantae; Streptophyta; Magnoliopsida; Cucurbitales; Cucurbitaceae.
AAAAAAAAACAAAACACGAACUCUAACCAACAAAAAUAGAAAAACCAACCUUAACCCUUGAUCCUUGUAGUCCAUCGAGAGGUUCAGCACUGGACAUGAUCGAGAACAUUCGGUUCCCCAGCCACAGGUUUGGCCAUCGACAAAGAUUUUCAGAGGGAAAUGAAAUUUUUGGAAAUGGGUAGUGAACAAAAAUAAGGCUGAAAUGAUUUUGUUUGGAGAGUGGGGAAAAUUCUGGCGAGUGAGGAGAAAAGGGAAUACAUAGGGUUCGGUUUACAGGGAUUUUUCUUAAUGGUUGUUGGAAGAACAAAGAGAUGUGAUGAGGUAAAUGUAAUAUUAUAUCUUGUAACCAUUGUCAACUUAAAUAUGCUUUUGACUAUAACAAGUGGGUUUGCUGAAAUUGAAUGAUCAAUCCCACGAAAACUCUGAAACCGGGGGAUCUCGGCGCGCGUUUUACUUGAUCUAAGCGGCUGGCUUGGCUCCCUCUUUUUUUUCUCUCUCUCUCUUUACCGGCUGCCAUGUUUGGUGAAGAAAUCUAAGGACCUACUAGGCGGGAUCGGGUUUUGCUUAGGCAAUAAAAGCGGCGAGGAUCCCCACGAAAACUCUGAAACCGGGGGAUCUCGGCACGCAUUUUACUUGACCUAAGCGGCUGGCUUGGCUCCCUCUUUUUUUUCUCGCUCCCUCUCUACCGGCUGCCAUGCUGGGGAAUUCUAGUGACCCACUAGGCGGGGGUCGGGUUUUGCAACCCUUAGCAGCUUGGUCGUAUUGUUUUGUUUUUAUCGGCUGUUAUGUUGGGUGAAGAACUCUAAGAACUUGCCGACUUUGCUUUCUACCUGACCUAACAAUCAUAUUUUGCUUUCAAACAAUCUUAUACAAAUGUGUAUGGCCAAAAGAGGGAUUUAAAAUUAAUAUAAAAAAGGCAUUAGAAUAUGGCAAAAAAGGGGAUUAAAAUUGAGAUAAAAAGAGAACCGCACAUAUUAUUAUGUACAUAAUUCACAAUAUUCAGAAAAUGAACCAAGUGUUCUACUCAUUUCUAAGCUAUCAAUAUAUGCAUUUUCAACAUAUGUAACAUAUUCAAAUAAAAAAUACAAUCACAAAUCCGAGCUCCGUUCUCAUGCGUUAGGCAUACAUGCUUUUUUAUGCUAAAAAGCGAAGUAGACAUGGUACUUAUUCUAAGCAUAGAGCAUUGCAAAAGUUUCUAAAUUUUGACAUUUUUAGCAAAAUUUGCAAAAUGAAAAUUUCCCAAAGGACAUGGAAUGUGCAAGGCUACAACCCCACCCCCCACUUAAAAAUAUGCAUUGUCCUCAAAGCAUUUUAAGCAAGAUUCUACGGAUGGAAAAAAAAAAAAAAAAAAGGAGAACAGAAGACCUCCCCUUGUAACCUAGUUUCUUCAUGGAAGCUUGCUUGCAAAGAUCCCAAGUUUGGUUAUAUUUCAUUUUCCUUUAUUCCUACAAAAAGAAAACAAGAAUUUCCAUCGAAUUUUAUUAAAAAGGUUAAACUAAAAAUUUUAGAAAAAUGUGCAGAAUUGUUUAAGCUCGGUUGCAUUUUCUAAGCAUCACUUGAAUUAUUAAAACGACCUAACAAAUAUUCAAUACAAGUUCGUAAUUCAUAACCUACCAAAAAGUUCAAAAAGAUUGUUGUUGGUGUUCCACCAAACCUUUUGUAAAUUACAUACAUCAAUAGGAAAGAAGCAAGAUGCCCAGUUUUUUUGAAUGCUGUUGUUUUUCUUUCUUUUUUUUUCUUUAACUUGCUGUAAAUUGGAGAUGUUUUCCAUAACUACUUUGGCUUAUGUAAUUUACCUUCUCCCUAAAUGCAACCAUAAAUCAAACAAAGUAGAUGAAUAAAUUUACACCACAGAAAUCCAUCCUAUGAAGACUAGAGCGGAGAAAGAUGGGAUAAGGAUAAAGCAUAGGAAGAGCAAAUAUCCGAUGGGAAGUAAACUGAUAAAAAAUACUUUGUGUUGAGAGUAAUAUAUCCACCGAACCAAUUUUCUGGCAGCCAUUAAGAUUUACCCACUGCAACUCUGCACACAAAUAUUUUCUUAUAAACAAUAAUUAACACAAUCUAAUUGGUAUCUUAUUGAUAUAAAAGACAGCAUGGAUCCAUAUUGGAAGGAUUUCAAAUUAGUCUACGAACAAAGAAUUUGGAAGAAUUUCAAAUUAGUCUACGAACAAAGAAUUUGGAAGGAUUUCAAAUUAGUCUACGAAUAAAGAAUUUGGAAGGAUUUCAAAUUAGUCUACGAACAAAGAAUUUGGAAGGAUUUGUGAUCAACUAAGGAGCUCUCGACUUUCUCCGCUGGAAUUUACCUUCCUUGGGUACUUAUCGACCAGAGACUGGAAGUAGUUGUGCUCUUCGUCCACAGUAGUCAUCCAAAGAGCAAGGGAAAGACCACGACGCGCAGUGGAAUAGGAAAAAGAGCGUCGAGCACAGCUUUCGUGUCACCAGCAAUCGCUUUUCCUUUAUUGGUAGACCGAAAAGGCUUUGUCAAGCAGGCAGGCAUGAUUGUCACUCGAUCGACAGUUGAGAAAUCCAGCGCUGUUAGGGCUAGGAGAAGAAGAUGGCCGUGAAUCGCGAUUUUGAGGAAGACGAAGAAGAUAAGAGAAGGGGAGAGGACGAGAAAGUAGAGAGAAAGAGCCGUUAGAGAAGAAGUAGGGGAAGAAAUUCAUUUUAUUUAAAAUUCAAUUGCAUUAUUUAUUUAUUUAUUUAAUUUCUUUUUUUUAUUUAUUUAAUUUAAAUAAUAUACAUAAAUUUGCAAAUUGGAAUAUAUAGUUAUAUUACUUAUUAUAGAAUAUCAAAUGAAAAUAGUGAUUAGAAGAAAUGUCUAAAAUAAACAAAAAUAAUAAAUAUUCAAAAAAAAAAAUCUUUAAAAUCUGGGGAUAGGGAUCAACAAGUUAUUGAAAAUUUUUUCCUCGCCAAGUAGAAUUGCUUUAUCAACGAUUCGAUGAAUGUAUCUAUGUUCAAUUCGUGUGUGUACAUGUAUGAAUCAAGUUCAUUUCGUUAGGAUGAGGCUCAUCAAUUUAAUUAGGGAUCGGUCUUAUGAUGAAACAAUUCAUUGCAUUGAUAAAUCCAAUAUAAAAAACCAUUUUACCUAUACUCAUUAGAUAAAUCCAGUUCCUCAAUGAGCGACUAUGUGGAUAAGAUAUAUUUAUGUACAUAUCUUAUUAUUUAUAAUUUAUAAGAAUUAUAUACACUAGACUCAUCGUGGCUAGUGGCUUACUCAGAAAUUGAAUCAAAUAGGCCUUUUUAACUUAGUGGUAGAGUAACGUCAUGGUAAGGCGUAAGUCAUCGGUUCAAAUCCAAUAAGGGGCUUUGGCUUUUUUCAUAAAACUCCAGCCGUAGUAUUCAUAUUUGAUUGAGGGAAACGUGAGUGAGAGAGAAGGGGAGAUGAGGGAAAAACUAUAAAGGAUUUAGUGAAGAAAAACCCAUUUAAAAUAUAUUUGAAUUAUUUGUGAUAAAGCUCAUUUAAAACCCAAAACAAUUUCUUUAUAACUAAAACAAAUAUUUUGUUUUUAAAAUUUAGACUAAAAAAAUCAAAUUUUACUGCAAAAACUGAGAUAAAAUUGUCAAGAAAAAAAAAAAAUAUAUUUUGUUUUUCAAAUAAUUAUAAUCCAUAAUUUUCAAGAAAUGUGAAAUUUCAUUUAAUAAGAUAAAAAAAAUUGUGAACAUUAGUUUCCAACUUUGGCAAUGGAUGAAAGUAUUAGAAAUUGAAAAUAAUUGUUAGACAUGCAUGUUAGCCGUCACCACAAACCAAUCCAAUUUUUCAUUCAAAAAUGUUGAAUUUAUAAUUAAUGGUUCUCGAAACAUUCAUACAAUUUUUUUUUUAAUUUAACUUACUUAAUUUGAGUUUUCUUACGAUGUUCAUGUCGAUAUUAUACGAAAAAUUGUCUUAAAUGAUAAAAUUGCUGAAGAUAUUCACAAAUAUAACAAAGUUUUACCGUCUGUUAGUUAGUGAUAGAACAUGUACUAGUGGUCUAUCAAUUAUCCUCUAUGGUUUUAGUUUAGUGGUUAUUUAUCAAGCUCUUAAUAAAUUAAAUAGUGAUUUAACAAAUAUAAUGUAAAAGAAUAUUCCAAGAAUAACCUUGGAGUAUCACUUGAAUUUUCAAAACGACCUAACAAUGCUAAACUAUAAGCUCAUAACUCAUAACCUAUCAAAAAAAGUACAGAUAAAACAAAAAAACUAUUUAAAUCUUGAAAAAUGAAAUAUGAGAAAAAAAAUGAAAAGAGAAGAAAUAAAUUUUAAAGUAUAUGUAAAUUUUAGAUAUUAAGUAAAAAAGAGAAUAUGUAAGUUGAAUUUUAAUCGGUAAGAAUAUGGAUGUCUAGAAACAAAUUUUUAAUUUUUUAAAAGUUGAUUUAUAAUCAUUUGAUUUCUUUAAAUUCAACAACAUAAACAUAAAAUGAUUUGAUUUUGAAUUUAUCACACCUUACAAAUAUUUUUCAAAUUUCAAAUCAAGAGAUACUAAGUUUGUUGACCUUACCCACUUGAUUGCCAUUUUGAGACUUGUUUAAGACUAAGUUUGUUUCACUUGCAUACUUGGUUGUCAUUUUAGGUCUCAAAGUGCAUUUUGCAUUUUGAACUUUUUUUUUUAAUGGGCUUUAUCAAAAAUAAUUCAAAUGGAAUUGGCAGAUGGCUGAGGGCCUUCGUGAAACGUGGGAGAGAAGCGAUAAGAAUAUGGAUGUCUUAAUGGUCAUAGAAAUUUAUUAUGCUUGGUUUUUGCUUGAAAUUUUUUCUAUUAUUUACUUUAUUGAACACACACGAGCACCCGUACAUCUGGAUUUGUAAGAAUAUGUAUCAUUAUAAGGUUUCCAUCCAUCUUUCUUAUGCCAUCGAUGAAGUUUUCGCUUAGAUCUUUAUCUUAGUUCGGCCUCUUUAAAAUGUUACUCCAUACAAGGAAGAUCGAAAGUUGUGAUUACCAAGUGUAGAUUUGUAUUGUAUAGUUGCCUUAGUUAUUUUUUUAAUUAUUCUUUUUAGACGUUAUUUUCUUUUAUAAUUAGUUCUCUUUAGUUAGAAUUUCUAUUAAAUUAUACUUACCUAUUAUCAAAUCCUUUUUCCGUAAUAAGAGAAAAUGGAGUUUUUCUCAAAUAACAAAAAGUGAUUAUUUAAGAUAGUAUGCUAAAGGGAACACAUCCAACUACCAUGUUCAGAAUAUUACCUUUGCCGAUUGAAAGUCUUGGAUUCUUGGUCAACUUUGAACGCAAAUUUUUCUUAGUUGAUUAAUAAAUAUCAGGGUAAAAAGAUCUUAUAUUGUAAUAUUGUUUUGCUUCACUUGCAUCAUACACUAAAACACAAGAUUAAAAAAAAAUAUUAUAUUUAGACUUUUGUAUGGUAGAUUAGGUGUUCUCUUUGAAUUGGUGGUUGGUAUUGGCUUUCUAAUUAUGAUAUGAUUUUGGGAACCUUUGAAUUAUGUUCUUCAAACCUUCUCUCUUCGAUUGAAGCUUAUUAUAUUUUAUCGUUGUUAGUAUGUUUUUUUUCUCUCCAUUUUUUCCCUUCUAAUAUUUUUAUUUGAUAUAUAAUGUGCAUAAAAGAGAAAGUAGUUAAUGUGUUUUACAUUGUUGUGUUGUGCAAAGUUGGUGCACUUGGUUCAAAUAUUUAAGAUUUGGUGAAGCACUUGGAAUAGUCUAAGUUCAAACUUUUAAUCUGUAGGAUAAUUUACUUUAUAAGAAUCACACAUUUACCUUUUUUUUUUUUUUUUUGAAAUAGGAAAGGAGCCUCUUCAUUAAGCUGAAAAUGAGUAGACAAGACAAAAGAUAAUACAAAGAAGCCCUAGGAUCAGCUAGUGCACUCGGACAUCUCAUCUAGGUUGACACCCACUUAGCGUUCUCACCAUAUCGAGACUUAAACCAAAAGACUAAACCAACGACAAGGUUUAGAAUAGAUCAUACAAACUGCCCAAUAACUAUACAACAUAGAUUUAAGACCACUAGAAAUCCAAAAGAAAUAAAAUAAGAGUACAGUAGUGGACUAAGAAUUAAAAAUGAAAGUCGGCAGUUAUGACUUAUAUCUUGUAUGGAGAAAUCUUUGAUGUCUUUUGAAAGAGAGCAUCAAGUAGAAGCAUUGAUUCUAGCCAUUUCGACUCGAGUUGUCCAAGAGAAAGCUUUAUUUUGAAAUGUUAGUUGAUUAUGUUCAAACCAAAUUUCUGGUAAAAUGGCCUUUACUGCAUUUAACCAAAUCAAUCUUGGUUUCUUCUUGAGAAUGGGACAUGAAAUAAGCUGGACCGCGUUCUCCUAAAUCUAUAGUCGAAAAUCCAAUUCAAAUGAAGAUAGCCAAGUAAGCCAAAACCAACACUUCUUUGCAUGUAGGCAGGAGAAGAAAAUAUGAUGUAAAUCUUCUAAAGCAUGCAAACACAAGGGACAAACAUGAGGAGAUAAACUGAGAAAGGGAGGUUUCAUUUGCAAAACUUCUGCACAGUUCAUAGUCCAUUUCGCAUUCUCCAAAGCGUGAUAUUCACUCUUCUAGGGCUUUCUGUCUUCCAAAUUGUCGAGUACUUUGUUUUCAAGACUGUGUUAGAACUGAGAUGUUUGGCUGAUUAAUAAAUUAGUAGAACACACUAUUUGGUGUUCUAUCAUUUUGGUAUCGGAGAAAUCGAAUCUGUGAAGUUCUAUAUCAUGGCUCAAAAGCGAAUUGAGGAAAAGUUGGAAAUGGUAGAUCAAGAAAUAUCCGGCAUUCGAGCAGAAUUACAUGAUCUGCCAACAAUCAAGGAAAACGUGUCAUCUUUGGCGAAGAGUAUUGAGAGGUUAGGAGUACAGGCUGAGAAGCAACAACAGCAACCAGAAACACUGUUGAAAUAUAUUGAAGGAAUGAUCAAAGGGAAGACAACGAUGGAAGAAGUACUAGAAGGAUCAUCAAGUGAGUUGACAGCAUGGUUGAUGUCAGUGAUUGGACGAUGAUGGGAGGAAAAUAUGAGGAAAAACAUACCAAGUUGGAGGGUGAAGAUUCUGCGGGCGACCGAAGCAAAUUUAAAAAAAUUGAAAUGCCAGUUUUUGUGGGAAAUGAUCCUGAUUCUUGGUUGUUUAGGGCUGAGAGAUACUUUCAGAUACACAAACUGAGUGAGUCAGAGAAAAUGACUGUGUCCAUUAUUAGUUUUGAUGGAGCAGCUUUGAAUUGGUAUAGAUCUCAUUAUUAGUUUUGAUGGAGCGAGAUAUAUCCUAUUAAAGUUGUCGUGUUACUUAAUCGCAUUAUAACGCAAAGACAUUCCUUUGCUCUUUCUUGCAUACAAGUUAGUUCCCAUUUCUAUUUUGUCAUCCAUAUUCCCUCUUAUAGAAUCUCUAAGCGUAGAUAUCUAGUGGUAGUUUGUUCUUGUAUUUCUUUUAUACCAUUCGUUAUUCUUUAAUUCUUUUAUACUGCCUAGAUAAUAAGUAAUACCUAAAAUUAAUAUCUUGAAUCAAUUCCUUAUGUUCGACCCGGGAUCACCCAAGUAAACCUACCAUUUCACUUGCACUUGGACAAGUAGUAAGAAAACUUGUACUCAAGAGGACUUAGUUGCCACACGAUAUGAAGGUCUAGUGAGCAAUUCACAUGCAGUUAACAUGCUUAGUGAUAUAUCGCCUAGAUUGAGUAUAAUUUUCAUUCACCAUUUACUAACACUAAGUCCUGAUUGUUGAAGAGAAACAACACCUCAAUAACCGGAGCGAUCGACUUCUAUCUUUAGUUAUUCGAUCUUGAACCUUAAUUGCACCGAGAGAUGGCCUGGGAUGAAACAAAUUUACAUUUAUUUUAUUCAGUCUCGAGCAUACAUUGUCCUAAGAUGCUACAUUAUGAAAGACUUCUGCCUUUAGUUAUUCGAUCUCAGGCCUUAAUUGCACUGAAAUGGCUCGGGAUGAAAGAAUUCUGUCUUUAUUCUAUUUAAUCUUGGGCAUACAUUACAUUGAGAUGCUCCGAAAUGAAAUUUUUUUGCCUUUAGUUAUUCGAUCUCGACCUUAAUUGCAUCGAGAUGACCCGUUAUUAAUAAAUCACAAAGAAGAUAUAAAUCGCAAGGACGUCUAUGGAAUUUGUGAAAAAAUAAUCUCGCAUCAUGGACUUUUCUUAUUUUGUUAUACGAACCAUAAAUAUUUUGGAUUUUUCUACAUUUAUGUAAAUUACUCUUAAAUUAAUCUAAUUAAUAUUUAAUUGGAAAUCACCGCCACUUGGAUAUAGGAAUACGGGAGCAUCCCACAUUCUCUAAAUAACACCCACAUAUGGAAGUUAUUAUCUUAAUUUAAAUUAAUGAUCACAAAUAGCAAAAAAGUUAAAACUAUUUACAAAAUAUAGCAAAAAAUUGAAACUAUUUACAAAAAGACUCAAAUGUGCUAUAGAGAAUUUAAUUAUUAUGCUAAUUAGUUUCAAUUUAAUUAGUAUAUUUGAAAAUUCCACUUAAAUUUGAUUAACACUAAAAUAAUUAGUUAAUAUAUAAUAAUUAUUUAAAUCACAUUUAAUUAAUAUUUCAUUUAAAUCACAUUUAAAUGAAUAUCUCUCACAUAACCAAUAGUUUGAAUUUAAUUAAAUAGAAUUAAACUAAAUUAUUAAUUAAUUCUUCAAUUAUUUAAUUUCUAAAUUAAAUAUUUUAUAUUUGAUUUAAUAUAGAUUUGAAUCAUACUCAUAUAUGAAUUUCUCUCAUAACCUAUUGUUUGAAUUUGUAUCAUAUACGUAUUAAAUUUUAAUCUAUAGUUUUAUUACAAAUUUAAUUCAUAUUAAAUUAAUAUUUGAACUCAUUCAAAUAUUUAUUAUUUCAUAAAUUAAUUUUAAAUCAUAUACAAAAUUAAAUUUAUAUAAUAAAGUUCAAUUAAAAGAUAAAUUUUAUAUUAUAAUAUAUCACCAUACAUUAUACUAAUUUUCAAAGUAAAUAUGAACAUUUCAAAUUACAGUCAAUAUGUAAUAACCUUAAUACCCUUUACAUACUAGGAAGGGACCUAAUAAAUUUACAUUUCAAAGUGAAAUCAAUUUAUUUACUUUAGUUGUCGUAUUAUCCUUAAGAGCACCUCAUGCCUCCACAUCAAUAAUCAUUUUAUCUCAUUGCAACAAUCACCCAUAUAAAUAUUGAAUCAACAUAUGGUUCUGUACCUAAUGAUGAAAAACUUGGCACUGAGCCAAGUAUCUCCCCCAAUAAUCGUAAAGUGAUUCAUCCUUUCCUUGUGUGAUGCCAUAGAUUUUCUUCCUCACACUAGUAGCAUAAAAGGUUGAAAAGAACUUUUCCAAAUAUUGUCUCUACAUCUACUCCCAUGAAAUAAUGCAACCGUGAUCAUGUAAUCAGAAUAUGUAGCCACAUGUGGAGAAGGUCCAUGAGCUAUCCAUCUUAAGGAAGGCGUGAUGGAAUUUUUAGGAACUUCGAGAGCGAGGGCAACCUACAAAAUAUAUUGGAUAUGAUUAGUUUAGAUCUAAAAUAAACAUGAAAGUGUAUGGUUCUAGUAAUUACCCGUGUGGACAACCACCGACUGAAUGUUCGAUUAUGCUCUUCUUGAAUCCAUUUUUUACUUCUAUAUUUACUCAGUUAAGCUUACACAAACUCUCCAUAUUUUUUCUGUCAGAAAUAACAAAAUUAUUAGGUAAUUACAUAACCAACUUAUGUAAAAUGAGAAUAGAUGGGAUUUAGAACGUACUCAAUGUAUGGUAGAACUUCGUUUACAUUUUGAAUAACGUAAAGAUGAGCUUGAUCUAACUGCUCCUUAAUCGGUCUGAUAAAAGAAGAAGCUGAUAAUGAUCUAUCCACGUUUGAAUCUGCUUUUAUUACAGAUGAGUUUAGUCCAAUAGUGCUAGCACCCACCAUAAAUUUUGAACAGAACUCUAUAGCCUCUUCAACAAUAUAAUUUUCUACCAUACAUCCUUCUGGUCGAUUUCUGUUUCACACAUAAUUUUUCAAAACUUUCAUGUAUCGUUCAAAAGGAUACAUCCACCUUAGAUGAACAGGUCCACAUAACUCAAUUUCUCUUAUGAGAUGCACAACAAGGUGUACCAUUAUGGUAAAAAAUGAUGGUGGAACAUACUUCUCUAAUAGGCAUAGAGUGACAACAACAUCUUCUUGCAUUCCUUUUAAUUGUGAUGAACCAACUGUCUUCUUACAUAUAGCAUUAAAGAAGAAGCAUAGUCGAACAAUUACAAGUCUUACAUGUUUCAUAAAAUACCAUGAAUUGCCACAAGUAGCAACUGUUGUAUAAGAACAUGAUGGUUUGUACAAGAAUUUCUUCCCCACUCGAUGUCGUUAAAAAAAUAAUUGAUCUCUAAUUGUAUUCACAUCUAAAGUCUUUGCAUUUACGCAUUUUAAACAAGGACAAGUCAUGACGUUCGACAUCUUUGAAUGUUUCAACCCAUUUUUAAUAAACAUCUCAACCCCAAAAGCAUAAUCAGAGGGAGGCGGUGGCUGUCGUGGAUCUGAACGGUGGAAGAACCUCCGGUCGGCGGCUUCGUGAAUCGGAGAUGAAAAGAAAAAGAGGGGUGGGCGGCUGGAAGAUGUGAGGAAGAGGAAGAGAAAAAGAAAGAAAAAGAAAAACGGGGAAGGGACGUGCGAGAGAGAGAGAGAGGAGAGAGAAAGAAAAUCUUUGAUUUUCUUUUCUUUUUUUUUUAUUUCCUUUUUCUUUAUUUAACUUAAUGAUUUAAAAAAAUUAUAACAAUAUUAUUAAAUGUAUAUUAUUAUUAUCUUAACCUUCCAAAUCUCUUUCUCCCUUAACUUCUUUUCUAAAAAAAAGAUAUAUAUACACACAUAUAUAUAAUAAGGUACCCUAGAGUUCGAGAUGUUACAAGUGUAGUCUCCAACAUUAAACCUUUGUCAAAUAAAUUUCCAAACUUGAAAUAAACAAAGAUUACUACUACAUAAACUAAAGUAUAAGAAUUAAUAAGAACAUUUUAAGAUUAGAGAAAUAGAAAUAAAACACAAAUAAUUAUUAUAUGUUUAAAAACAAAAGAUGAACUUACAGUCCCUAUAACACACUUAAUAUAAAUCUAGUCUUCACCCUAUUAACCUCAAUCUCCAUUAACACACUUCUCACUACAUCUCCAUAAGUUCCAAAUCAACACUCUCUAUUUACCAUUACAUUUUCUUACCAAACUAAUCCAGAUACCAAUAUGUUAAUAACACGAAGUCAGUGAAAAAUGUCUCAAAAGUUAAUCCUAAAUUAAAUUGAGGAAAAUAGAGAAGUGAAUAUUACGUUCCAAUUUCCAAACAAUGCUAAACUAAAUCUCUCCCUUUCUCUUAUUUGUAGUUACCUUUUAUAUUUAUCAUUCACUAUUUCAUUUCUUCACUCUCUUUGGUACUUUCCUUCUUUACCUUUAAACCCCAAUCUCCAUUAACCCACUGCCCACUUCCUCUUCAUAUCUUCCAAAUCAACUCUCUAUUUACCAUUACAUUUUCUUACCAAACUAAAUCCACAUACCAAUAUGUUAAUAACAAAAAGCAGACAACAGAAAUUAGAACCUACUAAAGAUUGAUUCAAUGAUCUAUUUUGAUGCCUAAAAAAAAAAGCGUAUGAAAAUUCUUUGAACCUCCAGAAGAAGGCUCGAAAGGGCCUCUGUAGUCCACUCCCUUUCGUCCAAUGUCUGAUGAAGUAAUACCAGAUUGGUAUUCACGGGUUGAGUUGCCCUCUGUCUUGGUCUGCCCUGUGCUAGCCGAAGAUGACGGCUGGGCACGCGAUGGUUGCAAUGGCUGGGCACGGUGGUGGCUAUGGUGGUGGAUUUGAAGAUGAUUGGACACGAGGGACUCUUGCGGCGGAAGCACGACGGCGACUGUGACUGGGAAAGACUUGAAGGAAGAGUUCUGGGCGACUGCGAAUGGUCGAAGAUGAUUGAGCACAACAGAGGCGUUUCUCGAUAGCCAAAGCACAAUGGCGACUGGGAAAGACUUGAAGGAAGAGUUUUAGCCACGACGGCGAUUGGGAUGAAUUAUGGGCACAAAGACGACGAUGAGUUUUAGGUCAUAGAAUGAGAAGAGAAGGGAGAAGGAAAUUCGAAAUCGAGAGAGAAAUUUUUGAUAGGAAUGGGUAAAGUAAGAGAGAGAGGGAAAUUUAAUUUUUACAACUUAAAAAAAUUAAAAAAGAAAUUAAAAAGGGGAAGGGUCUUUAAUGUCAGUUUUCACAUAAUAAAAAAAAAUUAAAAAUUAAAAAUGGAAAUAUCAUUAAUGUCGAUUUAAAACCGACAUUAAUGAUCCGUCUUUUCAGAAAUGACAUUAAAGCCAGAUUUUCAUUUUUUUCACCUGACACUAAAGCCCAUAUUUCUUCUAGUGAAGGAAAGGUUUAGGUUUCACUUUCAGACAUACCAAUUGUAGUCACGCAUCAAUAGUAAGAGCGACAGUUAACCUAUGAGAUAAUUAAACACUAAUUCAACAAACCAUUUAGAAAUUUAAAUCUGAAGGCAUUUCAAUCAAACUUUAGUAACGCUGGGAGAAAACCUAAUUGUAGCCAUUUUCAUUUUUAAAAAAAUUAAACAAACUUUUUUAGUCCAAGCAAAUAAGCUUAUCAAUCUUCAGAUCAAUUCCUCAACUAUAAAAUGUCAAAUUGUAUUGUUUUCUAAGAGUUGCUUAACAAUUUCAUCAUUUUUUUAUGCCUCCAAAAACAAAGAUUUGGCAUCAACUUUAGUGACACCCCUCCCAAACUACCUUCUAUAAGCCUAAAAGACGGGAUGAAGCCAACAAAUAUCGCCCUCCUCUUUCUACUACUACUAACUCAUACAAUGAUACACUGUUGGAAAGGAUUUUUGGAGGUUGGAGGAAAUUUGGAAGAGAGAAUUGAGAUAAGAGGCUACUUGUGUUAUUAGACACUUCUAUUUUUUUGACUUAAUACAAGUCGAAAGGACAUCCUCUUAUUUAUCCUAGUUGUCACUCCUAAAUGAAUGGCUAGGAUUUUGGCAACACAUUCUUUAUUUAACGGUUACAAAUGACUCUCUAGAAUAUUCUUUACAAUUACACUCAUUUCUUAUAUUUUCUAAAUGUAUCUUCAAUCUUCUCUAAAUAUCUCCUACAAUUGAUUUAUCUAGAAUAUUGUAGUAAUUAAUACUUUAUAGAAAUUUGGCUUUUAUUUGGGCUAUGCCUAAAUAUUGUUAACCCAAAAUCAAGUUUAUAUUUCAACAUCCUCUCUUAAACUUGAUUUUGUUACUCCAAGCAGGUCUCUCAAUUUUGUGAAUUCUUUUUUUUAAGAGGCUUAGUGAAAAUGUUGGCUACUGGAUCACGAGUCUUCACGCACUCUAACUAUACUUCCUUUCUUCUGAUGCACUCUCUAAUAUAAUAAUAAUGUGUAUCAAUGUGCUUUAUUCUGGUUGUGGAAAACUAGUUUUUGGCCAAAGCAAUUGUUGAUUUGUUAUCUAUGAAAACUUCUGGUUGGCUCUUCUUUUGGCAAUAUCAUAACUCCUUUAAUAGAUUUCUCAACCAAGUUACAUGAGGUAGCAACCACAUAUUAUGCUUCACACGUAGAGAGAGUAACAAUGGGUUGCUUCUUUGACAUCCAUGUGAAGGCAGUUUGCACACACAUAUGCACACACGCACACAUGCACACGCAUACACAAACACACACAAUGUGCACACUCACACUCACACCCAUCCUCACGACACAUGCGCACUCACACACGCACACCCACCCACACGGGUACACACGCACUCGCACACGCACACGCACACACCCACACACGAACACACGCAUGAGCGCAUGCACACAUCCACAUACACAUGCACGCAAACACGCACGUCCACCCAUACGGGCACAUGCGCAUUCACACACACGCACACCCACCUACACGGGCACACGCGCACUCGCACAUGAGCGUACAAGCACACGUACACGCACAAAUACGCAUGCACACACACACACAUACGCACGCACACACACGUGCACACACAUGCACUCGCACACGCACACCACCCACAUGGGCACACACGCAUCGACACACAUGCACGCACGCACACCCACACAGGCGUAUGUGCACUCAUACACACACAAGCACACGUACACCCACCCACAUUGGCACACGUGCACUCGCACACGCACAUGCACCCACACACAUGCACGCCCAUGCGCAUGCACGCACACGAAAACACACGCAUGAACGCACGCACACAUCCAGACACGCACGCGCACACACACACAUGUACGAACAUACGCACACCCACCCACACAAACAUAUGCGCACUUGCACACAUGCACACACACACACCCACACACAUGCACGCAUGCGUACAUGCACACUCACCCACACGAACACAUACGCACUCACACACACGAGCACACACACACCCACACAGACACACGCACACUUUCACACACACACACAAGCACACGCACGCGCACACGCAUACGUACACACCCACAUACAUGCGCACAUGCACAUGAACACACGCAUGAACGCACGUCCACCCAUACGGGCACAUGCGCACUCACACACACCCACACCCACCUACACAGGCACAUGCGCAUGCACGCACACGAACACGCAUGAACGCACGUGCACACCACAACACAGCACACCCACCCACAUCGGACAAUGCACAUUGCACACAUCCACACACACAUGCACACGCACGGGCAUGCGCACGACACACACCCACACACGGACACAUGCACAUUUGCACACAUCCACACACACAUGCACGCACGCGCAACGCGCACAAUCCACCCACACGGGCACAUGUGCAGUCACAGACACGCACACACACACCACAUGGGCACACGCACACUCUGACACGCACACACAAGCAUAUGCACACACCACACACACAAGCACAUGUGCAUGCACACACACGAACACCGCAUGAACGCACGCACACAUUCACACAUGCAUACACACAUCUACAUACACAUGCACACAUGCACACACGCACACACACAUACGCACACGCACAUCAAUCCGCACGGGCAAACACGCACUCGCAUAUGUGCACACACACACGCACACACGUACAUAUGCACAAAGAUGUGAAAAUGAAUUAAAUUUAAAAAACAAUUACAUUAAUUGUGUUUAGAAUGACUUUUAAACUAUAUUCCUUUAACUUAAUAACAUUAAUUAAAUUAUAAUUUCUAUUAAUAUUGAUUUAAGAGUGUCAUUAGUGUAAUUAUAUCAAUAUAAUGCGACCUUAUCCAAUUUUACCGACAAAAAACAAGUCAAAUAUGGACUAGUAAAUCCACACUCUUUGUCAUAAGAGAUAUAAUAACGUUUUUAUGGGUCAUUUUAAAAAAUGACAAAACAACUUUUUCUUUUGAAUUUUAGCAAAUAACAUUUUUUAUCUGAAAAAGAUACAUCAACCCAUAAUAACACUACAACAAAUCUGGGUUGUAGUGUCAGGUGAAAAAAAUGAAAAAUUAUCUUUAUUGUCGUUUUUGAAAAGGUGGAUCAAACCGACAUUAAUGAUAAGGGUUUAAUGUCGUUUUUAAAUCGACAUUAAUGAUCAGCCAGUUUUAUUUUUUUUUUAAUUUUUGUAUUUUGUAAAAACUGACAUUAAUGACCCCCAUUUUUAAUUUCUUUUUAAAAAAUUGUUAAGUUUUAAAAACUAAAUUUUUCCUCUCUUUCUUACUCUACUCUUUCCCUAUCAAUUUUUCUUUUCUUUCUCUCCAAGUUGGUUUCUAAUUUUUUCUCUUCUCAAUCUGUGACCCUAGAUCGCGAACGGCGACCAAUCUUCAUCGUGCUUCCGCCGUAAAAAUCCUUGGGUUUCUUCAUUUGAUUGUUAACUUGUGACUGCUAGGUAGCAUUAUUGAUUAUUAAUUGUCUUUAUUUUUUCAAAUGUGCAGCCUUAUUCAUACUAUCUUUUGUUAGAAAAAUGAAAGAAGAGAAGGCAUAGAAAUGAGCUUGGUAACUAGCAUUCUUGUAGGUGGAUUUGCCAAAAUGGAAAAUGUAGAGUAAGUAAUUUUGGUAUAGCUAUUUGGAGUGUUUAUGUGAAGCACAAUAUCAUUCAUAAUGUGAUUGUUUUGGUUUUCGAUUGAGAUCAAUCUUGGUAAUUAAUUGUUUUGAAUUGUGUUUUAUUUAUCUUUUAGUAGUAAAUGUUUUGUUUUUCUUUAGUUUAGUUUGAGUAUAGUCUGUUUUGAUAUAUUUGUAGGUUGCAUCUAUUUAUCCAUAUAUUUAUCUUUGAUCAAUACCUAGCUAGUGGAGUCUCUUCUUUUUAUGGGCUUCCUUAUAUUCCAUGUUCUUUUACUAUAUAUUUGAGAUUUUCACCUUCCAUAAAUGAAAUAAAUUAACUAUUUUCAUUUGAAAAGAAAACGAUCCAAUAGGAGUUUGUAAUUACAGUGAAAGAAUAUUGGAAUUUAUUUGAUAAAUCAGUAGCACCAUUGCCUUUUCUACAAAAGGCUGUCUUAGAAGAAACAUUUAUGAAUGGUUUGAAACCAUGGAUUAAGGCAGACAUGGAAUGUUGGGAACCUAUGGGGCUUGUUCAAAUGAUGAAGUUGGCCAAAAGAUUGAGAACCGAGAAGUGAUAAUGGGAGAAUCAAGUUUCAAACGUGCAGCGGAUGGAAAAUUCCAGGUUUCUGCUUCUUUAAACCUCAAAUUCCUGUGAUUUCUAAUGAUAAUAAGUCAGGAGGGAUUGUUCGAAUGCGGAUGAUUACACUUCGAGGAGUGGCUGGUGAACCUAAUCGACGAGAAGGACCACUAAAACGACUUUCUGAUGCUGAAAUUAUGUGUUUCUGCAAUGUUUACCAGAACAUGAAAGAUUCAUUACGAAAAUAAAUACCAUGAAGAAAUAGUAAAACAGUCAAUACAAGAAGAAAAAAGUUCACUUGAAAACGACCUAAAACAGUAUCACCUGAACAAAAUGUGUCUAAGUAUCACUUGAACUUUCAAAACGACCUAAAACAGCUUACGUGUAGGUUCGUAACUCAUAACCUACGAAAAAAGUUCCAAUAGUGUGAAAAAAGCACUACAAGACCCAAAAUGGCUACCAAGUGUGUAAGUGUAACAAACUUAGUUAAACCAACCUAAAACGUGCUCAAAACGUGUCUAGGUAUUACUUGAGUUUUCAAAACGACCUAGCAAAUCCUAAAUAUAGGUUCGUAACUCAUAAUCUACCAAAAAGGUUGAAACAAGCAUUUCAAGACCAAAAAUGACAACCAAGUGCAACAAACUCAAUCUAACCUAAAAUGUAUUAAAAACAUGUUGAGCCAACAAAGAUACACACCAGCAAACUUUUGAACAUAGGACCCUCCUAAAACUACUCACUUUUGAACAUGGACUCCUCAACUAUCUACUCACUUCUGAACAUACAACCUUGAUAGAACACUUAUGUACUAUUCUAUUAUAUUGAUAUUUGAACUUAAAGUUGCAAUAAAGAAAAAUUACAGAGAAAUUACAAACAACAAGCAAAGAAACCCUCCUAAUCCAAAACAGAAAUAAACACAAUUCAAAAUACUACAAUUAAAACCAGAACAAUUCUGGCAGGCCCUUCCUUUUUCUAAAAACUGCCUGCCCUUUCCCAUCUCCCUCUCAUUUAACUUCCUGUUUUAGAUAACUGUCAUCCUUUUGAAUAAGUAACGUUGAUUACUAACGUGCCUUACUUUCCUUUCUUCUAUUAUAAGUAAAAUAACAAUGGUGGUCUAACAGACCUCCUAAACUAUCCACUCUAGAGCAUGUUAAAUCACCAAUUCAUCCAAAAACUAAUGACGUAAAUGUAAUAUUAUAUCUUCAACGUAAAUGUAAAUGUAAACUAAUGACACUAGUGAUUUUGAAACUAAGACAUUGAAGCAGUCUGUUAGGAAGGGUGAUGGAACCAGCAAGAGUGGGGGGAGUUCUUUAAAACAAUCAGAGGUCAAGAGAAAGAAGGGAUCAGCUAAAUCUAUUUCUGGAAAAAACGUGAAAAGAUUGUCAGGUGAUGAUGAUAAAAAGGAAACCACACCUGUGCUGAAACCAGCCUCCAAAAAUUGGAAGUAAAUCAAAGGAUCAAGGCACUCUUGAAAUUGGAAGUAAACUUGGUAGCACAGGUCCAAAAAUCUGGCAAGUCGAAAAUGAUGAUGCCGAAUCCAACAAGACUAGCAAAUCUAAGGACGAUGAGACAUCCACACCUGCCGCUGUUGCAAAGUCCAACAAGCAAGAUGUAUCGAAGACGGGGAAGUCCAAACAAGAAACCCCAAAAACUCCUGUUUCAAAAGGGAAGUCUACCAAAACAGGCGAUAAGUCUAAUAAUACCAAUCUCUCCACCAAGGUUAAGUUCACAUCUUCAAAAGCAAAAGAAAAAGAAAGUGGAGAUGUGAAGCAUUCAUCAACUUCUGGAAAAACAAUGGAGAACUCAAAGGGAAAGUCACUAAAUUCAUCAAUGAUCAGGGCAGUGAAUCCAAGUCAGGAAAGAAAAGAAGAAGAGAGUCAAAAGGUUGAUAACCACGUCUAUUCCAAAAGGUUGGAGUUGUCUAUUCUUGGCUCAGUUUGCACGCACAUAUUUGCAAAUUCUACUAAGUAGUUCUUGGCAAACUUGAUCUCUGGAUCUGAUGAUGUCUCUCAUUGGCCAUUUCGAGAUUGUCGUAUAUUCUUAGUUAGGUAGGCAGCAAUUAUAGGAGUGUGGCAGUUCUCUUUGUAGUUGUUUGGCGCUAUUCAUGUCAUCUGUGGGAGGUAAAUGACCAAUAAAAAUAAUACGCAAUAAGAAUCAGAAAGAAAACCAUAUGCAUUUUUGUUUUCAAAUUCUUGGUGAAAUCACAAUUCAGAAAUGAAAUUUGUUCAUUCUCCACGAUAAUAUGGUGACCUAAAUAACAUAAGUUUCAGAGUCAUGGGAGAUUAAAAGCCUUGCUCUAAUUGCUCAACUCUGAAUGCAAAGGCUUUUCCCAUGUGAAGGAACCCAAAGAACCAGCCAAAGCAGCAUGCUUCUUCCAAUGCAAGAACAUUCAGUGUAUCUUCUGAUUAUGUACUGAAUGCAGUAGGAAAAAUAAUAUGAAGUUGUAAUUCAAGCUAAGGUUUUGUUCAUAAACAAAAUUAAAUGAUAAAACACAAAAAUGCAUCCUAUUCCCACCUUAUGCCUACUACAUCGCUAACAAUACACUUACUGCAGCACCAAGAUACAGCUUGUAGCCAAUUUCAGAAGGAAAAAUAUAUUCAGAUUUCUGCAUAUCGAGAAUUCGGUGAAACGCACCUGAGUUUAUUUACUCAACUAAUCCACAACAAUUUGUGAUAUGAACACUCUUGGCAGAGGUCCAUUGACCCCAUCACCAUCGGCAGCAGCAUUAGAAAUGAGUUGUUUCCACCAAAUAUUACUACAUUGAUGAACCAAGCAAGGAAGGACCAAAAAACAGUGUAAUGGGACGUAUGGUUACUUAAUUUUCCCUGUUGUUGGGUCAAAACUACCAUCGCUCAUUCCAAUUCGCUCAACUGCAAACAUUGUAAUAGAGAAAAUCAGAUUUGCUACAAUGAAGGCUCAUUGCCAUAAAAAUGUUGUCUAAGAACAGAAACGCAGAGAAAAUAGAAGGCUGAUCAAUGUGACCACAAUUCUGCAUAUGCGCACUACAAAACAGUCUGAGUACUAUCACAUCGACGGCCAUAUUCAUAACACAAAUAUGCUGACAGUUAGAUCAGACAUGGGCAUUUCUCACAUUUCUAUUCUCCUUGAAAUCACAAAUCCGACGUCCUAAUCUUAAUAAGUACUUCUAGGUGAUUUAAUUAAGUCUUCAAAUAUCACUAAAACAGUCAGAACGAUUUAAAUGGAAGACCUAAAGGCGCGCAAUUAAGCAGUAACCAUCAAUUCAAAACAAAAGGAAAGACAGAAAGAGUGGCAAUGCGUUAGUUUACUGUUUCAGAUCGCUUUAGAAGGGACCCUGCAACAAAUUCCGACCAGACCCAGAGGCCAGCUGCCGCUUGAUCUCUCCAAACUGUCCCGACAUCUUCCGCUCUCUCCACCAACAACAAUCAUAAAUUAAAAACAUGUCGAGCCAACAAAGAUACACACCAGCAAAACUUUUGAACAUAGGACCCUCCUAAACCAUCUACUCACUUUUGAACAUUGGACCUCCUCAACUAUCUACUCACUUUUGAACAUACAACCAUGAUAGAACACUGAUGUACUGUUUCCUAUUAUAUUGAUAUUUGAAACUCAAAGUUACAAUAAUAAGAAUUACAGAGAAAUACAAACAACAAGCAAAGAAACCCUCCUAAUCCAAAACACAAAUAAACACAAUUCAAAAUACUACAAUUAAAACCAGAACAAGAUCGUGAGCCCUCUGCUUCCCCUAUCUCUCAUGGAGUAUUGCAGGCCCUUCCUUUUACUAAAAACUGCCUGCCCUUUCCACCUCCCUCUCAUCCAUUUAACUUCCAGUUUUAGAUAACUGUCAUCUUUUUAAGUAAUUGUUGUUGGUUCCUAACGUGCCUUAUUUUUCUUUCUUCUAUUAUAGGUAACAACAAUGGUGGCCUAACAGCCUCCUAAACUAUCCACUCUAGACCAUGUUAAAUCACCAAAUCAUCCAAAAAUACGAGGUAAAUGUAUAUUAUAUCUUCAACUUAAAUAUGCUUUUGACCAUAACCAGUGGGUUUGCUGAAAUUGAAUGAUCAAUCCAUAAAAUAAAAAUGAAGUUGGAAGUAGAAGAAAUGGGAGGAAGAAAAAUAUCCCAAAAGUUCUAAAAGCGAUAUGAUCUCAACAAAUUGUAUCAUGAUGAACAGAUCGAACAAGCCCCAAAACAGAUUUUGCAGUGGGAUUCCGACUCGGAUAAACUAACUCCAUGCUCACCAAAACAUUCCUAAUAAAGGAUUCAGCUUGCUAUCAACAUGCAUCACAACCAUAACGUUAAAUUCUUCAAAACCAAUGCAUUAAAUCAAAGUAGAAAAACAGAACAAGAACUCAAACCAACGAUAACAAAAGAAUAAACCUUAACCGUUGAUCCUUGCAGUCCAUUGGGAGGUUCAGCACCGGGGACAUGAUCGACAACAAUCGAUUCCAGCUGCAGGUUUCGGUAUCGACAAAGAAUUUCCAAGGAAAUGAAAAUUUUGGAAAUGGGUAGUGAAGAAAAAAAGGUUGAGAGGAUUUUGUGUGGAGAGUGGGAAAAACUCGGCCAGUGGGGAGAAAGGGAAGACAUGAGGUUCGGUUUACAGGGAUUUUCUUAAUGAUUGUUGGAAGAACAAAGAGGUUGUGAGGAGAUUUAAGGGCAACCAAAGAAUGGCUGAAUGUUUGAUCUGGCUUGCUUCUUUAUGGAAAUGUCGUAGAAACAGUAGAACGAUGACAUAGUUCCCUUUGUUUUUCUAUUCACCAAAAAACCAAUGACUUAAAAGAAAGACAUUGCACCACAUAUGAGCAGUAGAAAAAAAUAUACAUAAGAAAGGAUAAAAAAUAUGCAGAAAUUGAAAAUGAAAUUGGAAGUAGAAAAAAAAUGGAACGAAGAACAAUACCCCAAAAUUUCCAAAUGCAUUAUGAUCAUAAAAAAUUUGUAUCAACAUGAACUGAUCGAAUAAGCUCCAAAAUAGAUAUUGCAGUGGGAUUCCGACUCAGAUAGGCAGUGUACAGUCUUGCCAAAACGUUCCUAAGAAAGGAUCAUCAAAACCCAUAACUUUAAAUUCUUCAAAAUAAUGGAAUUAAGUCAAGGCAGUACAAUACGAAACAAAAACUCUAACAAACGAUAAGAAAGAAAUAAACCUUCACCCGUGAUCCUUGUAGUCCAUUCGGGAGUUCAGCACUGGACUUGAUCGAGAACAAUCAGUUCCAAGAUGCAGGUUUCGGCAUAGACGAUGAUUUUCCAAAAAGCGAAAUGAAUUUUUUGGAAAUGGGUUGUAAAGAAAAAUAAGGUUGGAAAGACAAUGAUUGUUGGAAGAACAAAGAGUUUGUGAGGAGAUUUAAGGGCAACGACAAGAAUGGCACAAUGUUAAAUCCCAAAAGACUAAAUGGCCAAUUGAAUGUUUAAGCACAUUGAUAUGCCUGUUAGGUGUUUUCUUGCUUCUUUAAAGAAAUGGGGUAGAAAGAGUAGAACGAUAACAUAGUUCACUUUGUUCUUCUCUUUACAAAGUAGCCAACGACUUAAAAGAAAGACAUUGCACAACAAGUGACCAUUAAAAAAUAAUAUACAUACGAAAGAAUAAAAAAUAAGCAGAAAUUGGAAGUAGAAAAGAAUGGAAGAAAAAUACCCAAAACUUCAAAAUGCAAUAGGAUCAUAACAAAUUUGUAUCAUCAUGGACAAUCGAACAAACUCCAAAACAGACUUUGCAGUGGGCUUCCGACUCAAAUAAACAGCUCCAUGCUCCCCAAAACGUUCCUAAGAAAGGAUUCAGCUCCCUACCAACCAACAUGCAUCACAUCCCAUAACUUUCAUUUCUUCAUAAACAAUGUAACUAACUCAAGGUAAAAAAAAAAACAGAACAAGAACACUAACCAACUUCUAAGGAAUCAGCUCCCUGCCAACAUGCAUCACAUCCCAUAACUUUAAUUUCUUCCAAUACAAAGGAUUUAACUCAAAGUAAAAAAAAAACAGAACACGAACUCUAACCAACAAAAAUAGAAAAACCAACCUUAACCCUUGAUCCUUGCAGUCCAUCGAGAGGUUCAGCACUGGACAUGAUCGAGAACAUUCGGUUCCCAGCCACAGGUUUGGCCAUCGACAAAGAUUUUCAAAGGGAAAUGAAAUUUUUGGAAAUGGGUAGUGAACAAAAAUAAGGCUGAAAUGAUUUUGUUUGGAGAGUGGGGAAAAUUCUGGCGAGUGAGGAGAAAAGGGAAUACAUGGGGUUCGGUUUACAAGAAUUUUUCUUAACGAUUGUUGGAAGAACAAAGAAAUGUGAGGAGAUUUAAGGGUAACGACACAAAUGCAGAAUGUUAAAUCCAAAAUGGCGAAAUGGCUAAUUGAAUGUUUAAGGAAGUUUGAUCUGCCUGCUAGCUGUUUUCUUGCUUCUUUAUGGAAAUGUUGCAGAAAGAGUAGAACGAUGACAUAGUGCAUAAUGUGUUUCUCUUUACAAAGUAACCAAUGACUUACAAGAAAGACACCACACAACAAAUGACCAUUGGAAAACAAUAUACAUAUGAAAAACUAAAAAAUUUGCAGAAAUUGAAAUUGAAAUUGGAAGUAGAAAAGAAAUGGAAGAAAACCCUAAAAGUUGCAAGUGCAAUAGGAUCAUAACCAAUUAGUAUCACCAUCAAUAGAUCGAACAAGCUCCAAAAUGGAUUUUACAGUGUGAUUCUGACUCACAUAAGCAGCCUCCAGGACUGGGAAAUCGUUUCUAAGAAAGGAUCAUCACAACCCAUAACUUUAAAUUAUUCAAAAACAAUGCAAUGAAAUCAAAACAGAAAAAAACAGAACAAUAACUAAAAAAUAAACCUUAACCCUUGAUCCUUGAUCCUUGCAGUGGAUUGGAAGGUUCGGCACUCGACAAGAUCGAGAAUAAUGGAUUCCUAUCAGCAGGUUUCGGCAUCGACAAAGGGUUUCGGAGGGAAAUGAUAAUUUUGGAAAUGGGUGGUGAAGAAAAAUAAGGUUGAAAUGAUUUUGUUUGGGGAGUGGGAAAAAUUAUGGCCGAUGGGGAGAAAAGGGAAGACAUGGGAUUCGGUUUACAGGGAUUUAACAAAGAGAUUGUGAGGAGAUUUAAGAGCAACGACAAGAAUGGCCGAAUGUUAAAACCCAAAAGACUAAAUGGCCAAUUGAAUGUUUAAGCAGAUUGAUCUGCCUGUUAGUUGUUUUCUUGCUUCUUUACGGAAAUGGGGUAGAAAGAGUAGAAAGAUAACAUAGUUCACUUUGUUCUUCUCUUUAUAAAGUAGCCAAUGACUUAAAAGAAACACAUUGCACAACAAGUGACCAUUAGAAAAUAAUAUACAGAAGAAAGAAUAAAAAGAUAAGCAGAAAUUGGAAGAAGAAAAGAAAUGGAAGAAAAAUACCCCAAAACUUCAAAAUGCAGUAUGAUCAUAACAAAUUUGUAUCAUCAUGGACAGAUCGAACAAACUCCAAAACAGAUUUUGCAGCAGGCUUCCAACUCAAAUAAACAGCCUCCAUGCUCCCCAAAACGUUCCUAAGAAAGGAUUCAGCUCCCUACCAACCAACAUGAAUCACAUCCCAUAACUUUCAUUUCUUCAAAAACAAUGUAACUAGCUCAAGGUAAAAAAAAAAAAACAGAAAAAGAACACUAACCAACUUUUAAGGAAUCAGCUCCCUGCCAACAUGCAUCACAUCCCAUAACUUUAAUUUCUUCAAAUACAAAGGAUUUAACUCAAAGUAAAAAAAAAACAGAACACGAACUCUAACCAACAAAAAUAGAAAAACCAACCUUAACCCUUGAUCCUUGCAGUCCAUCGGGAGGUUCAGCACUGGACAUGAUCGAGAACAUUCGGUUCCCAGCCACAAGUUUGGCCAUCGACAAAGAUUUUCAGAGGGAAAUGAAAUUUUUGGAAAUGGGCAGUGAACAAAAAUAAGGCUGAAAUGAUUUUGUUUGGAGAGUGGGCAAAAUUCUGGCGAGUGAGGAGAAAAGGGAAUACAUGGGGUUCGGUUUACAGGGAUUUUUCUUAAUGGUUGUUGGAAGAACAAAGAGAUGUGUUGAGGUAAAUGUAAUAUUAUAUCUUCUAACCAUUGUCAACUUAAAUAUGCUUUUGACUAUAACAAGUGGGUUUUGCUGAAAUUGAAUGAUCAAUCCCACGAAAACUCUAAAACCGGGGAUCUCGACGCGCAUUUUACUUGACCUAAGCGGCUGGCUUGGCUCCCUCUUUUUUUUCUCGCUCCCUCUCUACCGGCUGCCAUGCUGGGGAACUCUAGUGACCCACUAGGCGGGGUCGGGUUUUGCAACCCUUAGCAGCUUGGUCGUAUUGUUUUGUUUCUAUCGGCUGUUAUGUUGGGUGAAGAACUCUAAGAACUUGCCGACUUUGCUUUCUACCUGACCUAACAAUCAUAUUUUGCUUUCAAACAAUCUUAUACAAAUGUGUAUGGCCAAAAGAGGGAUUUAAAAUUAAUAUAAAAAAGGCAUUAGAAUAUGGCAAAAAAGGGGAUUAAAAUUGAGAUAAAAAAGAGAACCGCACAUAUUAUUAUGUACAUAAUUCACAAUAUUCAGAAAAUGAACCAAGUGUUCUACUCAUUUCUAAGCUAUCAAUAUAUGCAUUUUCAACAUAUGUAACAUAUUCAAAGAACAAAUACAAUCACAAAUCCGAGCUUCCGUUCUCAUGCGUUAGGCAUACAUGCUUUUUUAUGCUAAAAAGCGAAGUAGACAUGGUACUUAUUCUAAGCAUAGAGCAUUGCAAAAGUUUCUAAAUUUUGACAUUUUUAGCAAAAUUUGCAAAAUGAAAAUUUCCCAAAGGACAUGGAAUGUGCAAGGCUACAACCCCACCCCCACUUAAAAAUAUGCAUUGUCCUCAAAGCAUUUUAAGCAAGAUUCUACGGAUGGAAAAAAAAAGAAAAAGAAACAGAAGACCUCCCCUUGUAACCUAGUUUCUUCUUGGAAGCUUGCUUGCAAAGAUCCCAAGUUUGGUUAUAUUUCAUUUUCCUUUAUUCCUACAAAAAGAAAACAAGAAUUUCCAUCGAAUUUUAUUAAAAAGGUUAAACUAAAAAUUUUAGAAAAAUGUGCAGAAUUGUUUAAGCUCGGUUGCAUUUUCUAAGCAUCACUUGAAUUAUUAAAACGACCUAACAAAUAUUCAAUACAAGUUCGUAAUUCAUAACCUACCAAAAAGUUCAAAAAGAUUGUUGUAGGUGUUCCACCAAACCUUUUGUAAAUUACAUACAUCAAUAAGAAAGAAGCAAGAUGCCCAGUUUUUUUGAACUGCUGUUUUUCUCUUUUUUUUUCUUUAACUUGCUGUAAAUUGGAGAUGUUUUCCAUAACUACUUUGGCUUAUGUAAUUUACCUUCUCCCUAAAUGCAACCAUAAAUCAAACAAAGUAGAUGAAUAAAUUUACACCACAGAAAUCCAUCCUAUGAAGACUAGAGCGGAGAAAGAUGGGAUAAGGAUAAAGCAUAGGAAGAGCAAAUACCCGAUGGAAGUAAACUGAUAAAAAAUACUUUGUGUUGAGAGUAAUAUAUCCGAACCAAUUUUCUGGCAGCCAUUAAGAUUUACCCACUGCAACUCUGCACACAAAUAUUUUCUUAUAAACAAUAAUUAACACAAUCUAAUUGGUAUCUUAUGGAUAUAAAAGACAGCAUGGAUCCAUAUUGGAAGGAUUUCAAAUUAGUCUACGAACAAAGAAUUUGGAAGGAUUUCAAAUUAGUCUACGAACAAAGAAUUUGGAAGGAUUUCAAAUUAGUCUACGAACAAAGAAUUUGGAAGGAUUUCAAAUUAGUCUACGAACAAAGAAUUUGGAAGGAUUUGUGAUCAACUAAGGAGCUCUCGACUUUCUCCGCUGGAAUUUACCUUCCUUGGGUACUUAUCGACCAGAGACUGGAAGUAGUUGUGCUCUUCGUCCACAGUAGUCAUCCAAAGAGCAAGGGAAAGACCACGACGCGCAGUGGAAUAGGAAAAAGAGCGUCGAGCACAGCUUUCGUGUCACCAGCAAUCGCUUUUCCUUUAUUGGUAGACCGAAAAGGCUUUGUCAAGCAGGCAGGCAUGAUUGUCACUCGAUCGACAGUUGAGAAAUCCAGCGCUGUUAGGGCUAGGAGAAGAAGAUGGCCGUGAAUCGCGAUUUUGAGGAAGACGAAGAAGAUAAGAGAAGGGGAGAGGACGAGAAAGUAGAGAGAAAGAGCCGUUAGAGAAGAAGUAGGGGAAGAAAUUCUUUUAUUUAAAAUUCAAUUGCAUUAUUUAUUUAUUUAUUUAAUUUCUUUUUUUUAUUUAUUUAAUUUAAAUAAUAUACAUAAAUUUGCAAAUUGGAAUAUAUAGUUAUAUUACUUAUUAUAGAAUAUCAAAUGAAAAUAGUGAUUAGAAGAAAUGUCUAAAAUAAACAAAAAUAAUAAAUAUUCAAAAAAAAAAAUCUUUAAAAUCUGGGGAUAGGGAUCAACAAGUUAUUGAAAAUUUUUUCCUCGCCAAGUAGAAUUGCUUUAUCAACGAUUCGAUGAAUGUAUCUAUGUUCAAUUCGUGUGUGUACAUGUAUGAAUCAAGUUCAUUUCGUUAGGAUGAGGCUCAUCAAUUUAAUUAGGGAUCGGUCUUAUGAUGAAACAAUUCAUUGCAUUGAUAAAUCCAAUAUAAAAAACCAUUUUACCUAUACUCAUUAGAUAAAUCCAGUUCCUCAAUGAGCGACUAUGUGGAUAAGAUAUAUUUAUGUACAUAUCUUAUUAUUUAUAAUUUAUAAGAAUUAUAUACACUAGACUCAUCGUGGCUAGUGGCUUACUCAGAAAUUGAAUCAAAUAGGCCUUUUUAACUCAGUGGUAGAGUAACGUCAUGGUAAGGCGUAAGUCAUCGGUUCAAAUCCAAUAAGGGGCUUUGGCUUUUUUCAUAAAACUCCAGCCGUAGUAUUCAUAUUUGAUUGAGGGAAACGUGAGUGAGAGAGAAGGGGAGAUGAGGGAAAAACUAUAAAGGAUUUAGUGAAGAAAAACCCAUUUAAAAUAUAUUUGAAUUAUUUGUGAUAAAGCUCAUUUAAAACCCAAAACAAUUUCUUUAUAACUAAAACAAAUAUUUUGUUUUUAAAAUUUAGACUAAAAAAAUCAAAUUUUACUGCAAAAACUGAGAUAAAAUUGUCAGUAAUGAUAAAGCAAAAAAAAUAUAUUUUGUUUUUCAAAUAAUUAUAAUCCAUAAUUUUCAAGAAAUGUGAAAUUUCAUUUAAUAAGAUAAAAAAAAUUGUGAACAUUAGUUUCCAACUUUGGCAAUGGAUGAAAGUAUUAGAAAUUGAAAAUAAUUGUUAGACAUGCAUGUUAGCCGUCACCACAAACCAAUCCAAUUUUUCAUUCAAAAAUGUUGAAUUUAUAAUUAAUGGUUCUCGAAACAUUCAUACAAUUUUUUUUUUAAUUUAACUUACUUAAUUUGAGUUUUCUUACGAUGUUCAUGUCGAUAUUAUACGAAAAAUUGUCUUAAAUGAUAAAAUUGCUGAAGAUAUUCACAAAUAUAACAAAGUUUUACCGUCUGUUAGUUAGUGAUAGAACAUGUACUAGUGGUCUAUCAAUUAUCCUCUAUGGUUUUAGUUUAGUGGUUAUUUAUCAAGCUCUUAAUAAAUUAAAUAGUGAUUUAACAAAUAUAAUGUAAAAGAAUAUUCCAAGAAUAACCUUGGAGUAUCACUUGAAUUUUCAAAACGACCUAACAAUGCUAAACUAUAAGCUCAUAACUCAUAACCUAUCAAAAAAAGUACAGAUAAAACAAAAAAACUAUUUAAAUCUUGAAAAAUGAAAUAUGAGAAAAAAAAUGAAAAGAGAAGAAAUAAAUUUUAAAGUAUAUGUAAAUUUUAGAUAUUAAGUAAAAAAGAGAAUAUGUAAGUUGAAUUUUAAUCGGUAAGAAUAUGGAUGUCUAGAAACAAAUUUUUAAUUUUUUAAAAGUUGAUUUAUAAUCAUUUGAUUUCUUUAAAUUCAACAACAUAAACAUAAAAUGAUUUGAUUUUGAAUUUAUCACACCUUACAAAUAUUUUUCAAAUUUCAAAUCAAGAGAUACUAAGUUUGUUGACCUUACCCACUUGAUUGCCAUUUUGAGACUUGUUUAAGACUAAGUUUGUUUCACUUGCAUACUUGGUUGUCAUUUUAGGUCUCAAAGUGCAUUUUGAACUUUUUUUUUAAUGGGCUUUAUCAAAAAUAAUUCAAAUGGAAUUGGCAGAUGGCUGAGGGCCUUCGUGAAACGUGGGAGAGAAGCGAUAAGAAUAUGGAUGUCUUAAUGGUCAUAGAAAUUUAUUAUGCUUGGUUUUUGCUUGAAAUUUUUUCUAUUAUUUACUUUAUUGAACACACACGAGCACCCGUACAUCUGGAUUUGUAAGAAUAUGUAUCAUUAUAAGGUUUCCAUCCAUCUUUCUUAUGCCAUCGAUGAAGUUUUCGCUUAGAUCUUUAUCUUAGUUCGGCCUCUUUAAAAUGUUACUCCAUACAAGGAAGAUCGAAAGUUGUGAUUACCAAGUGUAGAUUUGUAUUGUAUAGUUGCCUUAGUUAUUUUUUUAAUUAUUCUUUUUAGACGUUAUUUUCUUUUAUAAUUAGUUCUCUUUAGUUAGAAUUUCUAUUAAAUUAUACUUACCUAUUAUCAAAUCCUUUUUCCGUAAUAAGAGAAAAUGGAGUUUUUCUCAAAUAACAAAAAGUGAUUAUUUAAGAUAGUAUGCUAAAGGGAACACAUCCAACUACCAUGUUCAGAAUAUUACCUUUGCCGAUUGAAAGUCUUGGAUUCUUGGUCAACUUUGAACGCAAAUUUUUCUUAGUUGAUUAAUAAAUAUCAGGGUAAAAAGAUCUUAUAUUGUAAUAUUGUUUUGCUUCACUUGCAUCAUACACUAAAACACAAGAUUAAAAAAAAAUAUUAUAUUUAGACUUUUGUAUGGUAGAUUAGGUGUUCUCUUUGAAUUGGUGGUUGGUAUUGGCUUUCUAAUUAUGAUAUGAUUUUGGGAACCUUUGAAUUAUGUUCUUCAAACCUUCUCUCUUCGAUUGAAGCUUAUUAUAUUUUAUCGUUGUUAGUAUGUUUUUUUUCUCUCCAUUUUUUCCCUUCUAAUAUUUUUAUUUGAUAUAUAAUGUGCAUAAAAGAGAAAGUAGUUAAUGUGUUUUACAUUGUUGUGUUGUGCAAAGUUGGUGCACUUGGUUCAAAUAUUUAAGAUUUGGUGAAGCACUUGGAAUAGUCUAAGUUCAAACUUUUAAUCUGUAGGAUAAUUUACUUUAUAAGAAUCACACAUUUACCUUUUUUUUUUUUUUUUUUGAAAUAGGAAAGGAGCCUCUUCAUUAAGCUGAAAAUGAGUAGACAAGACAAAAGAUAAUACAAAGAAGCCCUAGGAUCAGCUAGUGCACUCGGACAUCUCAUCUAGGUUGACACCCACUUAGCGUUCUCACCAUAUCGAGACUUAAACCAAAAACUAAACCAACGACAAGGUUUAGAAUAGAUCAUACAAACUGCCCAAUAACUAUACAACAUAGAUUUAAGACCACUAGAAAUCCAAAAGAAAUAAAAUAAGAGUACAGUAGUGGACUAAGAAUUAAAAAUGAAAGUCGGCAGUUAUGACUUAUAUCUUGUAUGGAGAAAUCUUUGAUGUCUUUUGAAAGAGAGCAUCAAGUAGAAGCAUUGAUUCUAGCCAUUUCGACUCGAGUUGUCCAAGAGAAAGCUUUAUUUUGAAAUGUUAGUUGAUUAUGUUCAAACCAAAUUUCUGGUAAAAUGGCCUUUACUGCAUUUAACCAAAUCAAUCUUGGUUUCUUCUUGAGAAUGGGACAUGAAAUAAGCUGGACCGCGUUCUCCUAAAUCUAUAGUCGAAAAUCCAAUUCAAAUGAAGAUAGCCAAGUAAGCCAAAACCAACACUUCUUUGCAUGUAGGCAGGAGAAGAAAAUAUGAUGUAAAUCUUCUAAAGCAUGCAAACACAAGGGACAAACAUGAGGAGAUAAACUGAGAAAGGGAGGUUUCAUUUGCAAAACUUCUGCACAGUUCAUAGUCCAUUUCGCAUUCUCCAAAGCGUGAUAUUCACUCUUCUAGGGCUUUCUGUCUUCCAAAUUGUCGAGUACUUUGUUUUCAAGACUGUGUUAGAACAUGUUUGGCUGAUUAAUAAAUUAGUAGAACACACUAUUUGGUGUUCUAUCAUUUUGGUAUCGGAGAAAUCGAAUCUGUGAAGUUCUAUAUCAUGGCUCAAAAGCGAAUUGAGGAAAAGUUGGAAAUGGUAGAUCAAGAAAUAUCCGGCAUUCGAGCAGAAUUACAUGAUCUGCCAACAAUCAAGGAAAACGUGUCAUCUUUGGCGAAGAGUAUUGAGAGGUUAGGAGUACAGGCUGAGAAGCAACAACAGCAACCAGAAACACUGUUGAAAUAUAUUGAAGGAAUGAUCAAAGGGAAGACAACGAUGGAAGAAGUACUAGAAGGAUCAUCAAGUGAGUUGACAGCAUGGUUGAUGUCAGUGAUUGGACGAUGAUGGGAGGAAAAUAUGAGGAAAAACAUACCAAGUUGGAGGGUGAAGAUUCUGCGGGCGACCGAAGCAAAUUUAAAAAAAUUGAAAUGCCAGUUUUUGUGGGAAAUGAUCCUGAUUCUUGGUUGUUUAGGGCUGAGAGAUACUUUCAGAUACACAAACUGAGUGAGUCAGAGAAAAUGACUGUGUCCAUUAUUAGUUUUGAUGGAGCAGCUUUGAAUUGGUAUAGAUCUCAUUAUUAGUUUUGAUGGAGCGAGAUAUAUCCUAUUAAAGUUGUCGUGUUACUUAAUCGCAUUAUAACGCAAAGACAUUCCUUUGCUCUUUCUUGCAUACAAGUUAGUUCCCAUUUCUAUUUUGUCAUCCAUAUUCCCUCUUAUAGAAUCUCUAAGCGUAGAUAUCUAGUGGUAGUUUGUUCUUGUAUUUCUUUUAUACCAUUCGUUAUUCUUUAAUUCUUUUAUACUGCCUAGAUAAUAAGUAAUACCUAAAAUUAAUAUCUUGAAUCAAUUCCUUAUGUUCGACCCGGGAUCACCCAAGUAAACCUACCAUUUCACUUGCACUUGGACAAGUAGUAAGAAAACUUGUACUCAAGAGGACUUAGUUGCCACACGAUAUGAAGGUCUAGUGAGCAAUUCACAUGCAGUUAACAUGCUUAGUGAUAUAUCGCCUAGAUUGAGUAUAAUUUUCAUUCACCAUUUACUAACACUAAGUCCUGAUUGUUGAAGAGAAACAACACCUCAAUAACCGGAGCGAUCGACUUCUAUCUUUAGUUAUUCGAUCUUGAACCUUAAUUGCACCGAGAGAUGGCCUGGGAUGAAACAAAUUUACAUUUAUUUUAUUCAGUCUCGAGCAUACAUUGUCCUAAGAUGCUACAUUAUGAAAGACUUCUGCCUUUAGUUAUUCGAUCUCAGGCCUUAAUUGCACUGAAAUGGCUCGGGAUGAAAGAAUUCUGUCUUUAUUCUAUUUAAUCUUGGGCAUACAUUACAUUGAGAUGCUCCGAAAUGAAAUUUUUUUGCCUUUAGUUAUUCGAUCUCGACCUUAAUUGCAUCGAGAUGACCCGUUAUUAAUAAAUCACAAAGAAGAUAUAAAUCGCAAGGACGUCUAUGGAAUUUGUGAAAAAAUAAUCUCGCAUCAUGGACUUUUCUUAUUUUGUUAUACGAACCAUAAAUAUUUUGGAUUUUUCUACAUUUAUGUAAAUUACUCUUAAAUUAAUCUAAUUAAUAUUUAAUUGGAAAUCACCGCCACUUGGAUAUAGGAAUACGGGAGCAUCCCACAUUCUCUAAAUAACACCCACAUAUGGAAGUUAUUAUCUUAAUUUAAAUUAAUGAUCACAAAUAGCAAAAAAGUUAAAACUAUUUACAAAAUAUAGCAAAAAAUUGAAACUAUUUACAAAAAGACUCAAAUGUGCUAUAGAGAAUUUAAUUAUUAUGCUAAUUAGUUUCAAUUUAAUUAGUAUAUUUGAAAAUUCCACUUAAAUUUGAUUAACACUAAAAUAAUUAGUUAAUAUAUAAUAAUUAUUUAAAUCACAUUUAAUUAAUAUUUCAUUUAAAUCACAUUUAAAUGAAUAUCUCUCACAUAACCAAUAGUUUGAAUUUAAUUAAAUAGAAUUAAACUAAAUUAUUAAUUAAUUCUUCAAUUAUUUAAUUUCUAAAUUAAAUAUUUUAUAUUUGAUUUAAUAUAGAUUUGAAUCAUACUCAUAUAUGAAUUUCUCUCAUAACCUAUUGUUUGAAUUUGUAUCAUAUACGUAUUAAAUUUUAAUCUAUAGUUUUAUUACAAAUUUAAUUCAUAUUAAAUUAAUAUUUGAACUCAUUCAAAUAUUUAUUAUUUCAUAAAUUAAUUUUAAAUCAUAUACAAAAUUAAAUUUAUAUAAUAAAGUUCAAUUAAAAGAUAAAUUUUAUAUUAUAAUAUAUCACCAUACAUUAUACUAAUUUUCAAAGUAAAUAUGAACAUUUCAAAUUACAGUCAAUAUGUAAUAACCUUAAUACCCUUUACAUACUAGGAAGGGACCUAAUAAAUUUACAUUUCAAAGUGAAAUCAAUUUAUUUACUUUAGUUGUCGUAUUAUCCUUAAGAGCACCUCAUGCCUCCACUUCAAUAAUCAUUUUAUCUCAUUGCAACAAUCACCCAUAUAAAUAUUGAAUCAACAUAUGGUUCUGUACCUAAUGAUGAAAAACUUGGCACUGAGCCAAGUAUCUCCCCCAAUAAUCGUAAAGUGAUUCAUCCUUUCCUUGUGUGAUGCCAUAGAUUUUCUUCCUCACACUAGUAGCAUAAAAGGUUGAAAAGAACUUUUCCAAAUAUUGUCUCUACAUCUACUCCCAUGAAAUAAUGCUCCCUGGUGACAAGUAAUAGAGCUAAUCUUUCACUUCUUCGUGUUACGAGAAGGGAAAAGCUCUCAUGUUCGUCUCCUCAAGGGUUAUAAUGUGAGGACUCAUAAACUACUACAAGCAGAAAACCUGAAAAUUAAAGUAUGUACAACAAGUAGUACUAGAAUCUCGUAGCUUAUAUAUUAAAACAAUUAGUAUUAGUACUAGUAACUUAUAAACUACAAAAAAAAGUGUAAAAGCUUACACAAAUCGGCUAACAAAGCUUGCAUAUUUUGUUCAAAUCUCGUCAAUCUCCUCUUGCGUAUAUGCACUUUUUUGUAUUAAACUACGCAAAAAGAAAGGUAUGGAAAGAAUAAGUUUAGAUAAUUUAUGUAAUUUGUAACAUAUAAAAAGUGAAAGUAGAAACUUACAAGGCUAGUGAUGGGAGUACUAGAAUUAUGCACGAUUUCAUGUAUAUACUUUUGGACAUAAUACCCACACCCAACCGAAUCCAAUUGACGAGGACACUGCAUGCAUAUAAAUUACAUACAAAUUAUUCUUAUGUUUCAUUGAAAAUAAUUAUGUGUCAAUGCAAAUUACCUUUAUAGGUUUCCAUUUCGGAUUUGACCGAUAAUGUUGUAAAUCAUGCUUAGCUUGCCAUGUUUUUAAUCCUCUAUACAUUUGGAAACAUUAGAAUUAGAAGACAAUGAAGUCAAAUAAGAAGUAAAUCAUAAGUCACAUUUAUGACUCCAUGGAUGUCUUUGUUAACUUUACUUUGAAGAGAGUCCAAAACAUAAACACAGUUCUCUCGAAGAUCGAUGACAUGCAACAUCCAAUGAAAACUACAAUAAACAUCUUCAAUGUGAGUAUACAUUUAACCUCAAUGAAAAACAUAAUAAUGUGUUAAUCUUAUUUAUUUACCCAGUAUUAUACGGAAUUAGAACUAUUUGUUCCAAGGUAGCCGCUUCUAACUGGUUGGCAAAAUUUCUGGAUCGGAGAUCACGAUCCUUGAUAUGUGAUGUUAUUUUUGCUUGGUCAUAACAAAAAACUUGCUUCCACAAUCACAUUCAUCCCAAAGAUAUCUAAGUAAAAGCAACCUUAGUUAAAAAGGAACAAAAUAACUAUAGCUAUAGUAUUGGACAUAAAGAUGAGUAAAAGAUGUUUACUUACGUAAUGUAUGCUAGGAUGCACAUAUAGCCUAUUUCUACCAUGCUGCAAUAAUGGAGCAAGUCCUAACGAGCUAAAUAAAUGAAUUUGUUUUUACCGAAUAUUAGCUCGUUCAUUAGGAUGCGAACCAUAUCUACAUCCUUCAUAUUGUUCACGACAUGUCCAUAUAAGAGCUUAAUGGUUCCAUUAACAUUUAUGUAAUUUGAAGAAUACAGAACAUCCUUUGGGGUUGAAUGCUCCAAGCACAAACAAAAUAAUAUCAAAACCUAAAAUACAAUCACAAAUAAAUAUCAAAGCUUCAAUAGCAUAUAAACAAGUCAACGAGGUCAUUCAACAAUAUUACCUAAUGCUUGAUUUAAAGUCUCUAUCUUGCCCUUCACUGGAAUAGGUAAACUACAAUCUCCUCCUGUGAGCAAGUCCACCAAGAUUUUAACAUUGGGACCACCAUUGCUAUCAUCAAGUACGGUUGCUAUUGCAACAAUAUUAUUAAUCGUUCCUAUAGCCAAUUUGCACGGUGUUUACUUUACAAGUAUUAAAAGCAUCAUUAAGAACAAUUUAUCCUAUAAACAUUAAAAUUUUAAAAGUGACAACAAAGUUAAUUACCUUCACUUCUUCGUUCAUAGGUGUGUUGCCCAAAUCCUCAUCGGCAUAGAGAUCUAUGUUAACACUUCUGAUGGACGAUCUCAAGUGAUUAUGACUCUUCUUGUAACUUUUGCUUUUUGAUUCAUCUUCUACAACUUGAGAACUUGCAAUUUUCUCUUUCCCUUUCACUGUCUUGAAAUAUAGUGAUUGAGAGACAAAACCAUCCAUGCCACGUACACGUCCACCAUGCUCCUUAGAGCCCAAUGACUCAGUCAAUAUGUCCUCAUCUCUAUGUGUGUUUCAGCUAAUGCAUCCCACAGAACAAUACAAGUAUUCAUCAUUAACUAAGUUAACAAAAGAUUAAAUAUUGUAUAUAAGUAAAUCGCAAGCAAACUUACGAUUCGAGAGACACAAUCUUGAGUAGCAUCAUCAAAAUAAUCAUUGUUUUUUCCUUUUCUUGCACACGCACACGAACACACCCACACACACACACGUGCACACACACGAACACACGCAAGAACGCAUGCACACAUCCACAGACACAUGCACGCAAACACGCACGUCCACCCAUACGGGCACAUGCGCACUCACACACACGCACACCCACCUACACGGGCACAUGCGCGUACAAGCACAUGCACGCGCACAAAUGCGCAUGCACACACGCGCGCGUACAUGCACAUGCACACACACGAACACAUACGCACACACACACACGUGCACACACAUGCACUCGCACACACACACCCACCCACAGGCACAUGCGCACUUGCACACACGCAUCGACACACAUGCACGCACGCGCACCCACACGGGCGUAUGUGCACUCAUACACACACAAGCACAUACACCCACCCACAUUGGCACACGUGCACUCGCACACGCACAUGCAUACACCCACACACAACCACGCCCAUGCGCAUGCACGCACACGAACACACGCAUGAACGCACACACACAUCCAGACACGCACGCGCACACACACACACAUACAUGUACGAACAUACGCACACCCACCCACACAAACAUAUGCGCACUUGCACACAUGCACACACACACACCACACAACAUGCACGCACGCGCACAUGCACACUCAUCCACACGGACACAUACGCACUAACACACACGAGCACACACACACCCACACACACAUGCGCACUUUCACACGCACACACAAGCACACGCACCGCACACGCAUACGUACACACCCACAUACAUGCGCACAUGUGCAUGCCACACACACGCAUGAACGCACCACACAUCUACACACACACACGCACGCGCACACACAAUCACCCACACGGGCACAUGUGCACUUGCACACACCCACCGACACACAUGCACGCACGCGCACAUGCAGAUCCACACACACGGACACAUGUGCAGUCACACACACGCACGCACACACACCCAUAUGGGCACACGCACACUCUCACACGCACACACAAGCACACGCACACACACAAGCACAUGCGCAUGCACACACACGAACACACGCAUGAACGCACGCACACAUUCACACAUGCACACACACAUCUACACACACAUGCACACACGCACACACGCACACACACAUACGCACACGCACAUCAACCCACACGGGCAAACGCGCACUCGCACAUAUGCACACACACACGCACACACGUACAUAUGCACAAAGAUGUGAAAAUGAAUUAAAUUUAAAAAACAAUUACAUUAAUUGUGUUUAGAAUGACUUUUAAACUAUAUUCAUUUAACUUAAUAACAUUAAUUAAAUUAUAAUUUCUAUUAAUAUUGAUUUAAGAGUGUCAUUAGUGUAAUUAUAUCAAUAUAAUGCGGUCUUAUCCAAUUUUACCAACAAAAAACAAGUCAAAUAUGGACUAAAAUCCACACUCUUUGUCAUAAGAGAUAUAAUAACGUUUUUAUGGGUCAUUUUAAAAAAUGACAAAACAACUUUUUCUUUUGAAUUUUAGCAAAUAGCAUUUUUUAUCUGAAAAAGAUACAUCAACCCAUAAUAACACUACAACAAAUCUGGGUUGUAGUGUCAGGUGAAAAAAAUGAAAAAUUAUCUUUAUUGUCGUUUUUGAAAAGGUGGAUCAAACCGACAUUAAUGAAAGGGUUUAAUGUCGUUUUUAAAUCGACAUUAAUGAUCAGCCAGUUUUAUUUUUUUUAAUUUUUUGUAUUUUGUAAAAACUGACAUUAAUGACCCCCAUUUUUAAUUUCUUUUUAAAAAAUUGUUAGGUUUUAAAAACUAAAAUUUUCCUCUCUUUCUUACUUUUCUCUUUCUUACUUUCUUACUUUCUCUUUCUUACUCUACUCUUUCCCUAUCAAUUUUUCUUUCUCUCCAAGUUGGUUUCUAAUUUUCUUCUCUUCUCAAUCUGUGACCCUAGAUCGCGAACGGCAACCAAUCUUCAUCGUGCUUCCGCCGCAAAAAUCCUUGGGUUUCUUCAUUUGAUUGUUAACUUGUGACUGCUAGGUAGCAUUAUUGAUUAUUAAUUGUCUUUAUUUUUUCAAAUGUGCAGCCUUAUUCAUACUAUCUUUUGUUAGAAAAAUGAAAGAAGAGAAGGCAUAGAAAUGAGCUUGGUAACUAGCAUUCUUGUAGGUGGAUUUGCCAAAAUGGAAAAUGUAGAGUAAGUAAUUUUGGUAUAGCUAUUUGGAGUGUUAUGUGAAGCACAAUAUCUUCAUAAUGUGAUGCGUUUUGGUUUUCGAUUGAGAUCAAUCUUGGUAAUUAAUUGUUUUGAAUUGUGUUUUAUUUUAUCUUUUAGUAGUAAAUGUUUUUGUUUUCUUUAGUUUAGUUUGAGUAUUAGUCUGUUUUGAUAUAUUUGUAGGUUGCAUCUAUUUAUCCAUAUAUUUAUCUUUGAUCAAUACCUAGCUAGUGGAGUCUCUUCUUUUUAUGGGCUUCCUUAUAUUCCAUGUUCUUUUACUAUAUAUUUGAGAUUUUCACCUUCCAUAAAUGAAAUAAAUUAACUAUUUUCAUUUGAAAAGAAAAACGAUCCAAUAGGAGUUUGUAAGAUUAUUUAUCAUCUCCAUUGUUUAACUUUCUCUAUAAAAACAAUGUUGCUAUUGAUGGGUAAAUUUAUACAAUUAAGAGUAAGAAGCCUAUAGACUAGCAUUGCUAAAUUGAACAUUCAAAAUUUGCUUUGAAGUAAGAGUCGAGGAUGGUAUAAUUAUUCUUUAGUUGUAUUCCUCUUUUUCUUAUAGAUCUUUGAAGAACCAAAUUAGGUUAUUUUCUUCUUCUUAAUGAGUUGUUUGAUCAAAGCUUAUUUUCUUCUUUAUUUUUGCAGCACUUUUGGGUUGCCAUUUCAAUUGUCUUCUUUGUUGCUGCUACAUUAUUUACUCUACUGAAACUUUGUGGUAAUUUUUAAUUUUCCACAUUUAGAUUGCAGUCUGUUUAGUUUGAUUUUAAAUAAUAUGUACUAAUUUUGCAAAUUCUAGAUUUAAUCUUCCCCAGGUUGUAAAGUAUAUUUUGGUCUUAGAUAGCCAGCCAAGCUAAGCUAAGUAGAUGGAAGCAAUUGUUGAAGUUGAAGAUUGUGAAAGCGUUUAAGAUUUCUUAUUUAAGUCUUGUAUUAGGAUCUAGUUUCAUGUAUUAUAUAGAAUGUAUAUACAAACGCAAUAUUAAGAUUUCAUUUUCUAUAUACAAAUGUAAAAGAAAAAUAUUGUAGUUCCUAAAAUAAUAUUAAUUUUAUUGAUUUUGGUGUGAGAAAAAAAUAUUUAUUUACACGUAUCUAAUGUCAGUUUAUAAAAAAUGAACAAUAAUGCAAUAAUUAUAUAUUUUUUUUGUAAAAAUAGAUCCAAAAACAAGACUUUAAUGUCGGUUUAAAAACGAUAUCAAAGGCAAACCGACACUAAAGGUCAACAAUAGCACCAUAAAAAAUGUCGGUUUUAAACCAACAUCAAUGACCAUACCGACAUUACUGAUGCAUUUGAUAUCGUUUUUAAACCGACAUCAAAGCAAAAACGACAUUAAAGGCCUUUAAUAACGCUAGCAUAGAUGUCAGUUCCGAACUGACACCAAAGAUCAUUAAUGUCGUUCCGAACUGCACCAAAGAUCAUUAAUGUCGAUUUUAAACCGAUCUUGAAUGGCAAAUUUCUUCUAGUGUAACCAAAUUUAUAUAAUUUGAGAAUCAACAUUUUAAUAAUUUUAUUCAAUCUUACUAACUUCAAAAUAACCAAAUUGAAUUUGAAUUUCAAAAUAACAAAAUUAUAAUUUAAUAGUAUUUGAGAAUCUCAACGAUAGAUUUUGUAUCAAAAUAACCUUAAUUGAAUUUCAAAAUUAAAAAAUAUCAACUUGUUCGAUAUCUUUAUCUCAAAAUAAUAUUAAUGGCUUGAAUAUCAAGAAAACUAAAUUAUUAUUUUAAAAUUGAGAGAAUCUCAACAUUAAAAAAUAUCAACUUGUUCGCACACACGAACACACACCCACAUGUAGGAACGCACACACACACACGCACGCACGCACACUCACACACACCCGCACACACACACAUGGACAAACGCACGAACGCACGCAUGUUGAAUUUGAAUUUUAAAAUAACAUAAUUGAAUUUGAAUUUCAAAAUAGCCAAAUUGAAUUUCAAAAUAACAAAAUUAUUUUUUUUCAGAAUUUCAUAAUCUCAAUUAUGUUAUUGAAUUUCAAAAUUAAAAUAUAUCAACUUGUUCACUAUCUUUAUCUCAAAUAAUAUUAAUGACUUGAAUAUCAAAAUAAUUAAAUUAUUAUUUUAAAAUUGAAAGAAACUCAACAUUAAGAAAUAUCAACUUGUUCGUAUACAAGCACACGCGCACACGAGCACACACAACACACACACACGUGCACAUGCGCACACAUGGACACACGCACAAACACACGCGCAUACACAUGCACACGCUAGCGUACACGCACACUCACCCACACGCACACGCGCACGCACACAUAUGCACAAAGAUGUGUAAAUGAAUUAAGAUUAAAAAACAAUUACAAUAAUUAUGUUUAGGAGUAAAAAUCAUGUUCAUUUGACUUAAAAACAUUAAUUAAAUUAUAAUUUCUAUCAAUAUUGGUUUAAGAGUGUCAUUAUUUCAAUAUAAUGCGGUUUUAUGCAAUUUUACCAACAAAAAAUGGAAGUCGAAUAAGAGAUAUAACAACUUUUCUAUGAGUUAUUUUAAAAAAUGGAAAAACUAUUUUUUCUUUUGAAUUUUAGCAAAUAACAUUUUUUGCACGUGCAUGGUAUUUUACAAAAUAUCCACCUUCUCCAACUGUAAUUAUUUAGUUUCUACGUUGUAAUUAAUUUAUGUCAUUUAUCAGCUUUUAAUUAAUUUUUACUUGAAAAAUAUACAUCAAUCCAUAUUGCAACUUUUUUUUUAAUAUCUUGGGACUCAACUAAUUGAUUCAAUAUUUUAAUAACUUUAUUCAAUCUUACUAAUUUCAAAAUAACCCAAUUGAAUUUGAAUUUCAAAAUAACAAAAUUAUUAUUUUUCAGAAUUUGAGAAUCUCAACAUAGAUUUUGUAUCAAAAUAACCUUAAUUGAAUUCAAAAAAAAAUAUCAACUUGUUCGCUAUUUUAUCUCAAAAUAACAUUAAUGGCUUAAACAUCAAGAUAACGAAAUUAUUAUUUUAAAAUUGGAAGAAUCUCAUCACUAAAAAAUAUCAACAUGUUCGCACACGCACACACGCACGAACCACACAUACACAUGCACGCAAGCACACUCGCACACGUGCGCACGCACACACUUUUGCACACACACACACAUACAUAUGCACGCACACCCAUCCACACUUACCUACACACGCACGUGCACACGCACACACACACGAACACACGCGCGCACACACACACACACACGUAUGUAUAAAGAUGUGUAAAUGAAUUAAAAUUAAAAAAUAAUUAAAUUAAUUGUGUAUAGAAAAACUUUUAACCAUAUUCAUUUGACUUAAUAACAUUAAUUAAAUAACAAUUUUUAUCAAUAUUGGUUGAAAAGUGUCAUUAGUGUAAUUAUUUUAAUUUAAUGGAGUUUUAUCCAAUUUUACCAACAAAAACAAGUCGAAUAUGGACAAGUAGAUCCACACUCUUUGUCAUAAGAGAUAUAGCAACGUUUUUAUGGGUCAUUUUAAAAAUGACAACUACUUUUUCUUUUGAAUUUUAGGCAAAUAGCAUUCUAUCACGUGCAUGGUAUUUUCUAAAAUACCAAAAAUAUCCAUCUUCUCCAACUGUAAUUAUUUUGUUUCUACUUUGUAAUUAGUUUAUGUUAUGCAUUUAUCAACUUUUAAUUAUUUUUUUAUCUGAAAAAGAUACAUAAACCUAUAUCAUAAAUUUUUUCUUAAUAUCUCGAGACUCAAGUAAUUGAUUCAAGAUUUUCAUAAAUUUACUCAAUCUUACAAUUUUCAAAAUAACCUAAUGGAAUUGAAAUUUCAAAAGAACCAAAUUGAAUUUCAAAAUAACAGAAUUAUUAUUUUUCAAAAUUUCAAAAUCUCAGAUAGAUUUUGUAUUAAAAUAACCUAAAUUGAAUUUCAAAAUUAAAAAAUAUCAACUUGUUCGCUAUCUUUUAUCUUCAAAAUAACAUUAAUGACUUGAAUAUCAGAUAAUAAAAUUAUUAUUUUAAAAUUGAGAGAAACUCAACAAAAUAUCAACUUGUUCACACACAAGCACACACGGACACGAGCAAACGCGCACACACGUACACACGCACGUAUGAGCGCACACACACCGACACACCCAAGCACACAAGCACAUACGCGUCCGCACACACACAGACACACAUAAGCACACACACAGACACACAUAAGCACACACACAGACACACACACACGUGUGCACAUCAGCACACAAACACGAAUGCACACACGCAUACACACACACACCCACAUGCACAAAUGUGCACAAACGUACACCUGCACGCGCACACACUCGCACGCAUACACACACGCACGAACGCACACUCACACCCACACGCAUAUCCACACACCCACACGCACAAAUGCACAAAACUGCGUAAAUGAAUUAAAGAUAAGAAACAAUUACAUUACUAUUUUCUUUUUAAAUUUUAACAUAUAGCCUUAUUGCGCGUGCAUGGUAAUUUAUAAAAUAUCAAAAUAUCCACUUUCUCCAACUGUAAUUAUUCCGUUUCUACGUUGUAAUAUAUUUAUGUUAUGCAUUUAUCAGCUUUUAAUUAUUUUUUACCUGAAAAAGAUACAUCAACCCAUGUCAUAACUUUUUUCUUAAUAUCUCGAGACUCAACUAAUUGGUUCAAGUUUUUAUAACUUUAUACAAUCUUACUAUUUUCAAAAUAACCUAAUUGAAUUUGAAUUUUAAAAUAACCAAAUUGAAUUUCAAAAUAACAAAAUUAUUAUUUUUCAGAAUUUUAAAAUCGCAACGAUAGAUUUUGUAUUGAAAUAAUCUUAAUUGAAUUUCAAAACUAAAAAGUAUCAACUUGUUCACCAUCUUUAUCUCAAAAUAACAUUAAUAGUUUGAAUAUAAAGAUAACUAAAUUAUUAUUUUAAAACUAGGAGAAAGUCUACAUUAAAAAAAUCAACUUGUUUGCACACAAGCACAUGUGCACACCCACCCACACAUGCACACGCACAAAAUGUGCAUACACGCAAACAUGUACGCACACAUGUGCACACACACAUGUACGCACGUGUACACACACGUACACACGCGCGACAGCCACACACGAACAUACGCACAAACGCACACACAUACACGCACAUGCGCAUGCGCACGCACCCACACAAACUCACACACGCACAAAGAUGUGUAAAUGAAUUAAAAUUAAAAACAAUUACACUAAUUGUGUUUAUAAAGACUUUUAAACCAUGUUUAUUUGACUUAAGAACAUUAAUUAAAUUAUAAUUUCUAUCACUAUUGGUUUUAAAAUGUCAUUAGUGUAUUUAUUUCAAUAUAAUGCGGUCUUAUCCAAUUUUACCAACAAAAAAACAAGUCGAAUAUGGACUAGUAGAUUCACACUCUUUGUCAUAAGAGAUAUAACAACAUUUUUAUGGAUCAUUUUGAAAAAUGACAAACUACUUUUUCUUUUGAAUUUUAGCAAAUAGUAUUUUUUGCACGUGCACGGUAUUUUAUAAAAUACCAAAAUAUCCACAUUCUUCAACUGUAAUUAUUUUGUUUCUACGUUGUAAUUAAUUUAUGUUGUGUAUUUAUCAGCUUUUAAUUAUUUUUUACUUGAAAAAGAUACAUCAAUCCAUAUUGCCACAUCAAUCCAUACCAAAACGUUCCUAAGAAAGGAUCAUCUCACCCAUAACUUUAAAUUCUUCAAACACAAUGCAAUUAACUUAAAGCAGAACAAAACAAAACAAGAAAUCUAACCAACAAUAACAAAAAAAUAAACCUUAAGCCUUGAUCCUUGCAGUCCAUUGGGAGGUUCAGAACGGGACAUGAUCGAGAACAAUCGAUUCCGAGCUGCAGGUUUCGACAUCGACAAAGAAUUUCCAAGUAAAUGAAAAUUUUGGAAAUGGGUAGUGAAGAAAAAUAAGGUUGAGAGGAUUUUGUUUGGUGAGUGGGAAAAACUCUAGCCAGUGGAAAGAGAAUGGAAGAAAUGGGGUUUAGUUUACACAGAUUUUUCUUAAUGAUUGUUGGAAGAACAAAGAGAUUGUGAGAAGGUUUAACGGCAACGACAAUGGCAGAAUGUUAAAUCCCCGAAAAGACUAAAUGGCCAAUUGAGAGGAAGAAGGAAGAAAGAAAUUCUCUUUCAAGCUAGGGAAAAGACAGAGGAAUGGGAAUUGAAUUGUACGUUUGGUAUGGCUAUAUGCAAUUUUCUUGCUUCUUUAUGGAUAUGUUGUACAAAGAGUAGAACGAUGACAUGGUUCACUUUGUUUCUCUCUUUACAAAGUAACCAAUGACUUAAAAGAAAGACAUUGAACAACAAAUGACCAAUAGAAAACAAUAUACUCAAGAAACAAUAAAAAAAAUGCAGAAAUUAAAAAUGAAAUUGGAAGUAGGAAAAAAAUGGAAGGAAGAAAAAUACCCCAAAAGUUCUAAAUGCAAUAUGAUCAUAACAAACAUGUCUCACUGUGAACAAAUCGAACAAGCUCUAUAACGAAUUUUGUAGUGGGAUUCCGACUCAUAGAAGCCGGCUCCAGGCUUGCACAACGAAUGACCAAUACAAAAUAAGAUCCAGUAAAAAGAAAGGCCCAACUAAAGUGAAAUUAGAAGACACACACGUCCUAUAUUAAGGUAGAGUCAAGGUAAUUUAGAAAAAUUCAUUACCGGACAACUACCUCAAAAUUACCCGAACUUAUAAACUAUACAAUUAUUUUUUCCUGAUGUUCCAAAACACUUGCCAACUGAAAUUUUCUUUUGACAAAUAUGCAAUGGGUUUCUUGAAAUUGAAUGCUCAAUCCAGAAAUUGAAAAUGAAAUUGGAAGUAGAAAAAAAAUGGAAGGAAGAAAAAUACCCCAACAGUUAUAAAUGCAAUGUGAACAUAACAAGUUGUAUCAUCAUGAACAAAUUGAACAAUCCCCAAAACAGAUUUUGCAAUGGGAUUCUGACUCCAAUAAAUUGCAUCCAUGUUGACCAAAACUUUCCGAACAAAGGAUUCAGCUUCCCAUCAACAUGCAUCACAAACCUAUAACUUUAAAUUCUUCAAAAACAAUGGAAUUAAAUCAAGGCAGAAAAAAAACAAACAAGAAUUCUAACCAACGAUAAAAAAAAAUCCACCUUAACCCUUAAUCAUUGUCGUCCAAUGGGAGGUUCAACAUUGGACAUGAUUGAGAACUAUUGGUUCCCAGCCGCAAGUUUCGGCAUCGACAAAGAUUCUCCGAGGGAAAUGAAGAUUUUGGAAAUUGGUAGUGAAGAAAAAUAAGGUUGAAAGAAUUUUGUUUGGGGAGUUGACAAAAUUGUAAACCGAACCCCAUGUGUUUCAUUUUUCUCCUCAUCGGCCAGAAUUUUGUCAACUCCCCAAACAAAAUCCUGGCCGAUGAGGAGAAAAAUGAAACACAUGGGGUUCGGUUUACAAUGAUUUUUCUUAAUGAUUGUUGGAAGAACAAAGAGAUUUAAGGGUAACAAAAAGAAUGGAAGAAUGUUAAAUCCCAAAAGACUAAAUGGCCAAUUGAAUGCUUAAGGAAGUUUGAUUUGCCUGUUUUAGCAGUUUUUUUUUUUUAUGUAAAUGUUGUAGAAAGAGUAGAACAAGGACAUAAUUCACUUUUUUUUCUCUUUACAAAGUAACCAAUGACUUAAAAGAAAGACAUUGCACACUAAAUGCCCAUUAGAAAACAAUAUACAUCGAAAAGAAUAAAAAAUAUGCAAAAAUUCAAAAUGAAAGUGCAAGCAGAACAAAACGGACUUGAUUCACCAUGAACAGAUAGAACAAGCUCCAAAACGGAUUUUGAGUAGAAUUUCGUCUCAGAUUUGCAGUCUCCAGGUUUUCCAAAACGUUCCUAAGAAAGAAUCAGCACAACCCACAACUUUAAAUUCUUCAAAAACAAUGAAAUUAACUCAAAGCAGAAAAAAAAAGACAAAAACUCUAACCAACGAUAACAAAAAAAUAAACCUUAACCUUUGAUCCUUGCAAUCCAUUUGGGGGUUCAGCACUGGACUUGAUCGAGAACAAUCAGCUCCCAGCCGCAGGUUUCUGCAUGGACGAUGAUUUUUCGAGGAGGGAAAUCAAAUUUUUGGAAAUGGGUAGUAAAGAAAAAUAAGGUUGAAAAGAUUUUGUUUGGAGAGUGGGCAAAAUUCUAGCUGGUGAGGAGAAAAGAAAAGACAUGGGGUUCAGAUUCGAGGGAUUUUUCUUAAUGAUUGUUGGAAGAACAAAGAGAUUGUGAGGAGAUUUAAGGGUNNNNNNNNNNNNNNNNNNNNNNNNNNNNNNNNNNNNNNNNNNNNNNNNNNNNNNNNNNNNNNNNNNNNNNNNNNNNNNNNNNNNNNNNNNNNNNNNNNNNNNNNNNNNNNNNNNNNNNNNNNNNNNNNNNNNNNNNNNNNNNNNNNNNNNNNNNNNNNNNNNNNNNNNNNNNNNNNNNNNNNNNNNNNNNNNNNNNNNNNNNNNNNNNNNNNNNNNNNNNNNNNNNNNNNNNNNNNNNNNNNNNNNNNNNNNNNNNNNNNNNNNNNNNNNNNNNNNNNNNNNNNNNNNNNNNNNNNNNNNNNNNNNNNNNNNNNNNNNNNNNNNNNNNNNNNNNNNNNNNNNNNNNNNNNNNNNNNNNNNNNNNNNNNNNNNNNNNNNNNNNNNNNNNNNNNNNNNNNNNNNNNNNNNNNNNNNNNNNNNNNNNNNNNNNNNNNNNNNNNNNNNNNNNNNNNNNNNNNNNNNNNNNNNNNNNNNNNNNNNNNNNNNNNNNNNNNNNNNNNGAAAAUUUCUUGGCUUCAUUGUAAGGCAUCGAGGGAUCGAAAUAGACCAGUCCAAGAUUGAUGCCAUUCAGAAGAUGUCAAGACCUAAAAGUUUGCAUGACCUAAGAAGUCUCCAAGGACGACUGGCUUACAUCCGAAGGUUCAUCUCUAACUUGGCCGGUCGGUGUCAACCUUUUCAAAAGUUGAUGAGAAAAGGAGAAAAUUUUGUGUGGGAUGAAGCUUGUCAGAACGCUUUUGAUAGCAUAAAGAAAUACUUGCUUACUCCCCCAGUGCUGGGAGCUCCAGUACCUGACAAACCACUAAUAUUGUACAUUGCUGCACAAGAAAGGUCCUUAGGAGCAUUACUGGCACAAGAAGAGGUAAAGGGAAAGGAGCGUUCUCUCUACUAUCUAAGCAGAACAUUAAUUGGGGCUGAAGUUAACUAUUCUCCUAUCGAAAAGAUGUGUCUUGCACUUUUCUUUGCCAUUGAUAAGUUGAGGCAUUAUAUGCAGGCCUUCACGGUUCAUCUAGUGGCAAAAGCAGACCCUAUAAAGUAUGUUCUAUCCAGGCCAAUCAUCGCUGGACGCUUAGCCAAAUGGGCGGUUCUACUCCAACAAUAUGACAUUGUCUAUAUUCCCCAAAAGGCGAUAAAAGGACAAGCGCUAGCAGACUUUUUAGCAGACCACCCAAUUCCUUCGGAUUGGAAGUUAUGUGAUGACCUACCAGACGAUGAGGUUUUCUUCACAGAAGUUAUGGAACCUUGGACUAUGUACUUCGAUGGUGCAGCUCGAAGAAGUGGUGCGGGGGCAGGCAUUGUCCUCAUUUCUCCUGAGAAGCAUAUGUUGCCUUAUAGCUUUGCACUUUCCGAAUUGUGUUCAAACAAUGUGGCUGAAUAUCAGGCUUUGAUAAUUGGCCUUCAAAUAGCAUUAGAAAUCGGAGUGUCAUUCAUAGAGGUCUAUGGUGAUUCAAAAUUGAUAAUCAAUCAACUCUCGCUUCAAUAUGACGUGAAACAUGAAGACUUGAAGCCAUAUUUUGCUUAUGCUCGACAAUUGAUGGAAAAGUUUGAUAAUGUGAUGUUAGAACAUGUCCCUAGAGUAGAAAAUAAGAGAGCGGAUGCAUUGGCAAAUUUAGCCACGGCCUUGACCAUGCCAGAUGAUGUAACUCUGAACAUACCACUUUGUCAACGAUGGAUUAUACCCCCAGUUAGGCCUGAAUGUCAGGAAGUGAACAUGGCAACAUCCUAUUUGAUUGAUGAAGAAGAUUGGCGUCAACCCAUCAUAGAGUAUCUUGAACAUGGAAAGCUUCCAAAGGAUUCUCGUCAUAAAAUUGAGAUACGAAGAAGGGCAGCACACUUCAUUACAAGGGAACUUUAUAUCGCCGUUCUCUUGAAGGGCUCUUCCUUCGAUGUCUCGGAAAGGAAGAUUCGGUAAAAGCUCUAAAGGAAGUACAUGCAGGUGUUUGUGGAGCACAUCAAUCGGGACCAAAGCUUCAAUUCCAGCUAAGAAGAAUGGGCUACUACUGGCCUAAGAUGAUCCAAGAUUCAAUAGACUAUGUGAAGAAGUGUGAGCCUUGUCAAUACCAUGCAAACUUCAUACACCAACCUCCAGAACCUCUUCAUCCAACUGUGGCUUCUUGGCCUUUUGAGGCUUGGGGACUCGAUCUGGUUGGCCCCAUUACACCAAAAUCAUCAGCAGGACAUUCUUAUAUCCUAGCAGCAACAGACUAUUUUUCAAGGUGGGCUGAGGCCAUUUCUUGAGAGAAGCCAAGAAGGAGAACGUGGCAGACUUUAUUCGAACACACAUCAUCUAUCGAUACGGUAUUCCACAUCGAAUCGUGACGGAUAAUGGAAAGCAAUUCUCCAAUAGUAUGAUGGACAAGUUAUGUGAAAAAUUCAAAUUCAAGCAAUAUAAGUCAUCCAUGUACAACGCAGCUGCGAAUGGACUAGCAGAAGCAUUCAACAAAACAUUGUGUAAUCUUUUAAAGAAAAUUGUCUCCAAGUCAAAGAGGGAUUGGCAAGAAAAGAUCGGCGAGGCAUUAUGGGCUUAUCGGACGACUCAUCGCACCCCUACAGGGGUUACACCAUAUUCGCUUGUUUACGGUGUGGAGGCUGUCCUUCCUCUCGAAAGGGAAAUUCCGUCACUAAGAAUGGCAGUACAAGAGGGAUUGACUACCGAAGAUAAUGUGAAGUUACGUCUUCAAGAAUUAGAAGCACUUGACGAAAAGCGAUUAGAGGCUCAGCAAGCAUUGGAAUGUUAUCAAGCGAGAAUGUCCAAAGCUUUUGAUAAACACGUUAAACCUCGCUCCUUUCAAGUCGGUGAUCUAGUACUUGCCGUAAGGAGACCGAUCAUCACAACAAGGCAUACAGGAAAUAAGUUCACACCUAAAUGGGAUGGACCUUACAUUGUUAAAGAAGUUUAUACAAAUGGCGCAUACAAGAUCGUUGAUCAAGACGGACUACGAAUUGGCCCAAUCAAUGGUAAAUUUUUAAAAAAUUUAUGCUUAAUUUUGUUAGGUAAAAAAAAAAAAAAAAAAAAGUUGAACUACGUUAUGACUUGAUCCCUAUAUUAUAAAGGGUACGUAGGCAGCUUAAGGAAAACCUUAAGCCCAGUCCAGCAAAAAAAAAGUUGAACUACGUUAUGACUUGAUCCCUAUAUUAUAAAGGGUACGUAGGCAGCUUAAGGAAAACCUUAAGCCCAGUCCAGCAAAAAAAGUUGAACUACGUUACGACUUGAUCCCUAUAUUAUAAAGGGUAUGUAGGCAGCUUAAAGGAAACUUUAAGUUCAGUCCAGUAAAAAAAAGGAAGAAAGACAAAUUACAUUUAAUAGAAAAUAUGAUGAGGAGUGGAACAAUGAAAGAAUAAAUUUUUUUUAUUUAUUAUAAACUUCUAGCAAAAAAAAAAAUUAAAAAGGCAUAAGUAGAUAAAUAAGAGAAAGCAGAGAAUCAUGGAGUCCAUUUAAAGUUCUUCAGCUCCUCUAGUGUGCUUUCUAAAGAUUCACGAAGUGUUGAUAGCAUUUUAGCAUCAAUAUCUCCAACGAUCGGGGCACAUUCGAGUUUGUCAAUUUCCUCACAAGUCUUCGAAAUCUCAUGUUGCUUCUGCUUCAGCUCCAGGUCGUUCUUAAAAAUUAUUCCAGAAAGUUUAGCAGACUCAGCCCGCACCAUCUUUAGUUUUGCCUCUAGUUUAGCCUCCUUGGCGGACAGUCGUGUAAGACGACGUUUAGCAGUGUUGGUCUCUGCCAAUAUACGAUUCUCAUCAACUCGCAGAGUCUUCACAAAACCUUUUGCCUCCGUUAGCUGAACAUCCUUAGUUGAUUGGAGUAGAAAUGAGGAAUGUAUUUGAUUAUGGUUCUCGACACCUUGGAAGUAACCAUUCACAAGCUCCCUCAAAACAAUAAGGUUGUCGCUGCCGCUAGUCGCAAUCGCAUCAAAGAUCUUAUGCAUUUCUGGUUCAAGACUACUCAGUCGUUCAAAAGGGGUACGAAUGAUCUUCUGUCGUAGGUUUUCCCAUAAGGUUAUGGCAGCCUGUCGUCGGAGGUCAGAAAUUAAGCUGUCAGCACAAAAAUGAGAAAUCUCAGAAACUGUAAUAGGCUCCGUGCCUUCCACUUUUUGAGGAGGUCCCUUGAUCACAGGAGGACAAGCAGACACAAUAUUUGCGCCUAUAGGUUCCUUAGAGUUCCCAUUAUAAGAAAGUACAACGUUACAGUCUUCUAGAUUCGGCAUCGACUCUAGGGUAUCUUCGAUGUGUAGGUCGUGAUCACCUAAAGAAGACUGCAAAAUAAUAUUAACAACAAGAAAUAAGAGAGUAAAGGAGAGAAAAUACAAUAAAUAAAUAAAUAAAAAGGGAGACGAAAAGAAACCAUGGGGGAAGGGACAUCGAAGAAUUGUGCAGCAUCAGGGACCCGAAUAGGAGACUCUUCAUCAUCGAUCGACUGUUUGUUGGCUUCUUGGUCUCUUCCAAUGGCGAUCAUCAUGCUGCUUUGACUGUCCUCAAUACGUUUAGAAGGAUGCUUGGUAGCUAUGAUAAGCUGGUUGUCCUUACCCACAUUGUCAAUACACCUUUAAUAAGAUGUUUAAAUCGUGUUAGAAAAGAGACAAUUAUCCACCAAGCGUUUUGUCCCUCCCUCAAUUUUCUCCACAAGUCGUUCAUCAGUUUCAUCGAGCAUAUCUUCUGAUUUCCACUACCAAAAUUAUGUUCAAUCUUUUUUGUGGUUUUGGAUUUGAUGUGAGGGGGAGUAGGACGAUCUAUCAAAUGUUGUACUCCUUCUUGGAGGUAAUCACCGUGUUUUUGCAAGCCACCGACCUUAUAAUGAGAGGUAACAUGUGUGUCUGGAUUAGGGGCGACACAGGAAGAUAUACUUGGGAAAGUGUAUUCUCGCGAAUACAAAUCAUCCAACAAUAUCGUACGUUAAAAAAAUUGGCUCGGGAAUUUCUUCACCUAAGUCAUAUGCACGUCUUGAUAAAAUCCAAAUUGUCGGCUAAAGCGACAAGGACUAUAAGGCUCAAUGUGGAGGAUCCACAUUGCGAGGAUAGAAAACAAGAGCGAAUGCUUAUGAAAAAUGAAGCAUUCCAACUAAUUAACUCUCCAUCAUCCGUUAAGAGUUCGUCCUUAUUCUUUGUUGGAAGACACGCAUGCCAUGACACAUACUUUUCCCUUGUGGAUAUGUGUUCGAGCCUCAAGAUUAGUAUAAUAUUUGGCCCCACCUUCACCAGAAAAUUCAACCAUGCGAGGACCCCUAAGACUCCUAGGGCUUUAUAAUGAGUGUUGAAGUAAAGAGCAAGCCACCCAUGGACAUAGUGAAGAGGAAAACAGGCAUUUGAAUAACCAAGUGAUGAAGUAGAAUCAUGAACUUGGCGUAGGCCACUAUAAUAUUAGCUAAAACAGGGACAACAAGGCUAAAUGUGUAGCCUUCCGCAUGAGGCUAGCAACCUUAAAAACCUCUGACGAAGGGAAAGUUGCUUAUCAGGGAACACAAAACACAUAGCCAACAAGAGAGAAUGCCGCUAGAUAGGUUUUGUCCCUAUGAUCAUCACGUGACGCUUAAGUCAAGGAACACUUUGAGUUCAGCUUUAGACCAGUCAGGACGUCUGAUGGGAAUUCCAUCUGGAUUAUGAGUUGAGCGAGGGCGAGAAGUCUUUUUAGGCUUUCGAGGAGCGGUUUCAAUACUUUACCUCAGAUCGUGUAACCCAAAAAGAGAUCCAUUCACUUACAGUGAUUUGAGAGUGAUCCAUGCGUUGAGAAAAGCUAAUAGGCUAAAAUAAAUGCUCACAACUUCUUGGACAUACAUCAGGUGAUCCUAUUAAGUCUUUGGCAAGGAAUGCUUUCUUCAUAAAAUCUACCUUUAAUCGGGAGUCCUCCUAGUAUCCAUAAGUCCAUAAGGAGAUGGACAUCUCACCAGCUGAGGUGUGAAGAGUGUUUGUUGAAGGACACCAUGCCUCGCAGAAAGCCCGAUCAAUGUCACUGUUGCGAUCAUAUGUAUAUAGGGAAGCCAUCACAGCAUUAAAUAGGGAGGCUCGCUUGAGUACUGCCGUAUUUCUAGCAACAACGAGCUCUAACCACUCCCAAUAAUGAGGAAGAUUGUAAAAUUCUCCAUGUACCUUGAGCACAUUUCCCCAACGAAUUUUUGGGUCGUUUAUAAUUCGACGACCCAACGUUGAUUCUGGAUCCUCAUUUGGAGGCUUGUUGUGAAUCGAAGACUCCAGAAACCAAGAUUUUAAAGAUGAAUUGGGAUUUACAAACCGUUCCUUGGACCAUUUAGGCAAAAAGAUAAAAUUGUCCUCGGGUAUUUGGGAGUCCAUAUAUUCUCAUAUGUCCCCUCUCUCACAGGAAGAAUGAUCCCUUCCUCUAAAGAUUGAUCUACGUCUUUCAGGAUAAUUAAACACCUUUUGGUCAGUCAGAAUACUCAGUGAAGUGCACCAUGAUGAAAAGUAGAGUUCCUGCAAAUAUAAUAAUAAUAAUAAUAAGAAUAGAAAAAAACCAAAACAAAAAAAAACAAAAGAAAAGAAAAAAAAGAAAGAAAGAAGAAAAAAAAGGGGGGGGGGGAAGAAAAAAAUGAAGAUUGAAGCCCGACGAUGACAAGAAUCGAUCUCUCCUACUAGGGCGAUAGAUCUGACGGCAAAAGCCGAUCGUCCCUAGAAGAAGCUCAACAAAGUCAUUUGCAAACGAAGAUCGAAGCCCGACGAUGACAGAGUCGAUCUCUCCUACUAGGGCGAUAGAUCUGACGGCAAAAGCCCGAUCGUCCCUAGAAGAAGCUCAACAAAGUCAUUUCUGCAAACGAAGAUCGAAGCCCGACGAUGACAGAGUCGAUCUCUCCUACUAGGGCGAUAGAUCUGACGGCAAAAGCCCGAUCGUCCCUAGAAGAAGCUCAACAAAGUCAUUUCUGCAAACGAAGAUCGAAGCCGACGAUGACAGAGUCGAUCUCUCCUACUAGGGCGAUAGAUCUGACGACAAAAGCCGAUCGUCCCUAGAAGAAGCUCAAAAGUCAUUCCUGCAAAAAAAAAAAAAAAAAAACAAAAAAAACAAAACAACACAAAAAAAACAAAACAAAACAAAACAGAAUUAAAAAAAGCAAAACAAAAAAAAAACACACACACAAAAAAAGAGAAAAAAGAGAAAGGGAGAAGAAAAGUUUUCUAUACCUUUCUGCUGAUUGGAUGAGGUAUAAGUGAGUAGGGUGUGAGUCUAUUUAUAAGUCCAACAAAUCCAAUUUUUAAAAGGAUUAGGAAUGAUAUUUAAUUAUUUUUUUUAAAAAAAAAACAAAUCCAAUUCCUAAAAGGAAUAGGAUUGAUUUUAAAUAUAUAUAUAUAUAUAUAAAGAAAAGAUAAUCCAAUUAUCUUAUUUUAUUUUAAAUUAUUUCUUUUUUUUUUGUUGGAUAAAUCUCAAGUUUAACUUUUAUUGAGAUAUUUAAAAUAUUUAAAAAUUUCAACAUUUAAAAAUAUAUAUAUAUAGAUAAAUAUUCUCAAUUUCAAAAUUCAAGUUAAAUUAACUUGCAUAUAUGACCUCAUUUUUAUCAUGAAUUUAAAUCGGAGCAUAAAUCCAACUUUACCUAAGAUUGAGGACCUGAUUUUUUAUCUCAAAUUAAAAUUGGUCAUUCCAAAUUCUUAUGCAUCCCCAAGAUAAAUUAAGGUACGGUAGAAACUUUAUCCUUAUUUCAAAAUUAAAAUUUUGGUUAUAUUCCAAAUUUUACUUAAAAAAAAUCAUCAUAUUAAAAAUUUUUUUUAUCCUCAAAUAAAAUUAAGUUAGGAAUAAAACUUUGAAUUUUUUUAAGGUUUGGCCAUAUUCCAACCCUUAUUUUAAAUUGAAAUCAAACUCACGUACUAAAUUCAAGUUUGAUUAAUUUGAUAUAUUGAAUUGAGUAAAAAAAAAAAAAAAAAAGAAGCUCGUACUUUGACUUCAAAUUUAUCUUUUCGAGAUUCAUUCACCCAUAUACGUGCAUAAAUCUCGAAAAGGGGGCAUUUGUUGAAUAAGAAAUUUUGAGACUAAUCACUAGUUGCCAUAUCAUUUAUUAAGUUAAUGAUGAAAAGUACAAAUAAUUAAAUUUGGGACUAAUUAAAAUUGACAUAUGCUCCAAAUUAAAGAGUUGAAAAUAAAUAAAAUGGUCAUUCUAAUAAUGCCACAUGUUUUCAUAUUAAUAGUUGGAUUAAGUUAAUCAUUUUAGUUCAAUUAAAUAUUAUUUACUUGGACUAAGUUCAAUUAAGCCCAAAAAAUAAGCUUAAUUGAACCCAAAGACUAAAUAUAACCUAAGUCCAUAUGGUUGAGCCCAUGGGUCUGGUCCAUGGACCAACCAGGUUCAAACCCAUAAAGCCCACCAGUGAAAUCUAUAAAUAGAGGAAUUCUCCUCAUUUGUAGGGGUUGGAAAUUUUGACUCUAGAAGAUCCAGAGAGAAUUCUUCAAAGAGCUAGAAGACUCCCUAACUCCUGAAGUCGACCAUCCUCGAAGAUUGAAGCUUCUUUAAAGAUACAAGCUUUCUUCAAGGCUUCAACUUCAAGAACAUCACGUGCUUCGCUUCCUCAAAUCAAGCUGAAGCAUCCAGUUGAGAGAGAAUCAGAGGAUCAAAUUCUAGAGAUUGAACCGCAUCGCAUCAAAUCAACAAAAUACAACAUCAAACUCAAGUUCAAGUCCACGAAUUAAAUUCUCCGAAAAUCUCGUGCGAACACAUAUAUUUCUAAAUAAAUUUAUUCGACGAAAGUGGCUAGAUUGGUGGGUUCGACGGCGAAGGCUUGUUGUGGCAGCAACGACAACAGUGGUUGGAGUGUGGAAUCGACGACGACAAGUGGCAAAAAAUUGGAAGGCAAGGGUUCUUCAUAACGACUCGGUAGCCCACUUCGUUCGACGAGAUUUUUUUGCAUUUUUGGUAGAGUGAGAAAAAAUUGCAUUAAGACUUCAUUCGACGACAUCGUUUUUGCUUAAGAGAAAAUUUGAUGUUUUUACUUAGUUGUAAUUGCGUGAGAGAGGGAAAUUAAAAAAUUUUGAAAUUUGAGGUUUUUUCAUUUGAAAUUUUUUUUAAUGACAAAAAAAUUGUCGUUAAUUAAUGACCCAAAAAUUGUGUGAAAUAAAUUAAAUUGUGUCAAUAGAAUUGUUUUAAGAAAUAAUCCAUAUUUUUAUUUUCAACAACACAUGUACCUCAUCCACCUCUUUUUUCUUUUAUUUUCAACGACACAAUGUCUUGAUUAAAAUCCAUUUUUCUAGUGACAAAUGUAUCCAUACCAAAGUGGGAAGCAGCUAAGGGGACGAAGGUAUAUUCGGAGAGAGAUUGUUAAACAAUUGUAAAAAGUAAGCCCAAGAAGAGAGGUCCAAUAAAAUUCAGCCACCUCUCACAUAGUAAUUGAAAUAGUCUAGCAAUUUCAACCAUUUCCCUCACAGAGAAGAAGAAGACCAUAGCCACUCGAGGCUUUUGCACAUACAAACACCAAGAAGAUGGUGUCCGGUUCCGUACCUGUGCUAAGCGCGUCGUUGUUGACAUAAAGUUUCUAUAUACAAAGCUAUGUAUCUCUACCCUUGACUUCUCUUUCUCUCUUUCUACCUUUUUUAUCCUUUCUUUCUCCCAUUCACUCAAUACACUUGCAAGAACCUUCAUUUUUUUUGUAUUUAAAUUUUCUUGGCACCAUCCUUUUUUAAUUAUCAAGGCUUUGUUAUUGUGUACCUGUAUUGUGUCGUGCCUCCUUCACUUCUCAUCAUCAUUUUCAUGUCACAUCUCUACCUUGUCAAUUUUCGUUUUUCACUCAGCUUUCUUUCUUCAUUUGUCUUCACUACUCUCUUCGCUCCUUCUUCUCAAGCUCUAACUUUUGCUAUUAUUAACCAGUCUCAAAUGACCAUUGGAAAACCUAUAGCCCACUGAGAGGCAGCCAAUAUAGUAAUGCCUCUAAUGAUAAACUCCAAUGAAAUCAAAAGUUCUUCUUUGAGAUUUGGAAAAAUAUAUUAGAUAAAGCAUAAUUAGUUGAAAAAGAACCUUAAAAUUUUGUGUUAAACGACUACAAUUUCAUCGUAGAAUAUGCCAUAUUGACAGCAUAUUUUUCCUACAAAAACAUAUUAACUAAAAUAAGCUCAUAAACACGAAAAUGCACUAAGUGUUGGUUAACAUACACUACCUUGAAAUAUGAUGAAGACUUUAUUUCUCCCAACCAGACAGCAUAAUCAGGAGGUAGUUUGGGAGCAAACAGAAUUGACUUAAUUUCCACUAGCAAUAUCCUAUAAAAAUUUCAAAUUCUUGAAAUAUGGAAACCAAUGGAAGUUUUAGGGAAUGAAGUAUAACCUCUAAAUACAGAAGGACGACAUAAAGGGGAAUGAAGACUCGAAAGAAGGACGACGUUUUCGUAGAGAAGGACGACAAUUUUGAGGGACAACGGACACGAUUUCAGAGUAUUAGGGAUGGUAGAUGGCGAAAGUCUUAGGGAUCUCGUACUCAGUGGAUGGUGAACGACUGAAAGCGAAGGACCUAGUACGCAUUUUUGGAGAGGGCGUGUGAACGCGGAUGGACGGACGGUGAACACGGCAGAAGUGAGAGAUCCUCAUAGAGAACUUGGCAUUUUCGAAUGCGGUAGAGACAAGUCUAGGGCUUCGAAGGAUUCAACCCAAUAUUUUCUUUAUAUAUAUAUAUAUAUAUAUAAUAUAUAUUUAAUAACACUUGACGUUUUUAAAACGUAAAGAAAAACGAUUUUACUUGACGUCUAAAAAACAUCAAGAAAUUUAAAAAAUAACUCUUCUCCGGCUUUUUAUAAAAAUUCUUGACGUUUUAAAACAUAAAGAAUUUUUAAGAUAUUUCUUGACGUUUUUAAAAUGUCAAGUAAAAGUACAUAUUACUUGACGUUUGAAAAUUUUGAAGAAUGUUGAAUAUAUAAACAUUCUUGACGUUUUUAAAACGUCAAGAAAAAAUACAUAUUAGUUGAUGUUUAAUAAACGUCAAGAAAUCUGAAAAUUGACCUACCCUCGCCUUUUCUAAAAAUUCUUGACGUUUUAUCUUUGGAACUACCCCUUUCUUGACGUUUUUUGAAAAAAAAUGUCAAGAAAGAAAAACAACAAACGUCAAGAAAGGCCUUUUUUGUAGUAAUGACAUACAAUAUAUAUAUAUACAUAAAUAAAUAAAUAAAUAUAUAUAUAUAUAUAAUGAAUUAAAAUGGUUUUGUUGCUUUACUGUUUUACUCUAUAAAGGAAGAGCAUUAUAAAUAUAUUAUUGAGGAAACAUCUUUCGAAAUGACUGGUUUUGGAAGUGUCAUUAGAUUUUUAGUUAGUUAAGCACAUUUUCCUCCCAAAUAGUAGUCGAAAUACAACUGUUUUUUAAGAAGAAGAAACCGAAUCCUUCAAACUAGGAUAAAAGUCAUUAUCUAUUAACAUAGAGUUAAAGUUACAAGGUUGAAGGCUAGAGGGAAGCCUGAAACAACCUAAUCUAACAAAGCUUAAAGUUAAGAGUUGGUAGUAACAUCAUAUUAGUUACAAGAUGAAUGACGCCUAGACCAAACUUCGAUCAAGUUACAUGUGUCUUCCCACAAGUUAACAAUAAACCUUGAUUUAUCCUUAAAAAUUCUAUUGUUUCUUUCUAUCCAAACAAUCCAAAGUAAGCCAGUUAUGGAGGAGGAAUACACAUUAGAGAGCUCAAUUAUGGAUGGAGGAAUACACAACUUUUUCUCGUGGUCAUUUUCCUCGUGGGCAUUCUCUUCAUGUUUCUUCUUAUUCCGACUAAAAUACAAGCACAAAUUAUUCUUCGCCUUCGUAUAGGUUUGUUUGAAGAAGAUUAAAAAAGUCCUUAAUUUAUCUCGACACUUCCAAAACCAGAAUAUAAUACCCGUGCUACAUAAAUCCCUCUUUCCAAAUAGUCGAACAUGAACUAUCCAUGCAUAUCUUGGAAUAAACAAGAGAAACCCUAACUAAACGCAAAUAGAAAAUACGUUGCAAUCUAAAAUAUAGUUAAAGAAACAAAAAGAAGUUUUAAUGUUGUGGGUUUUUUACUGAUCUUCUUCAACAACAAAAUAACUCAACGCCACAGUUCAAUUUUUCCUUCCACGAAUUGGGUUUUUAAAGAGUUUUCACCGCGAAUAAAUUUUUUUUGGUUCGACAAGUAACAACAUGUGAAUCCCCAAAUGCAAGGUUUUAUUAAAAAUUAAAAAUAUAAUUUUUUAAAAAAAUUAUAAUACCUAAAAAUAUAUUUUUUUUAUAUUUAUAACCUAAUUUUCUGUCAUUGCAUACUUGAGAGAAAUAUAUUUUUCAAUUAGCAUAAUAACCUUUAUAUAGUAAAUUAAAUUUGUAGAAUGAGAAAAGACCUUAGAUCCAAAAAAGUUAUUUAUUUAUUAUUGGAGUGAAUUGUAUAAUUAAUGUAGUUAAUGGAUGGUUUUGUAACCAUAAAAAAAUAAUGAAAAUAAUUUUCUAAAAGAAUGAAUGAAAAUUUGGAAAGUUAAAAGGUUUUAGGAAUUAAAAAAAAGGGUGUAACAUUAUAAAAGACUACCAAAUAUACUGUAAGAGACAUGCAUUAAAGGAGCUGAGUGUCACGUGUGAAAUUUUGACCCCAAAAAUCACCCCCAAAAUUGCGCUAAUUCAUGCCACGACUCCUUCAGCAAGGCCCAGGAGCAGCCCAACGUGGUCCUAAGACAGCCUAAGGGCGACCACGACAUGUGCCUACGGCAUUGGCAUGCACCUCUCGAGGACAGCUCACAAGCCCCGCACGCGUGCCACGACGAGUGCCCAUGACAGCCGAGUGUCAGCCCACGACACAGCCCCAUAGCACGCCAGAUGCCCGUUGACACGGCCAUAGGCGCCCGGCACCAGCGCCCACCAUCGACCCAGCGCGCGCCGUGUCCGCCCAACGUCCAGACGGCCCCAGAACCUCCGAGAAGCUUCCAGAAGAAUCGGGAAGGCGCGCAACACUUCGCGUGGCGCGCACGGCGCGAACCCAACGCGCGCGCCGACGCCCCCAGAUGCUUCCAGAAGGCUCCACACAUGCCCAUGUGUGUGCUGCCCGCCCAUGCUCAGUCUAGACAACCCCAGAAGCCUCUAGAACGUUCGAGACAGUGCCAGAAUGUGCUGGAAUGCGCGGAGGCUCCCGAGAAGGCCCCGGAACGUGCUGGAUGAUGCUGGAACGUGCUGGAACACUCUAGAAGGCUAUAUGACGGUCAGCGAGUGUCAUGAAAGGUCUAGUCCUCUCUAGAAUGUUCUAGGCUUCCUUGUUAUGUACCAAAUGAACUUGUAAUCUCUAGAAUCUCCCUUGGCCGACCUUCUAAGGCCCAAGGUCGGUGGGGAUGGUCUAUAAAUACUUGGGAGGGCCUCAUUUGUAUCAAGCCUUGCAACCUUGCAUCUUGGCAUGUCUUAGCCAAGCAAGGUCACCUUGCCACCCAAAGUCUCCUUGCCCAUGGUAUCCCCAUGACAAGAAGACAGCAUAUUUGUACCCAAAUAUGUAUUCAUCUAUUGUUGGAAUGCAAUGUAUCAUUCCAAAGACGUAUCCAUCCAAACUCCCUCAUCCUUCCAACCUCUCUCAUGUCUUGCAACCAACCUUAGUACUUCCGCUGCAACCGUUGUCGUAGUGCUUGGCACACUACCCCUUCCGGGAAAGGCUUACUUGGCUACGUGGGCAUUGUAGUUAGCCAAGUGCCGCAUGUAUGGUUAGCUUCAAGAUCCUAACCACGUGACAUGAGGCAUGCAUACUACCAAAUAUACUAUAAAUAAACCAUAAUUCUUUUUUAAGAAAUUAAACAACUAAUUAAAUAUAAAGAAGAAAGAUUAGAAAAUGAAUGAUCAAACAAACUAUGACUCAUUUAUUUUUGACAGGUUCGGCCAGUAUCACCUGACAAUUCAUUUUCACCAAGAGAAUAAACAUGAGUAGCCUUGGAAUCAAGUUCCUCCGAUAAAAGCCACGGAGUUGAUGGGUUAGAGACAGAACCAGAAUUUGAGUUCAACGAUGUGGAUGGAAAAUUCUGAAACUAGGAGCAACAGGAAGUUAAGACAACGAAUUAUUUUCAAUAUAGAAAGGCUAAUUGUAAGAAGUUGUUAAUGAAGUGUCCAAAUGCAUUAUGGUAAUAUUGGGUGCAGAAUGUUUGGAAGUUUUAUCCGUGUGCUGUGAAGCACCACAGAGUUGAAGCAUAUGAAACCAGUGUUUAUCUGACAAAAAAUAGUGUCAUGAUCAUUGCCUUUCCAUUCCAUAAAUUUAUGGAUAGCAGAAGAAAGAGAACUCUCAACACUUGAAUCACCAUAUAGCACUCUACAUCCAGGUGGUGCCUUGAUUUUUGAAGAUUUAGUUAAAAGCAGUGAUAAAAUUGGUACAUAAAUUACAGUGCAUUUCUCGAUAUGCAACAACAUUAAGAGCAACUUAAAGACAACAUCAUCAAGAAAUCUAGUAUUUAAAAUGUACAAAGAGCAGUAGUAAACAUAUGUAUUUUAUGGCUGACUUUAUCCAUAAUAAAUGUUGGAUUAAAUCAUCAAAAUAAAACACAAACAGAUAAUUAUCGAGUUUUUCAAUGGAGGAUAGAGAGGAAGACAUGCAUGCACAACUACUAGAUCUAUAUGGUGCCAGACUGCCAGUAAAAAUUUAAAGACACACAUGACAACAUUAUUUUGGAUGAAGUUCUAAUAUUGCAACCAUGGAGGAAAAAUCAGCAAAUCUUAAAUAGAUGUAGUAGUCCAAAUGAUAAAAGUUUGUCUCAAGAUAAUAUUUCAGUAACUGCAGAUGCAUUGUGUUGAACCUAACCUCUUGUGUUUCACGGUAAUGAACAAGGACAAUGUGUUCAAAGGUCCUGAACAAAAAGCAGAAGCAAGUCAUAAAUUAUAUAAGUAGAACACGAUAUACUGCCACUUCUAAUUUCAUUUUUCUUUGCUUGUGGCAUGAUGGGGAUAGACCCCACUGAAACAACUGGUAGCAAGCAAUUUAACAAUUUUCUUUCAACCAUAACAUACUUAUCUAGGAGCCAAUAACACCGGCGAACAAAGGUUGGGCUAUCUAGUCCAUGGGCAUAGUAUACAUGUAUCCUUUCUACAUUACCAACCUGCCGAAGAGAAAGAAAAGAUUAUCAAAGCACACCUUUUCUUGGUUAUUAAGGCUGUAAAAGAAUGAAAAUUACCAUAAAUCUAAACACAGUUAAUAUUAGACCAUUGAACAACCUAUAGAUUCAAAAGGAAAGACUCAAACCACCAAUAGACUGGUUAAUCAUUUAAAAUGAUCUCCAACAACAUGAUACGCAGUAUAUCGUGCUAGAUCCAUAAUUACCACAUGUGGACUCCUAUGGUAAUUUCAUUGAUGAUACGCAGCUAGUAGGCAAGAUUAUGAAAUGAAGACGGUAUGUGAGAAGAUUGAAAAGAUCAACAUGAUAAAAUUAUAGGGAUUUGAAUUUAUAUCUUAAGAACACCAGAGUCAAAUGCUUAAGCUGAUUAACUGUGUUAAAUUUAACUCUAUAAUAUAUUUUAAAUCUGAACAGUCAUUAAACAACUACAUUUUGAAUAAGCUUUAGAGAAUAUUAGCAAAAACAGUAGAAAUUACUUCAAAUUUGUAGAGAGAACAUAUAAAUUAUAUUCUACAGAAACACGAGCCCAUAGCAUGUCUACUGAGUAGCAAUGACAGUGAAAAAGGGAAUAGUAAGUAACUAAUCUCAUAAACCCCUUUCUCACAUCUAACCAAGUUCUUUCAUGACAUGCAAAAGCAUCAAAAUAUUUAAGAAAACUUCCAAUAUUGCAUUUGGAACUCAUUGAUUGACUUCAACGUUUAAGAGUCAUAAAAGACACAACUUACUUUCUCACCUGUCACCACUAAGCCUACGGCAACAUCUUUUUAUAAGAUAUUCAGCUAAUCUUUAGAUUGUUUACCGAAUAAUCGUCUAUUGUUUUGUAAUUGAUCCCACCAAGCGCUUGCGCCACCUUGAAGUUUGAGAGCAACUAAUCGAACCUUCUUGUGUUCGUGGUGUAUUGGCAUAGUCGAAAAAAUUUCUACGUUCUUGAUCCAAUCAAGAAACUUCUCCACGUCCAUUCGACCAUUGAAGGUAGGGAGAUCCACUUUCAUACGUAUUUCUUGAUCUUCUUGAAAGUAUGGUCGAAGUCCAAGCCUUUGUUGAGGUUCUUGAUGAAUGUUCAGCAAGUUGUCUUCAUCGGAAGAGUCAGAAUCAUUUAAGAAAUUUCAGGUACGUUGUUUCCAUACAAUCGAUUAUUGUGGAUGUGAAUAGGUUGAUUUCUUAGUAGUUCUUAGUUUACAACAGGGUUUAUUGGUCUUUCUUGUCUUUCUUGGUUUGCUGCAAUUGGGUUUCUUGGGGCUGAAUUGCUUCUUCUAAAGGUUGGACAUGAAAUCGGGUAAAAAGGUUUGUUAAUUCUACUAACGAUUGCUGUAUAUCUGACUGCCCUUUUCGAAGUUCUUCAAUAGCUUGUUCUACCAACUGCAAGCGUUGGUUGAAGGAGGCUUCCGCGUCCAUGGAUAAGAGUGGUAGGAUCCAAGUUUUUUUAGGGAAGAGUGAGCUAGGAUCACGCUCUGAUACCAAUUGAUUCAGUAAUUGCAAAGCUAGAAAUCUUUAUGUAUAAUGCCUCUUUUUUUUUAUGUCUUAUUAAUGAAAAUGAGAAGCUUUUUUAUAGGCUGGAGAUUAUAAGAGUUGUUAAACUAACUUGGGGUUGAGUUAGUUAACUUGGAGUUGAGUUAGUUAUAACUAACUCAAGAUACAAAAUUGGUAAUUCAAAUAACUAAUCCUAAACUAUAAAAAUGGUAAUUCAAACCCCUCCUCUAGGAUAAAACUCAAGAAACAUCAAGAAGGGAGAUGUUCUACAUCAAAGUGUAGAGAACGAUUCAAAAUCCUUGGUGAAAGAAAUGAAUGUUAACUAAUGUGUGUUUAUGUGAAAUUGUUCAAUGAGUAUGUUAAGGAUAAAGAAAGGUUUAUGCGAGAUAAAAUUAUUUGAUGUUGUUUAUGCGAAAUGAUGUUUAUGAAAAGGUAUUGCGAAAAGGAUUUCAUAAAACCUUAGUCUUUUAGACAUUCUUUCAAAAAUUCAUCUUCCAAGAUGAGGUGUUUAGGCCAAGUAGAGAAGAAGGUUGAAGGAUUUGCAGCGAGAUGACCAGACGUUUUGAAAAUAGUUAAGCAUUGGUUGUUUGGUCAAAGUGUUGUAAUUAUGUAUCAAACACAUGUUAUUAAUAAACAUCUUGGUAGGUAUUUAUUAUACUUGCACGCCUACUCUCACAUUUAGCCAUAUGUUGUACUUUGUUUUCCACCUUGACUUUUAAUGACACACAAACCAACUUUCCAAGGAAUUCCCUUUCAUUUUCCUAUUAACUCAUAUUCUCUUUUUUUAUCAAGUCCUUGAUAGAGAAAGUGGACUUUGAGUUGUUGGACUUUAGUAUUGCAUGGACAUACAAUUUUGAAUGAAAAAUCCUUAUAAAUGGGGCCUUUUAACUCAUUUGAUGGGUUGGCUAUUGAAUUUGGGCUUUCAUACCAAAUGGAAUUUUUUUUCUUAUUUACUUAAAGAAAAAAAAAAAAAAUUUACCACGCCCAUUUUUUUUCAUCUAUUUCUUUCGUCCGGUUCUUUCAUCCAACGAGUCCCACAACUCGAUUAUGAGUCUAGAAGUACUAAGUCAAACUUAGUGGUUGUUCGAAUAAAACGCAACUUCAAAUGUAAGUAUUCUAAAAACCUUAUUUUUUGGUUUAGUCUCGUUAAUUAAGCCCAAUUAGGGUAGAAUUUCGAUUCUUUUUCUGUUGUGCAUGUCUUAGUUCUAUCAGUAACUCCCUUCAGGGUGAUAACUCUCAUCAGCAGACUUUCCAUUACUGGUUUCUUCCUUAGUCAUCAUUAUAUUGUUGUUUUCCACAAUAGAUAGGGUGAGUUGCAGUUUUACAUGAAAUGCUCUGCUCACCCACACUCUUUUCUCACUAGUUCCUUAUUCUCAAUCUUCAACGCAAAUUUCAUCAUCUGGGCCAACCCAAUCGGUUCCACAGUUUCCACUUCCAUUUUUAUUCAUGGGCUAAGCCCAAUCAUCAAAGUCUCCUCUAACACUACCGUUUGAAGAAAUGCUACUAGAGCUAAAUAUCGAUCAAAUCGGUUGCGGUAUUCUUCUAAUCAUUUUCUGUUUGAUUGAGAAAAAUCUUCCAACCAAAGUUCCUUCUCGAAUUGAUCGAAACUGUACAAGCAUUCGUUCUUUCAGGUCAGCCCAAUUCUUAAAAACUUCCAACUCUUCUUGUGCUUGGUACCAAUCCAAUGCCAGAUCAUCAAAACUAAUAACGCUGUGGUUAAUUUCUCUGAAUCAGUAAGAUCAUGUAUCUUAAAGAAGCGAUAGGCUCUAAAUUGAGACCCAUUUCUAAUUUGAGUAAUGAAGUAAAUUUGGCUAGGUAUUAAGAAUUUGGCGUUUGAAUAAAUCCACGAAAAGGAUUAAGCGAUAAAAAAAUUUAUGGUUAAGUAUACGUUAUUGCGAUUCAGUGGGUAGUUCGCGAAGGAAGUUGUGCGACCCAUUUCUAAUUCGAGUAAGGAAGUAAAAUUCGGCUAAGAAUUAAGAAGUUGGUGUUCAAAUAAAUCCAUGGAAAGAUUAAGUGAUAAGAUCUUUUACGGUUAAGUAUACUUUUUUGCGAUAAGUGGUAGUUCGCGAAAGAAGUUGUGCGAUAAGAAGCGAAAAAGUCUUUGCGUAAGUUAGAAAUGAAAGUUUUGAGUGUUAGACUAGGAGUUUUGGGUGGUCUUCGCGAGAAGAACCAAGUGUUUCGUGGAGAAGAAGUCUACGAGGAAGCCUUGGAGUUUAAGUUCGUGAUAAGAGUUUUAUGCGAGUAAAAGUUGGUUAGUUCAUGUGGAACGUUUCUUAUAAUAAAAAUAUAAUCAAGCGAUAAGGUUAUUCACGAGAAAUGUUAAGUGGUUGAAUUUAUUCACGGUUUGGGUUAGGCGGGAGCAAGGUUUGUAAAGAAAAUGUCAAAUCUGAUUUGACAUGGGUUAACAUGUAAGAUUAAGGAUUUGAGCAUGACUAGGUUAAAUAUUAAGGAUUUGCAUGACUAAGUUAGUAUAAGGGAUCUAUAAAAUAGGAGAAUUUAGGUAACUAAGGAGGGGAUGACGAGAGUUUUGUUGAAAUGCUAAAGUGUUGUUGGUUUAGCCACGAAAAGAUGGUUGUGAGAAGGACUUCUUUAGUAAAUUUUGGUGAGUGCUUUUCAGUCAAAAGAAUUUAUGUUAAGAAACUUUAUUACGAUUUCUCUUUACUGAUUGAAAGAAGAAUUCAGAUGAGAAUGUUUCAGAAAGAUUUCUAUGAAAAGUUAUGUUCAAGCAUUAUUAUAAUGUUAAAGCUUGAUUUGAUGACUAUGAUUUCAAUAUUAUGUUUCUUUGAGAUGAUGCUAACUUUUGUGUGCACAUAAAGAGUGAAGGCACUAUGGAGUGUACGAACUACAUGGUAAUAAGAAGCUGACUUAUGCAUUGAAAUGAGCGUAUAAAGCUUAGCGGAUGACAACAAAGACGAAUUUGUAUGUUCUCAGAUGUUGAUACAGUAGUCUAAACGCGAGGUAAUGACACCAGCGUAGAGAAUGAUUCGGGAUCCUUGACAAAUGAAAUGAUUUUUUAAGCAUAAAGAAAGGUUUAUUCGAAAUGAAAUAAUUUUUCGGUAUAUUUAAAUGAUUUGAUAUUAUUUUACAAAAUGAUUAUGAAAAGGUAUUGUGAAAGGUUUUCAUAAAACCUUAAAGGAUUUAAAAAAAAAGUGGACCAUUCAACUUAAUUCCCAUCCACUAUCCUCUUGUCCAACAUGAAACUUUAUCUUAGUAAAACUUCUUGAUCCACUAUUUUACAAAAAUAUUCAAAACAAUACCAUACUACACCAAAUGUGAUAUUUUGGUAACACUAUAAAAUGGUCAGAAAUACCAUUUUCCUGACUUUUUUUUCAUCGACCAUUAAAGAAAAAGUAUAGAUGAUGUUUCAAAAACUUCCAAACCAUUGUGUUAGUUAUCGUUUUAGAUGAGGGUUGGGGUAGAGCAUCAAUACUAAAGGUUGUUAAGGAUUAAGAACUAAGACUUGAAAACAAAACCGCCUGCCUGGUUGACAACAACACCAUCCCACUAGAGUGCACAAUGAUUAUUAUUGCAUUAAGAAGAAGAUGGCAGUUAACCUUAGCGCCAUAAUCAGAACCUCAAUCCUCCCUUUGAUGAAAGCACCUAAAGGUGUCAUGCCUUUCCCCUCUACCACAUUGAAGCUCUUUGUCUAACACUACAAGAAAUGAGGGCUCUCUCGAUGCAUAAAAUCAUUGGGAGAUAUAUAAAAAGCAUCAGAAAAGGCUUUUCUGACAUACUAAUAUACGUUGGAACACAAGUCAGGAAAAAAUGUAUCGGGAGAGGAACUCCCGAUGCACAAUGUUGUGCGUCGAGAGUUUCUAGACAUCUUCUGACGUUGUAUGAACGUCGAAGAUGUUGUCAAUAUAGCAUCGAGAGAUGUCUAGGAACCAUGCGUCGGGAGAUCCUCUAUUUUUUAUUAAAAAAAAUAACUUCAAUUAAUUCCUAAAUUCAAAUUGAAAACUCUAAAUUCAAACUCAACUUCAACACUUCAACCUCAACUUCAACACUUCAAAUUCAAAUUUCUAAAACCUACAACUAAUUCAAAAUUCUAACAACACUUGAAAUUAAAUUUCAACACUAAAACUUACAACUAAUUCAAAAUCUAAAUACUAAAACUAAUUUGAAAUCUAAAAUCUAACACCUAAAACAAAUUUGAAAUCUAAAUACUAAAACUAAUUAACUAAAACAAAACAAUAACUAACUAAACCACUUACCGAUGGCGGCGACGACAGGACGACAACAGGGACGACAAUGGAGAUGACAAUGCCCUCUUCUUCUUUAUCUUCCUCUCGGUCUCCCUCUCCCUCUCUCAUUUUUUUCUCUUUAUGUUUCAUUUAUAUAAAGAAUGGAGUUAAAAAAGGCAGAGAACUCCUGACGCACAACGAAAACGAAUUGGUUCCACAAACCAAUCUCAUCACAGAGGUACUCUUUGCAAUUUAAGCUCUAUUUGCAAUGGACAGUCUUCAAAGUUUUUUUUAACGAUGUUUCCAAUGCUUUCCUUUCUCUCUCAUGUUUAAUAAAACAAAUUUCUCUUAAAACCUGUAGGGAGGCUACAUCGUAUCGAAUUUCAUACAACUGACGUGUUCAUCGAGUUACAACAAGUGCCGCACAAUAGUCUGUUCCAUUUUGAAAAGUUGUGAGUGUGACACGCUCACAUGAGGUUAGAACGAGACAUGGCAAGGCAAGCCCUACGCGCGCCUGCAACUUCUGCCACAAUAUUUUGUAAGCAAGCUGAUGUCUUUAGGCUGUUUUUGUGGUUUUUGGAAAUUUUAAGCAAAGUUUUGAUAUUUUUAUGAUCAACGGGAAUUAAAUGGAAUUAUUUCCCAUUAUUUUUCAUUAUUUUAGAUUUGAAGGAGAUCGACCAAGUUUAUAAGCCAAGGGUCCAAGCUACUCUCUAUAAGUGACAAAAAUGAGUUUAAAGUUGAUUUCUAUACAUGAAUUUACUAUCAAAUGUUUCAAGCAUGCUUUGAUGUUUGAAUAUUUGAGGAUACUGACUAUAAAGUAUUUCCAAAGCAUGAAUUUAGAAACAUUUUGGUAAACAUGUUUUUAUUCAUGAAUUUACUAAUGAAAAUUAUAAGCAAUCAUGAUUGUGCUAAGUUUUCAGAAUGUUUAAGCUUGAAAAUAAUAUUAGCAUGUUUUAGUCUAUACCUAAAAUAUUCUAAGAUAUAUAGCAACCCUUCGCGGAGAGAUUUUCUUGUGCAUAGAGGUCAUUUGAUUUGGAUAUUCAGUAAAUACCUAGCUUUCCAUCAUUGGUAUUAGAUAAGAGAUGAAGACUUCUAAAGAUGCUUAGUUUCCCAUCUCAGGGACGAGAGCUUGUACGAAUGCCUAGUUUUCCAUCUCAUUGUAGUUAUAACGAGAUAGGGCACAAUUGAUGCCUAGAGUUUCAUCUCGUAAGUAUCGUAUCACGGGAUAGGGCUUCUAUGCCUAGUUUAUUGUUUUUCGUCUCGACGAUUAUAGGUAUAACAGAGAUUUGGUUUGAGGUGCUUCUUAAGUCUUUAAUAUUUAUGUUUGUUUUGAUCCUAGGAAUUGAGCAUGUAAUGUAAAAAGUCUAUGCACAAGGGGUCAUAUGGCCAUCUCCGUGUUUCUUUAAUUAUCAAAUUUGUUCAAGUUUUUAAUUGUCUCUAGAUCAAAAUCUGGAGUUAUUUUUUGUGAUUUGGUGUACAAAUACAUACAUCCAUGUUUCUAAUUAUGAUUAGAUUGUUUUCUGCUCGCAACAUUUUAUUGUUUAGCUUGUCUUUGAUCUUGAACUUACUAUUAUGUUGAUUUAAAUUCCAUUUUAGCCUUAGAACUUUCAAAACAUCCAUUUUAGUCAUCGAGCUUCCAAAACGUAGCCAACUAAGUUUUAGUAUUUUGUAAAUUAUUUUAUCAAUUAAUAUUCAUUUAUCCAAUACUCAUCGGUCAUUUCUGCUAUAUGUGAUUGGAAUAUAUCUCAUAGGAAGCAUUUUGAAAGUUGGGAAAAGAUGGAAAAUUUUAGGGACUAGAACAAGAAUUUGUUUAAUAUUUUUUGAUAGGGUGAAUUCUUGCAAUUUCCUUGUCGUAUAUACAUAAUUUUUUCUCUCAUUUGGCAAAUUCAUUAUGCUUGAAAAUUUAGGUGAUUCAUGAGCUAGAUAAAGUAAACAACGUAUGGAAGAUGAUCUUUGUGGCUUGUGAGGAAGACGUGGAGGAAGCCUUGGUGGCCGUAGAAAAAGGGAUAUGGACUUUCAACGUUGAAUGGUUAAUGGCAUGUAUAAUGAGACAAGAAGUAGACUUGGAGGCCCUUAAUUUGCUGAGUCCCUAUGAGAAACAAGGUCACCCUAACUUUCAGUUUUGAACAAGCAGCAGCCAGCCAUUUCGUCCUUGUGUAAAUCCACUCUUUUCUCAACUCACUCUAAUUUGGUACAUAAACAAACUCUGAUCGCUCCAUCUCUAUAUUCAUCAGUACAUAAAAGACGAUAAGUUUAUUCAUGGAGAAAGUUGGAUGUAAGUAUGUUUUAGGAAUGGUCCUUCAUUUAGUAACUUUGGGAAUUGUAAAAAUGAGGUAAUGAAGUUCUAUCAAGUUGAAUGUUCUUGUUUAUGUUAGAUGAGACUGAUUCUUGGAUACCAGAAUUAACUUGAAGUACGUGUUUGAGUUCCAUUGGAGUGAUUAGAGAAAAGAUGUUCCUUUAAAAACGGUAAUUUUUUUAUGUAGACUUUCUUUUUAUUAAAAUUGCUUAAAAUACAAUUUGAGAGUAUUUCAAUAGCUUUCAAAGAGUUGUCAAACACUUGUAGUUUUUCUAAAAUAACAUAUUUUCAAAAUUAAUUACUGUAAUAGUUAAACAAAAGAUUCUUUCCCUUCGAAAUUUUAAAGUUUGUCUAGUUACCUCUUAAACCUUUCAAUUGUUUAAUAGGUCUUUCAAUUUUAUGUUUUAAGUGUCAUAAAUUUUGAUUUUUUUUUAUUUGUUAGAUAUAAAUCUGAAGAAAUGAAUAAAGUAGAUUUGUAAGUUUAAAAUAGUUUAAAAGUUGAGAAAUUAAAUUUGUAGUUUAAAAGUUGGAGUAAAUAGUUUGUGUUAAGUCGGGUUGUGAUAUUUUAUUUAUUUAUUUUAAUAAUAGAAGAGAGGGAGACGAAAACUGCAGACUGAAGGGAGAAGAAGCGGUGGCUGACUUUGUAUAUUUCUCCUUUCUUUUCAAUUUGAGAAAAUUUCUUUGCAAUUCACUUUGAAAAGGAAAUGAAUAUUUCUCCCUCAGACUUAUCUCUCUCUUCUUUUCAAUUUAUUUUCAAUUUUUCUGUGUGCUUCUCACAGUGUAUGCAUAAUCUCUCUUUCAUUUUGAUAUUCAUCUCCAUUUCAAAUAUCUCCCACACAAAGAACAAAGAAAUGAGUAAAGUAACUGAGAGAGCAUUUUGUUUUUCCCUUCAUAUGGUUGGUUACUUUUUGUCAAUUAAAUGAAAAGUGAAGAAUAAGAUAAGAUUUUCUUUACCCAUUUGCCAUCAUCAUCAAAGCUAUUUACCUCAUUUUUGUUCACACACACACAACUUCAUUUUGUUGGAUUACACUCAUUUGAGAAAAUAGCAAAAUUUUAUUAGAAGAAUAGCAAACACGAGCAUUUCAUGUGUUUUGAAUUUUCAUUAACCCUAAAAUCUCCUCGCCUGCUUUUUAGUUAAACUGUAACUAAUUUUGAAAUAUGCAAAAUUUUAGCAUAAAUAUUGAUUUUCUCCUACAUUAUCUUAACACACUUUUUUUCCUCCAAAUAUUGGAUUUAUAUCAAAUCUUUAUUUUCAAAUUUUACUUUAUCCAAAUUUUCAUUUUUCAAAAUUUCAUCGUUAUUCUACUUUUAUUUUUGUAUUUCAUAUAUAUAUAUAUAUUUAUAAUAUUUAAUCUUAUUUUUUCUCUUUUCCUAUUCAUCUUCUUCCUUUCUCUUCCUCUUCAACCUACGGCCACACCACCGUCUCUUUUCUUCCUUCUCUUUUCAUUCUCCAAUCAACUUCACCACCGUCUUCCACCUACAUCGAACGUCAAGCAAAUUUUGUCGUAUCGUCGCAUCACCGUUAGCCCGAGUCACUCCGGUUCCGUCACGCCAUGUAUGUUUAGAUUUGAAUUGUUUGGUUAUUUGUUGCACCGAUCCGUCUCCGUUAGAAUUUGAUUCUCCACAAUUUGGGUAAGUUAUGGAAUUUACAUAUAGAGUGAAUUGAAUGGAUUAAAUUGUUUGUGGAAGUGAUUGAUUUCUCUUCAAUUAUGUUUAGGUCGGUUCGUUGCACUUUAGUUUGAAAAAGAAGCUUAAGUAAGGUUAUAAGCUAAGGGAUUCUCUACUACUGGACUCACCUAUAGUUUUGAAUUGUGCUGUCUGUAUAGUUACCUCGAUUGAGUAAAGAUGUCGAAACGAUAUAUAUACGUAUGAAUGUAGACUUGAUGUUGAAUGCAUAUUGUGAUUGUCUGGGAAUAUAUAUAUAUAUAAAUAUGUAUGGAUGUAGACAGGACGACAAUUGUAGAUUGUGUUUGUAUGGAAUGUGGAUGUGUGAACUUGUGAUUGUCGUUUAGAUUGGGUGUAUGUUAUACUAAAGUAUGGUUGUGUACUGGUGAAUUGAGGGGUGUUAUGACUAUAUAGUUUGAUUGACUGAUGUAUUGAUAUGUUACUGGCGGACAUUGGGCUAAAGUGAGAUAAGUUGACUAUUAGGGUGUUCAGUGAAAGGAUUAUAUGUUGAAGUAGUUGGUUACUAUGAAUGAGUUUUAAGAUGUUUAGAAUGGAUUGAGGGGAAAAUUGUUAGAUUUCUAUUGGGUAGUUACCUUGCAGGUGUCCUACAGGAUCACCACCUGAUAUGUGCAUCCUUCGAUAGCACUAGACUGAUAUGUGCAUCCUUCGGGAGCAUUAGACUGAUAUGUGUUUCUGCGGAACACUAGACUGAUUUAUGCGUCCUUUGAGGCGUUAGACUGAUUAUGUGUAUCCUACGGAUCACAAGACUGUGACUGUGCAGGGUACCCCAAUAGGAAGUUAACAGUUUCUUUUUCCCCUAACGGGACGAAUAACGGGUCUCUUAUUGGGUAUGUUUAUACUCAUCCUUUCAUGUUUAACUAUUUUAGGCAAAGGUAACAAAUGAGGUAGACUGACGAGGGACAAGAAGGAGACGUGAUUGCCAUAAGGGAAUGUCCUUCAAAUGCUUCUGCUUUAUGUUUCUUGUUUUCCUUUGUACAUGAGGUUGUUUAAAAAUUUUGUGAUGGAACUGAGUUUACGAACUGUUGUUUUGUGAAUAGUACUUUAAAGUUUGGAUAUUUGAAAUAGGGCCCGAACUUAAGUUUGUUUUCUUUGAUCGUAUGAUUUCAAGUGAAUUUUACUAUAUUUUGUGUCAAUCAAGGUCUCUUUGUCAAAAUUAAUGACUUCAACUUAGUUAGAAAAGUUGGGUCGUUACAACAAAUUUUAAGUAUUGAUGUAAGAAUUAUGUACUUCAUUAUAAAGGUCGAUAGCUUACAAAUAUUAACACGAUCGUGUACCGAUAACAAGACGAUUGUUUACACUAUUCAAUACGAUCACCAAUAUCAUAUGAUCGUGUACCCAUGUCAACACGAUAAUUUAUUUUAAUCAAUAUUAUCAUUUACCGUUCUUAAAUGUUCGUUUAUCACGGUUAAUAGGAUCGUUUAAUGUAUAUUAUUUCAUUGCACGAUCGUUUACUUAUUCUUGCAUUGUGUUUAGUAUUAUCAUUUUGUACAUUUUAUUCUUUUAUUCAGUAAUAAAUGUAUAUCUAUGUCUAUCUAUUUCUUUCUAUCACAAUUAAAUACUUAAUUUUAUUUUAUUUAUUUUUUUUACAGAUUAUAAUGUCUUUUCCUAUUGUUGUUUUUUACGGAGGUCAAUGGAAUGGAUGUAAUAUUUAUGAGAAUUACUUAGUUGCUGAAAUUUUGGUAGGUGUCCGAGUCAGCUUUAAUUCUCUAGUUGAUUUAAUAUGUGAACAGAUUCAAUUGGAUGGAUAAGUAGAAUUAUCUGUUUUACUUGAUUUUGGUAAAAGCAAGGUCCAACUGUGGUGCCAGUAAAGAAAGACAAUGAUGUGGCUUGGUAUUUAUCUUUUGCUAAAGAUGCAACUAAUAUACAUCCAUUAGUUGCUCAUGUAACUGUUGAUUUUUUUUAGAAGGUCUUCUUCUUCUUAGAGAACUACCUGUAGCUACCAUGCUUAGUUCAAUUAGAGAUGUAUUGCAAAAGUGGUUUGAUGAAAGAAGUAAAGCUACUUUUACAAUGAAGAGUUGUUUGACUUCUUGGGCUGAGAACGUGUUGCAUUUAGAAUAACAUGAAAAGUCAAGAAUUUUAUUGGUAAUUUUUUUUUUUUUUUUAAUGUUUGUAUCUCAGGUAGAUAUAAAUAGAUUGCUAUUUUUGUCCAUUCGAUAGAGAAAUAUAACAAUUUAUGUGUGCUUGUUUCAGAUAUAUAGAGAUAGAUAGCUAUCAAUGUCUAUUUGUCUCUAUUUGUGCAUGCUUUUUUUUUUAAUUUUUCUAUAUUUGUUUUAUGUAUUAGGUUGAUCCAAUUAGUAUGACUGAAUAGAAAGUAAUGGAUGAUACAAAAUGAUAAUGUGAUUUAUUUAUAUUGGUUCUAAUUUGAAAUAUUCAAAUUUACUUUGGAAAUUAGUAUAAUUAGUAUAAUAUAUAAUGAUACAUUAUAAUAUAAAGUUUAUAUUUAAUGAAACUUUAUUAUAUAAAUUUAAUUUUAGAUAAAGUUCAAAAUUAAUUUAUGAGAAAAUAUUUGAAUGAGUUCAAAUAUUAAUUUAAUGUGGAUUUGUUUCAUAUUAAAACUAUUAAUUAUGAGAUAAAGUUAUAUUUGAAUAUGAUUCAAAUUUAACUUAAGUUAAAUAUAAAAUAUUUAAUUUAGUUAUUAAUUAAUUGAAGAAUUAAUUAAUAGUUUAGUUUAAUAUUAUUUAAUUAAAUUUGAUUUAAUUAAAUUAAUAUAAAACUAUGGGUAUUGGAGAGAUAUUCAUUCAAUAAGAUUUAAAUGAAAUAUUAAUUAAAUAUGAUUUAAUUAAUUAUUAACUAAUUGAUUAAUGGUUAAUUAGUUAGUUGAUUUGAAACUUCUAUUAAUUUAAUAUUUUUUAAGUUAAUAGAAUCCUAUGAUUUUCUCCUACCCCGUCUCCUACUCAAUGAAAGAAAGAGAGUUAUAAAUAUGUAGAAGAAAAACAUCUUUUCUUAACCAAAAUAAAAUCGAUGAUUUUCUUUUCUGCAAAAUAGAUUGUAACGACCUAAUUUUUCGAAUUAAGCUGAAGUUAUUACUUUAAGACUAGAUUCGUCUUUAACCAUAAGACUUUAUAAUUUAAAAAAUAUAUUUUUUAACAACAUUAAAGAGUUUUUAUUCGGCUCUAUUUCAAAUAAAAUUUUGAAAGUGUAAAAGUAUCGAUAAUAAAGAAAGUUCAAGAACAUAAAAGUCGUUCAAUCAUGAAACCCAAAACAGUCUCAAUUACUAAAGAAAACCAAAAAAAAAAAAAAUAUAAAGUAAAAGCAAUUUGAAGGACAUUUCCCUAUGGCAGUUUCGCGGAAAAAGAUUAAACAUAAAAGGGUGAGUAUAAACAUACCCAGUAAGGGACCCACUACUGAUCCUGUUUAGAAGAAAAAUAAAAUUGUUAACUUCCUAUUGGAGGUGCCCUGCACUUUAAAAGUCUUGUGAUCAUGUAGGAAUACACAUAAGCAGUCCAAUGCCCUAAAGGACACAAAUACUAGUCUAGUGCUCUGCAGAAAGCACAUGUCAGUCUAGUGCUCUCGAAGAAUGCACAUGUCAGUCUAUUGCUCUCGAAGAAUGCACAUGUCAUUCUAGUGCUCUCGAAGAAUGCACAACAGGUGGUGAUCCUGUAGGACACCUGCAAGGCACACUACCCAAUCGACAAAGCUAACAAUUUUCCCUUAGUCCAUUAUAAACAUUUAAUCAAUCCAUUCCUAGUAUAGUCAAACUACUCCAUCAUAUCAUCAAUCCAACUUAACACACUUACGUUCAAUCUAUUCAAUCUAUCACAAAAUCAGUUGAUACUAUAACAACACACCAGACAGUCAAGAUAUAUAUAUAUAUACAUAACACCUUUCUCAGUUUACAAAUACAUUAUCCAUCGUAUCUACUUCUAUACCAGUAAGUUUACAAACACUAACUGUUGAGUUUCUACAGUAGAUUCUUGAAGAUGUGACUCUUGAACAGAUGGAUUCUCAUGGAUGAUCACAUGUUUGUUAUUUUGAUGGUCAUCAUUCUUGUCUAGAUUGUGAUGACUAGAAUCAUCACGAAGAUCAUCAUACAUGUUGUUAAUAUCAUCAAACAAUUGAUUCUGAUUCUAGUAUAGAAAGAAAAAAGGAUAAUAAAAAAAUAGUUACAAAAUGAUCGUGUAUCCUUAAGCAAACAAUCGUGUAGAAUAUCUAAACGGUUGUUUUACCAAGGGUGAUCGAUAUUUUAGAUGGGAUAUGCGAUCGUUCAUAUGUGAUAUGUGAUCGUGUAAAGAUAUAUCAAACCUUUGUUCUGUCAGAAGUCGUGCUAAGAAGAGUUGAAAGCUUGUAAUAAGAUCCAUCAAAACUGAAAGAUUUUACAUCAACACGUUCCUGACACAGUAAUGCAGUAUCAAUGAGCAUCAAAUUACGUGAGAUACGUAUUAGAAAAUAUCUAACUGCUCAGUUAAUUUUUUAUGGACAUCAAAUCACCUUUUUUCAAGCUUAAGGAAGGAAAUGUCGACACUAUAUAUGUCAGAGUUGUGCAUUGCAAUGGAAGUGCCAACACGAGGUGAUACAUGUGUGUCUGGGAUGUAAAUGCCACUCCCCGACUAGGACCAACAUAGACUUAGGGAGAAAGCAUGCUAGGAAUUGGAGUUGUGUCCUCAAUUUCUUCAAGGGACUUGAGCAUUUCUUCUUACACUAGAAUGUCUCCUGUUCAGAGAGUUUAUAGGAUUUCUCAAGGCCAUUUUUGCAUACUUAACAGCUCUUGACAACGGUAGAGAGUCUAACUCUACACUUUCAAGGGGUUCCAACUCCACCACUCGCUGAGCCAAAGAUAGAGACGAAUCAUUAAUGAUCCAGUAAGCAACAUGAAACCUUGUAAUUUUGGGGUUAACGGUAGUCCCUCCCAUUACUAGCUCAACACUUAAACGGAGUCUCCUCUAUAAAAUAUAAAAUAAUACAGACACAAAUAGUGAAUGAAAUCUUGUGACGUAACAAACACAAAUUUUAGGUAUACUGCAAUUUGACUAAAUAUUGAACAAGAAAACCCAAGGGAAUACACAAAAAUCCAACGUUUUUAGGGGUCAAUUUGGAAAAUGGCAAAACUACUUUUUCUUUUCAAUUUUAGCAAACAACAUUUUUUGCGCGUGCAUGGUAUUUUAUAAAAUACCAAAAUAUUCAACUUCUCCAACUAUAAUUAUUUUGUUUUUACGUUAUAAUUAAUUUAUGUUAUGUAUUUAUCAACUUUUAAUUAAUUUUUACUUGAAAUAGAUACAUUAACUCAUAUCAUAACUUUUCUCUUAAAAUCUCAGGACUCAAUUAAUUAAUUCAAUAUUUUAAUAACAUUAUUCAAUCUUAUUAAUUUCAAAAUAAUCUAAUUGAAUUUGAAUUUCAAAAUAACCAAAUUGAAUUUCAAAAUUACAAAAUUAUUAUUUUCUAGAAUUUGAGAAUCUCAACGAUAGAUUUUAUAUUAAAAUAAACUUAUCUCAAAAUAAUUUUAAUGACUUGAAUAUCAAGAUAAUUAAAUUAUUAUUUUAAAAAUUGGAAGAAAAGCACAAAAAGCGCACACGCCCACUCACGUACACACGCACGCGCGCGUAUACGCACACACACGCACACGCACACGCACAAAAGCGCACACGUGGACACUCACACCCACGCACACGUAGACAUACACACCCACGCACACGUGGACACGCGCAUACGCACACACGUACGCACUCACGCACACGCACGCACACACGCACAUAUGCACAAAGAUGUAUAAAUGAAUUAAAAUUAAAAAAUAACUACAAUAAUUUGACUUACUAACGUUAAUUAAAUUAUAAUUUCUAUCAAUAUUGGUUUAAAAGUGUCAUUAAUGUAAUUAUUUCAAUAUAAUGCACUCUUAUCCAAUUUUACGAACAAAAAACAAGUCGAAUAUGUACCAUUAGAUGACACUCUUUGUCAUAAGAGAUAUAGCAACGUUUUUAUGGGUCAUUUUGAAAAAUGGCAAAACUACUUUUUCUUUUAAAUUUUAGCAAAUAGAAUUUUUUACACGUGUCCAUGAUAUUUUAUAAAAUACCAAAAUAUUCACCUUCUCAAACAGUAAUUAUUUCGUUUCUACGUUGUAAUUAAUUUAUGUUAUGCAUUUAUUAGCUUUUAAUUAUUUUUUACCUGAAAAAGAUACAUCCUUUUUCUUAAUAUCUCGGGACUCAACUAAUUGAUUCAAGAUUUUAAUUUUAUUCAAUCUUACUAAUUUCAAAAUAACCUAAUUAAAUUUCAAUUUCAAAAUAACAAAAUUAUUAUUUUUCGAAAUUUGAGAAUCUCAACGAUAGAUUUUGUAUCAAAAAUAACUUUAAUUGAAUUUCAAAAUUAAAAAAUAUUAACUUGUUCGCACACAAGCACACGCGCACACGUGCACAACGCACGCACACACACGCACACACACCCAUCCACACACGCACACGCACACGCACAUAUGCACACACGCACAAAGAUGUGUAAAUUAAUUAAAGUUAAAAACAAAUACAUUCAUUAUGUUCAGAAAGAGUUUUAAACCAUGUUCAUUUGACUUAAUAACAUUGAUUAAAUUAUAAUUUCUAUCAAUAUUGGCUUAAAAGUGUCAUUCGUGUAAUUAUUUCAAUAUAAUGCAGUCUUAUCCAAUUUUACGAACAAAAAACAAGUCAAAUAUGUACCAGUAGAUGACACUCUUUGUCAUAAGAGAUAUAGCAACGUUUUUAUGGGUCAUUUUGAAAAAUGGCAAAACUACUUUUUCUUUUAAAUUUUAGCAAAUAGAAUUUUUUACACGUGUCCAUGAUAUUUUAUAAAAUACCAAAAUAUAAACCUUCUCAAACAGUAAUUAUUUCGUUUCUACGUUGUAAUUAAUUUAUGUUAUGCAUUUAUUAGCUUUUAAUUAUUUUUUACCUGAAAAAGAUACAUCAACCCAUAUCAUAACUUUUUUCUUAAUAUCUCGGGACUCAACUAAUUGAUUCAAGAUUUUAAUUUUAUUCAAUCUUACUAAUUUCAAAAUAACCUAAUUAAAUUUCAAUUUCAAAAUAACAAAAUUGUUAUUUUUCAAAAUUUGAGAAUCUCAACGAUAGAUUUUGUAUCAAAAACAAUUUUAAUUGAAUUUCAAAAUUAAAAAAUAUUAACUUGUUCGCACACAAGCACACGCGCACACGUGCACAACGCACGCACACGCACGCACACACACUCAUCCACACACGCACACGCACACGCACAUAUGCACACACGCACAAAGAUGUGUAAAUUAAUUAAAGUUAAAAAAACAAAUACAUUAAUUAUGUUCAGAAAGAGUUUUAAACCAUGUUCAUUUGACUUAAUAACAUUGAUUAAAUUAUAAUUUCUAUCAAUAUUGGCUUAAAAGUGUCAUUCGUGUAAUUAUUUCAAUAUAAUGCGGUCUUAUCCAAUUUUACCAACAAAAAACAAAUCGAAUAUGGAUCAGUAGAUCUACACUCUUUGUCAUAAGAGACAUAACAACGUUUUUAGGGUCAUUUUGAAAAAUGACAAAACUACUUUUUCCUUUGAAUUUUAGCAACUAGCAUUUUUUGCACGUGCAUGGUAUUUUAUAAAAUACCAAAAUAUCAACAUUCUUCAACUGUAAUUAUUUCGUCUCUACAUUGUAAUUAAUUUAUGUUAUGCAUUUCUCAGCUUUUAAUUAUCUUUUACUUGAAAUAGAUACAUCAACUCAUAUCAUAAUAUUUUUCUUAAUAUCUCGAGACUCAACUAAUUAAUUCAACAUAUUAAUAAUUUUAUUCAAUCAUACUAAUUUCAAAAUAACCUAAUUGAAUUUGAAUUUCAAAAUAACAAAAUUGAAUUUCAAAAUAACAAAAUUGAAUUUCAAAAUAACAAAAUUGAAUUUCAAAAUAACAAAAUUAUUAUUUUUCGGAAUUUGAGAGUCUCAACGAUAGAUUUUGUAUUAAAAUAACCUUAAUUGAAUUUCAAAAUUAAAAAAUAUCAACCUGUUCACUAUCUUUAUCUCAAAAUAACAUUAAUGCCUUAAAUAUCAAGAUAAUUAAAUUAUUAUUUUAAAAUUGGAAGAAACUCAACAUUAAAAAUAUUAACUUGUCGGACACAAGCAUAGAAGCACUGCGCACACACGUACACAUGCACACUUACACACACGCGCGCACACGCACACCUACACACAGACACCCACAGACGCACGAACCCACGCACACACACAUGCACACGCGCACGCAUGCACACACACACCUAUCCACACGCACACAAGCACACACACAUGCACAAACGCACACACGUGUACGCACAAACCUUAUCUCAAAAUAGUUCCUAUUUUUGCUGACAGUUUAUUUUUUGCCAUCGAUAGAGGAUCUUCCAAUAGACCUACGUGACGGUGUGUGUUGACAGCUUAAUUUUGUUGGCAAAAGAAAAGUUGAUUAGUUUUUGAAGAUUUACUGACGAUAUUUGUCAUCGACAAAGGGUAAAUUUCUUGUAGUGCAUGUACAUCAAACAUAUCAAAUUUGUUAAGUGUACCAAUGAAGUAUAACAAGUUUAUUAGUGGUGUAUCACGUGUAUCAAACUUAUUAGUGAAGUCUUUAAGUGUAUCAAACUAAUCAAGUGUAUCAAGGCCUCAGGGGUAUCAAGUGUAUCAAGAAGAAUCAAGUGUAACGAGAAGUAUUAUGUGGAACGAGAAGUAUUAUAUGUAUGAAGAUGUUUCAAGUGUGUAUCAAAAAGUAUCGAGUGUAUCAAUGAGUACCGAGUGCAUGAAUUGUAUCUAUCAAAUGUAUCAAGUGUAUCAGUAAGAAGUAUCAAGUGUAUCAAGGGUAUUAGGUGUAUCAGACGUGUAUAAGGUGUAUCAAAUAUACAUCAAUAACGAGGGCAUUUGUGACAUUUUACCUCUUGAUGUGUGAGUUGGUCUUUGUUUUUGUCAUUUUCUCAAAUAAUAAAGUAUGUGUUCUAUGGACUUAAUUAUUAUAACUUAUUUUGCCAUUUUCGCAAGUGUCCCUUAAUUGUAAUACAUGUAUAUGUGACAUAAUCUAAUCAAACUAACUCAUAAAUGGACUUAAUGUAUCAAGAGGUAUUAGGUGUAUCAGACGUGUAUAAGGUGUAUCAAAUGUACAUCAAUAACGAGGGCAUUUGUGACAUUUUACCUCUUGAUGUGUGAGUUGGUCUUUGUUUUUGUCACUUUCUCAAAUAAUAAGGUAUGUGUUCUAUGGACUUAAAUAUUAUAACUUAUUUUGCCAUUUUUGCAAGUGUCCCUUAAUUGUAAUACAUGUAUAUGUGACAUAAUAUAAUCAAACUAACUCAUAAAUGGACUUAAUCUAUCUCAUGGACCACGAAUUCUUCAAUUACUUGCAAAUUUGGUGAGUUCCUUCAAAUGGUGGGCGGAGAGCUUAAUUUUGAGAGAGAGGAAAAGUCGUGAAGAGUAUUUGCGAGAGAGGGGGGAACGUCGCCAGAGAGCAUUUGCGAGAGAGCUAAAGACAGCGACGAUGUGGGAUGAAGUAAGGUUUUUUUCGGUCAUUGUUCACAAGUGGGAUGAAAGCUUCGAAUUAUUUGUUUUAAAUCAAAAAACGUAUGAUUGAAGGAAAACAUUGAUUUUUAUUAGGGUAAUUUUUUAAUGACACAUAAUUUAUGCCAUUAUUUACAAUGCCAAAAUUUUGUCAAGAAAACUCAAUUUGUGUCACAAAAAAAUUUGUAUUUUUAUUUUUUUAACGACACAUUUUAUUCCCUCAUAUCCCUUUUUCUUGAUUUCAAGUGUCAUUAAAACUUAUAUUUCUAAAUAAAUUUAUUCGACGAAAGUGGCUAGAUUGGUGGGUUUGACGGCGAAGGCUUGUUGUGGGAGCAACGACAACAGUGGUUGGAGUGUGGAAUCGACGACGGCAAGUGGCAAAAAAUUGGGGGCAAGGGUUCUUCAUAACGACUCGAUAGCCCACUUCGAAUUUUUUUGAAAUUUGAGGUUUUUUCAUUUGAAAAUUUUUUUAAUGACAAAAAAAUUGACGUUAAUUAAUGACGCAAAAUUUGUGUUGAAAUAAAUUAAAUUGUGUCAAUAUGAUUGUUUUAAGAAAUAAUCCAUAUUUAUAUUUUCAACAACACAAUGUACCUCAUCCCACCUCUUUUUUCUUUUAUUUUCAACGACACAAUGUCUUGAUUAAAAUCCAUUUUUCUAGUAGUGACUGAAAAAAAAACUGGACAGAAUCAUAAUAUCUUUGAUAAUUAAAUCACCAGUUGGUUUGAACAUAUAUAAUCUUGGAUCUAUUCUAUUAUGAUAUGACCAUGGUACAUCAUGAACAUACAUUGACUAAAAAACUUAAAUUGAUGAGUGAAUGUAAUAAAUUUAAUAUUAAUUAUAUGAUCAAUACUUUACACAUGUAUAUUGGUAUAUCAGUCAAUAACAGUAGUAAGACAAAUUAUAAAAUAUAAGGGAUAAAAGUCCUACACAUGCAUGUAUGGUAUACUCUCUUGAUAGCAAAAUGCAUUUAUGUCAACUCAUGUUUGAAUGCAUUUAUGUAGGAAAUUCAAUAAAAUAAUUAAGAAACCUUGCAAUAUGUGAGAGAUAUACGAACUUCAAACAAAUUUUACAAGUUUCAGCAAAAAUUUUCAAACAACUUUUAAAGUUUAAGCAAAAAGUAACCGUAGGUAGGAAGGGGAGCAAAAGUGGGGUCUCGAAUUAAUUCUGAAAAAUUAGUAGGCUUUCAAAAUUUAGGUUCUAGAAGUAGAAUUAUUGCAGAAAAAUAAAUAAUUGCAUCAUUCAAAUUGAAUCAGACAUAUCAGGAUGUAUAUAUUCUCCACAACGUAUAAUGGAGUAUAAACAUAAAGUUUCUAUAUACAAAGCUAUGUAUCUCUACCCUUGACUUCUCUUUCUCUCUUUCUACCUUUUUUAUCCUUUCUUUCUUCCAUUCACUCAAUACACUUGCAAGAACCUUCAUUUUUUUGUAUUUAAAUUUUCUUGGCACCAUCCUUUUUUUUAAUUAUCAAGGCUUUGUUAUUGUGUACCAGUAUUGUGUCGUGCCUCCUUCACUUCUCAUCAUCAUUUUCAUGUCACAUCUCUACCUUGUCAAUUUUCGUUUUUCACUCAGCUUUCUUUCUUCUUUUGUCUUCACUACUUUCUUCGCUCCUUCUUCUCAAGCUCUAACUUUUGCUAUUAUCAACCAGUCUCAAAUGACCAUUGGAAAACCUAUAGCCCACUGAGAGGCAGCCAAUAUAGUAAUGUCUCUAAUGAUAAACUCCAAUGAAAUCAAAAGUUCUUCUUUAAGAUUUGGAAAAAUAUAUUAGAUAAACCCGGACGUGGUGAACGCGGUGAACGCAGACGCACGGACGGUGAACACGGCAGAAGUUAGAGAUCCUCAGAGAGAACUUGGCAUUUUCGAAUGCGGUAGAGACAAGUCUAGGGCUUCAAAGGAUUCAACCCAAUAUUUUCUUUAUAUAUAUAUAUAUAUAAUAUAUAUUAUAUAUAUAUAAAUAUAUUUAAUAACACUUGACGUUUUCAAAAACGUCAAGAAAAACGAUCUUACUUAACGUCUAAAAAAACAUCAAGAAAUUUAAAAAAUAACUCUCUCUGGCUUUUUAUAAAAAUUCUUGACGUUUUAAAACAUAAAGAAUUUUUAAGAUAUUUCUUGACGUUUUUAAAAUGUCAAGUAAAAGUACAUAUUACUUGACGUUUGAAAAUUUUGAAGAAUAUUGAAUAUAUAAACAUUCUUGACGUUUAAAAAUGUCAAAAUUUUUAUAGAUAUUUCUUGACGUUUUUAAAACGCCAAGAAAAAAUACAUAUUAGUUGAUGUUUAAUAAACGUCAAGAAAUCUGAAAAUUGACCUACCCGCCUUUUCGUAAAAAUUCUUGACGUUUUAUCUUUGGAACUACUCCUUUCUUGACGUUUUUUUUGAAAAAAAUGUCAAGAAAGAAAAACAACAAACGUCAAGAAAGGCCUUUUUUGUAGUAAUGACAUACAUAAAUAUAUAUAUAUACAUAUAUAUAUAUAUAUAAUGAAUUAAAAUGGUUUUGUUGCUUUACUGUUUUACUCUAUAAAGGAAGAGCAUUAUAAAUAUAUUAUUGAGGAAACAUUUUUUGAAAUGACUGGUUUUGGAAGUGUCAUUAGAUUUUUAGUUAGUUAAGCACAUUUUCCUCCCAAAUAGUAGUCGAAAUACAACUUUUUUUAAGAAGAAGAAACCGAAUCAUUCAAACUAAGAUAAUCCUAGGAUAAGAGUCAUUAUCUAUUAACAUAGAGCUAAAGUUACAAGGUUGAAGGCUAGAGGGAAGCCCGAAACAACCUAAUCUAACAAAGCUUAAAGUUAAGAGUUGGUAGUAACAUCAUAUUGGUUACAAGAUGAAUGACGCCUAGACCAAACUCCGAUCAAGUUACAUAUGUCUUCCCACAAGUAAACAAUAAACCUUGAUUUAUCCUUAAAAAUUCUAUUGUUUCUUUCUAUCCAAACAGUCCAAAGUAAGCCAGUUAUGGAGGGAGGAAUACACAUUAGAAAGCUCAGUUAUGGAUGGAGGAAUACACAACUUUUUCUCAUGGUCAUUUUCCUCGUGGGCAUUAUCUUCAUGUUUCUUCUUAUUCCGACUAAAAUACAAGCACAAAUUAUUCUUCGCCUUCGUAUAGGUUUGUUUGAAGAAGAUUAAAAAAGUCCUUAAUUUAUCUCGACACUUCCAAAACCAGAAUAUAAUACCCGUGCUACAUAAAUCCCUCUUUCCAAAUAGUCAAACAUGAACUAUCCAUGAAUAUCUUGAAUAAACAAGAGAAACCCUAACUAAACCCAAAUAGAAAAUACGCUGCAAUCUAAAAUAUACUUAAAGAAACAAAAAGAAGUUUUAAUGAUGUGGGUUUUUUACUGAUCUUCUUCAACAACAAAAUAACUCAACGCCACAGUUCAAUUUUUCCUUCCACGAAUUGGUUUUUAAAGAGUUUUCACCGCGAAUUUAUCUUUUUGGUUCAACAAGUAAACAACAUGUGAAUCCCCAAAUGCAAGGUUUUAUUAAAAAAUUAAAAUAUAAUUUUUUUAAAAAAAUUAUAAUACCUAAUUUUUUUUUAUAUAUUUAUAACCUAAUUUUCUGUCAUUGCAUACUUGAGAGAAAUAUAUUUUCAAUUAGCAUAAUAACCUUUAUAUAGUAAAUUAAAUUUGUAGAAUGAGAAAAGACCUUAGAUCCAAAAAAGUUAUUUAUUUAUUAUUGGAGUGAAUUGUCUAAUUAAUGUAGUUAAUGGAUGGUUUUGUAACCAUAAAAAUAAUGAAAAUAAUUUUCUAAAAGAAUGAAUGAAAAUUUGGAAAGUUAAAAGGUUUUAGGAAUUAAAAAAAGGGUGUAACAUUAUAAAAGACUACCAAAUAUACUGUAAGAGACAUGCAUUAAAGAAGCUAAGGCAUGCAUACUACCAAAUAUACUAUAAAUAAACCAGAAUUCUUUUUAAGAAAUUAAACAACUAAUUAAAUAUAAAGAAGAAAGAUUAGAAAAUGAAUGAUCAAACAAACUAUGACUCAUUUAUUUUUGACAGGUUCGGCCAGUAUCACCUGACAAUUCAUUUUCACCAAGAGAAUAAACAUGAGUAGCCUUGGAAUCAAGUUCCUCCGAUAAAAGCCACGGAGUUGAUGGGUUAGAGACAGAACCAGAAUUUGAGUUCAACGAUCUGGAUGGAAAAUUCUGAAACUAGCAGCAACAAGAAGUUAAGAUAACGAAUUAUUUUCAAUAUAGAAAGGCUAAUUGUAAGAAGUUGUUAAUGAAGUGUCCAAAUGCAUUAUGGUAAUAUUGGGUGCAGAUUGUUUGGAAGUUUUAUCCGUGUGCUGUGAAGCACCACAGAGUUGAAGCAUAUGAAACCAGUGUUUAUCUGACAAAAAAUAAUGUCAUGAUCAUUGCCUUUCCAUUCCAUAAAUUUAUGGAUAGCAAAAGAAAGAGAACUCUCAACACAUGAAUCACCAUAAAGACACACAUGACAACAUUAUUUUGGAUGAAGUUCUAAUAUUGCAACCAUGGAGGAAAAAUCAGCAAAUCUUAAAUAGAUGUAGUAGUCCAAAUGAUAAAAGUUUGUCUCAAGAUAAUAUUUCAGUAACUGCAGAUGCAUUGUGCUGAAUCUAACUCUUGUGUUUCACGGUAAUGAACAAGGACAAUGUGUUCAAAGGUCCUGAACAAAAAGCAGAAGCAAGUCAUAAUUAUAUAAGUAGAACACGAUAUACUGCCACUGUCUAAUUUCAUUUUUCUUUGCUUGUGGCAUGAUGGGGAUAGACCCCACUGAAACAACUGGUAGCAAGCAAUUUAACAAUUUUCUUUCAACCAUAACAUACUUAUCUAGGAGCCAAUAACCCGCGAACAAAGGUUGGGCUAUCUAGUCCGUGGCAUAGUAUACAUGUAUCCUUUCUACAUUACCAACCUGCUGAAGAGAAAGAAAAGAUUAUCAAAGCACACCUUUCCUUGGUUAUUAAGGCUGUAAAAGAAUGAAAAUUACCAUAAAUCUAAACAUAGUUAAUAUUAGACCAUUGAACAACUUAUAGAUUCAAAAGGAAAGACUCAAACCACCAAUAGACUGGUUAAUCAUUUAAAAUGAUCUCCAACAACAUGAUACGCAGUAUAUCGUGCUAGAUCCAUAAUUACCAGAUGUGGACUCCUAUGGUAAUUUCAUUGAUGAUACGCAGCUAGUAGGCAAGAUUAUGAAAUGAAGACGGUAUGUGAGACGAUUGAAAAGAUCAAGAUGAUAAAAUUAUAGGGAUUUGAAUUUAUAUCUUAAGAACACCAGAGUCAAAUGCUUAAGAUGAUUAACUGUGUUAAAUUUAACUCUAUAAUAUAUAAAUUAUUAGCAAAAACAGUAGAAAUUACUUCAAAUUUGUAGAGAGAACAUAUAAAUUAUAUUCUAGAGAAAGAGCAUCUGAAUUAUAUUCUACAGAAACACGAGCCCAUAGUAUAUGUACUGAGUAGCAAUGACAGUGAAAAAGGGAAUAGUAAGUAACUAAUCUCAUAAACCCCUUUCUCACAUCUAACCAAGUUCUUUCACAACAUGCAAAAGCAUCAAAAUAUUUAAGAAAACUUCCAAUAUUGCAUUUGGAACUCAUUGAUUGACUUCAACGUUUAAGAGUCCUAAAAGACACAGCUUACUUUCUCACCUCUCACCACUAAACCUAUGGCAACAUCUUUUUAUAAGAUAUUAAGCUAAUCUUUAGAUUGUUUACCGAAUAAUCGUCUAUUGUUUUGUAAUUGAUCCCACCAAGCGCUUACGCCACCUUGAAGUUUGAGAGCAACUAAUCGAACCUUCUUGUGUUCGGGUGUAUUGGCAUAGUCGAAAAAAAUUUCUACGUUCUUGAUCCAAUCAAGAAACUUCUCCACGUCCAUUUGACCAUUGAAGGUAGGGAGAUCCACUUUCAUACGUAUUUCUUGAUCUUCUUGAAAGUAUGGUCGAAGUCCAAGCCUUUGUUGAGGUUCUUGAUGAAUGUUCAGCAAGUUGUUCAUCGGAAGAGUCAGAAUCGUUUAAGAAAUUUCCAAGUACGUUGUUUCCAUACAAUCGAUUAUUGUUGAUGUGAAUAGGUUGAUUUCUUAGUAGUUCUUGGUUUACAACAGGGUUUAUUGGUUUUUCUUGUCUUUCUUGGUUUGCUGCAAUUGGGUUUCUUGGGGGCUGAAUUGCUUCUUCUAAAGGUUGGACAUGAAAUCGGGUAAAAAGGUUUGUUAAUUCUACUAACGAUUGCUGUAUAUUCGAUUGCCCUUUUCGAAGUUCUUCAAUAGCUUGUUCUACCAACUGCAAGCGUUGGUUGAAGGAGGCUUCCGCGUCCAUGGAUAAGAGUGGUAGGAUCCAAGUUUUUUUAGGGAAGAGUGAGCUAGGAUCACGCUCUGAUACCAAUUGAUGCAGUAAUUGCAAAGCUAGAAAUCUUUAUGUAUAAUGCCUCUUUUUUUAUGUCUUAUUAAUGAAAAUGAGAAGCUUUUUUAUAGGCUGGAGAUUACAAGAGUUGUUAAACUAACUUGGGGUUGAGUUAGUUUAACUUGGAGUUGAGUUAGUUAUAACUAACUCAAGAUACAAAAUUGGUAAUUCAAAUAACUAAUCCUAAACUAUAAAAAUGGUAAUUCAAACCCCUCCUCUAGGAUAAAACUCAAGAAACAUCAAGAAGGUAGAUGUUCUACAUCAAAGUGUAGAGAACGAUUCAAAAUCCUUGGUGAAAGGAAUGAAUGUUAACUAAUGUGUGUUUAUGUGAAAUUGUUAUGUUAUGAGUAUGUUAAGGAUAAAGAAUGGUUUAUGCGAGAUAAAAUUAUUUGAUGUUGUUUAUGCGAAAUGAUGUCUAUGAAAAGGUAUUGCGAAAAGGAUUUCAUAAAACCUUAGUCUUUUAGACAUUCUUUCAAAAAUUCAUCUUCCAAGAUGAGGUGUUUAGGCCAAGUAGAGAAGAAGGUUGAAGGAUUUGCAGCGAGAUGACCAGACGUUUUGAAAAUAGUUAAGCAUUGGUUGUUUGGUCAAAGUGUUGUAAUUAUGUAUCAAACACAUGUUAUUAAUAAACAUCUUGGUAGGUAUUUAUUAUACUAAAGUCAAAGUGUUGGACUUUAGUAUUGCAUGGACAUACAAUUUUGAAUGAAAAAUCCUUAUAAAUGGGGCCUUUGAACUCAUUUGAUGGGUUGGCUAUUAUAUUUGGGCUUUCACACCAAAUGGAAUUUCUUUUUCUUAUUUACUUAAAAAAAAAAGAAAAUUUACCACGCCCAUUUUUUUCAUCUAUUUCUCUCGUCCGGUUCUUUCAUCCAACGGGUCCCACAACUCGAUUAUGAGUCUAGAGGAUACUAAGUCAAACUUAGUGGUUGUUCGAAUAAAACGCAGCUUCAAAUGUAAGUAUUCUAAAAACCUUAUUUUUUGGUUUAGUCUCGUUAACUAAGCCCAAUUAGGGUAGAAUUUCGAUUCUUUUUCUGUUGUGCAUGUCUUAGUUCUAUCAGUAACUCCUUUCAGGGUGAUAGCUCUCAUCAGCAGACUUUCCAUUGCUGGUUUCUUCCUUAGUCAUCAUUGUAUUGUUGUUUUCCACAAUAGAUAGGGUGAGUUGCAGUUUUACAUGAAAUGCACUGCUCAACCCACACUCUUUUCUCACUAGUUCCUUAUUCUCAAUCUUCAACGCAAAUUUCAUCAUCUGGGCCAACCCAAUCGGUUCCACGGUUUCCACUUCCAUUUUUAUUCAUGGGCUAAGCCCAAUCAUCAAAGUCUCCUCUAACACUACCGUUUGAAGAAAUGCUACCAGAGCUAAAUAUCGAUCAAAUCGGUUGCGGUAUUCUUCUACAUUCAUUUCUGUUUGAUUGAGAAAAAUCUUCCAACCAAAGUUCCUUCUCGAAUUGAUCGAAACUGUACAAGCAUUCGUUCUUUCAGGUCAGCCCAAUUCUUAAAAACUUCCAACUCUUCUUGUGCUUGGUACCAAUCCAAUGCCAGAUCAUCAAAACUAAUAACGCCUGUGGUUAAUUUCUCUGAAUCGGUAAGAUCAUGUAUCUUAAAGAAGCGAUAGGCUCUAAAUGUGAGACCCAUUUCUAAUUUGAGUAAUGAAGUAAAAUUGGCUAGGUAUUAAGAAUUUGGCGUUUGAAUAAAUCAACGAAAAGGAUUAAGCGAUAAAAAAAUUUAUGGUUAAGUAUACGUUAUUGCGAUUCAGUGGGUAGUUCGCGAAGGAAGUUGUGCGACCCAUUUCUAAUUUGAGUAAGGAAGUAAAAUUCGGCUAAGAAUUAAGAAGUUGGUGUUCAAAUAAAUCCAUGGAAAGAUUAAGUGAUAAGAUCUUUUACGGUUAAGUAUACUUUUUUGCGAUAAGUGGGUAGUUCGCGAAAGAAGUUGUGCGAUAAUGUAACACCCGAACUCUAAGGUAAUUAAUUUAAUCGGACCAUUCGAUAUUUUUACUCUUAAUUUUUGUUCGACGUCAUUUUGUUGUUUUGUCUUAAAAAAAAAAGUGUUGGAAAAGUCUUUCAUAAUAAUAAUAUAUUAUUAUUAUUAUUAUUAAUUAGCAUAAAAAAAAGGAAAAGAAAAAGAAAUUAAAAUAUCUUUUUCCUCUCUCCCCUCUCUCACGCGUGCGACACCCUCUCUCCAUCUUUUUCUUCUUCUCUUUCCUGUACCCUAACCCAGCCGACCAUCAUCUUCUCCCCUUCCCUUGCCGUUCAGAUCCAUGGCCUCCGCCCACCGCCGCGUGACCCUCUGCCCAGCCCCGCCGCGUGACCUCUGUCUCCGUCGAAGCCAAGUCCAGCCGUCGUCCAUUCCUUUCCUCUCUUCUUCUCCGUUCGUGAAGCCCAGUCGCCGCGUCAGAUCGUCGAUCGAUUUUGAGGCAGCGCGCACGCCUCCUUCUAGCCGCGCGUUUCCUCUUCUUCCAGCAACGUGUUUUUUCUUCUAACCGCGAUUCACAAACCGACGUACACUCUAAUCUGUUUGCACGAUGGUUUUUGUUUAGAAUCGAUUGCCGCUGCCCCUAUUUUUACUGAGAUCCGUCGAAGUAUUGUUGGUAAGAUUGAAGUUAUGAAAUUGUAGUCGUUUUCAAAACAAUUUAAGUAUGGGUUGUGAUGUUUUCAAGGUGUUCAAACGUUACGGAUGGGUUAAUUGACUAAUUUGAUAAAUUAUUCUUGAAGGUGUGAAAGGUAACCUUGGAUCACUUAAAUUCACAACCAAUUUGUGAAUUUUGAUUUCGAUUUCGUUUGCCCUUAUUUGGAUUGUUUCGUGGACGAUAGUUGAUUAAGGGAGCUUCCCUAACUUUGAGGUAAGGGACUUUCUACUGGACUCACCUAAAGUUUUUGAGUUGUGUUGGACUGUAUGGAUGAUGAUUAAGAUGUACACGUUUGGUUGCAGACUAAAUGUUUAGUGUAUGUUGUAUUUGACUGGAAACAUAUAUAUAAAUACAUUGAUGUGUGAAUUGAUGUGGAUUGCCGAAAGUAUACAUGUGAAUGACUGAAAUUAUGCUUAUGUGUACAUGAUGAUAUUAAUAGAUUGUGCUGUAUAAAGAUUUGGAUGUGAACUAGUGAAUUUGUUUCGGUUGAAUGUGGAUUAUACUGAACUGUGGUUUGCGCUGGUAAAAAUGAGGGGUGUUGUGACUUUGUUGUUUACUUGACAGAUGUAUUAAAAUGUUAUCAACGACCUUCGAACUUAAGUGAGAUAGGUUGACUGUUAGAAUGUUGAGUGAAAGAACUUUAUAUUUUGAAGUAACUGAAAGAUGUCAUAAAUUACCGUAAAGAUGGUUAGAAUGGAUUGAGGGGAAAAAUUGUUAGUUUUAUUGGGAUGUAUGCCUUGUAGGUGUCCUACGGGAUCACCAAUUUUUAUGCGACCUUCGGAGCAUUAGACUGAUAUGUGUUUCUGCAGAACACUAGACUGAAAUGUACGUCCCUCGGGGCGUUAGACUGAAAUGUGCAUCCUACGGGAUCACAAGACUGCGACUGUACAGGGUGUCCCAAUAGAAUGUUAACAAUUUAUUUUCCCCUGACGGGACCAGUAGAGGGUCUCUUACUGGGUAUUUUUAUACUCACCCUCCUUAUGUUUAAUUUUUCAGGCAAAGGUAAUAAAGGCAGCAAACCGGCGAGGGGCAGGAAGGAAGCGUGACCGCCACAGGGGACACUUUAAAAUUUUGCUUCCGCUUAGUGAUUUAUAGUAUUAUUUGUAUUCGAACGUGAGACUGUUUAGAAAAUUUUGAAGUUUUAAAGUAUUCAAAGAUUUGAAACUUUUUAGUUUUAAAUUUUCAUGUGAAUUUUAGUAAUUUAAAACUGGGGCCCAAACAAACAAAAUAAAUUUUGUUCUUUUGAGGUUUUAAAUUUUAAUUAACCAAGGUCUUUUGUCAAAAGUUAAUGACCUCGACUUAGGUAAAAAGUUGGGUCGUUACAGAUAAGAAGCGAAAAAGUCUUUGCGUAAGUUAAGAAAUGAAAGUUUUGAGUGUUAGACUAGGAGUUUUGGGUGGUCUUCGCGAGAAGAACCAAGUGUUUCGUGGAGAAGAAGUCUACGAGGAAGCCUUGGAGUUUAAGUUCGUGAUAAGAGUUUUAUGCGAGUAAAAGUUGGUUAGUUCAGGUGGAACGUUUCUUAUAAUAAAAAUAUAAUCAAGCGAUAAGGUUAUUCACGAGAAAUGUUAAGUGGUUGAAUUUAUUCACGGUUUGGGUUAGGCGGGGAGCAAGGUUUGUAAAGAAAAUGUCAAAUCUGAUUUGACAUGGGUUAACAUGUAAGAUUAAGGAUUUGAGCAUGACUAGGUUAAAUAUUAAGGAUUUGCAUGACUAAGUUAGUAUAAGGGAUCUAUAAAAUAGGAGAAUUUAGGUAACUAAGGAGGGGAUGACGAGAGUUUUGUUGAAAUGUUAAAGUGUUGUUGGUUUAGCCACGCGAAAAGAUGGUUGUGAGAAGGACUUCUUUAGUGAAGUUUGGUGAGUGCUUUUCAGUCAAAAGAAUUUAUGUUAAGAAACUUUAUUACGAUUUCUCUUUACUGAUUUGAAAGAAGAAUUCAGAUGAGAAUGUUUCAGAAAGAUUUCUACGAAAAGUUAUGUUUUCAAGCAUUAUUUAUAAUAUUAAAGCUUGAUUUGAUGACUAUGAUUUCAAUACUAUGUUUCUUUGAGAUGAUGCUAACUUUUGUGUGCACAUAAAGAGUGAAGGCCACCAUGGAGUGUACAAACUACAUGGUAAUAAGAAGCUGACUUAUGCAUUGAAAUGAGCGUAUAAAGCUUAGCGGUAUAGCAACAAAGACGAAUUUGUAUGUUCUCAGAUGUUGAUACAGUAGUCUAAACGCGAGGUAAUGAGACCAAGCGUAGAGAACGAUUCGGGAUCCUUGACAAAAUGAAAUGAUUUUUUAAGCAUAAAGAAAGGUUUAUUCGAAAUGAAAUAAUUUUUCGGUAUAUUUAAAUGAUUUGAUAUUAUUUUUACAAAAUGAUUAUGAAAAGGUAUUGUGAAAGGUUUUCAUAAAACCUUAAAGGAUUUAAAAAAAAAGUGGACCAUUCAACUUAAUUCCCAUCCACUAUCCUCUUGUCCAACAUGAAACUUUAUCUUAGUAAAACUUCUUGAUCCACUAUUUUACAAAAAUAUUCAAAACAAUACCAUACUACACCAAAUGUGAUAUUUUGGUAACACUUAAAAUGGUCAGAAAUACCAUUUUCCUGACUUUUUUUUCAUCGACCAUUAAAGAAAAAGUAUAGAUGAUGUUUCACAAAAACUUCCAAACCAUUGUGUUAGUUAUCGUUUUGGAUGAGGGUUGGGGUAGAGCAUCAAUACUCAAAGGUUGUUAAGAAUUAAGACCUAAGACUUGAAAACGAAACCGCCUGCCUGGUUGACAACAACACCAUCCCACUAGAGUGCACAAUGAUGAUUUAUUGCAUUAAGAAGAAGAUGGCAGUUAACCUUAGCGCCAUAAUCAGAACCUCAAUCCUCCCUUUGAUGAAAGCACCUAAAGGUGUCAUGCCUUUCCCCUCUACCACAUUGAAGCUCUUUGUCUAACACUACAAGAAAUGAGGACUCUCUCGAUGCAUAAAAUCAUUGGGAGAUAUAUAAAAAGCGUCAGAAAAGGCUUUUCUGACGCACUAAUAUACGUCGGAACACAAGUGAGGAAAAUGUAUCGGGAGAGGAACUCCGAUGCACAAUGUUGUGCGUUGAGGGUUUCUAGACAUCUUCCGACGUUGUAUGAACGUCGAAGAUGUUGUCAAUAUAGCAUCGAGAGAUGUCUAGGAACCAUGCGUCGGGAGAUCCUCUAUUUUUUUUUAAAAAAAAUAACUUCAUUUAAUUCCUAAAUUCAAAUUGAAAAUUUUAAAUUCAAACUCAACUUCAACACUUCAACCUCAACUUCAACACUUCAAUCUCAACUUCAACACUUCAAAUUCAAAUUUCUAAAACCUACAACUAAUUCAAAAUUCUAACAACACUUGAAAUUAAAUUUCAUUACUAAAACUUACAACUAAUUCAAAAUCUAAAUACUAAAGAAAUCUAAAAUCUAACACCUAAAACAAAUUUGAAAUCUAAAUACUAAAACUAAUUAACUAAAACAAAACAAUAACUAAACUAAACCACUUACCGAUGGCGACGACGACGGGACGACAACAGGGACGACAAUGGUGAUGACAAUGCCCUCUUCUUCUCAAUCUUCCUCUCGGUCUCCCUCUCCCUCUCUCAUUUUCUUUCUCUUUAUGUUUCCUUUAUGUAAAGAAUGGAGUUAAAAAAGACAGAGAACUCCUGACGCACGACGAAAACGUCGGGAAUAGCACCCUAUUCAUGACCUGAUUUGUUAAACGUCAGAAAUCCCUAAACAUAUUCCCACGCGAUUAAUGAUACGUCGGGAAUCCCUAAAUCUAUUCUCAACGUUGCUGCCACACGUAAGAGGAAGGCGUUACAUACAAUUAAUGAUCUGCCCUUCCUCCGACGGUUCCUAAGCUUUUAGCUUUUCUGCAAUCACCCCUUAUGCAUGUUCUCAGGCGAAUCUCAACCAAACCAUAACACUCCAUCAAAAUAAAGAAGAAGAGAGACACCUCAAAACCUUAAAUAAAGUUAAGGGAGAAGAAUGGAAUGACAGAGAAGAAGAAGAGGCUUCUCCGCUGCCACCACUACUCAAGAGGAGAAAUGUCCACGAUGACGCGUCUAACUCGUAUAAAAAGGAAAAAAGUCGAAAGCUAGACGUGGCCAUCGACCCUAAACCUCUUGCAAUCUGACCCCUAACUCUCUCAUUGCCUCCUCCAAAAUCCAAAUCCUUCAAUUCCAGUCCUCAUCCAAAAAUUGAAACUCCCCCUCAUCAAUCUUACCCAAGUCCUCUCGCAUGUCUAUUAUCCUCUCACCACCAAAUCCCCCAUCAUUAUAACAACAUCCUUCACCUCACGACCUGACCGAACAAGCCCUUACCCGAUCAAAAGGGCAUUGUUAGCGAAGAAGAAUUCCUUAGGGUUGAGGAGGAAGACCUGCAUCACAUUCCUCUCCCUCCGCACACUACUAUACGUAAUUCCAAGGAGGAAGACUUACAUCUCGCGUGUAAACACCGAUACCCAAUAAUCCUUAAUUCAUCUAAAGAACUCAAUAGGACAUUAGGGGUUGAUGUUAGGAGAAAGAUGGUUUAAGAUUGGAUAGUUUAGUUGAAGUGUUAUGGAAGAUGUGUUAAUAUUUUUAAGAUGAUAAAAGAAAAGUGUCAUCGUAACAAAGAAAGGCCUAAAGGGUGUUCGAAAAUUGGCUAAGUGUUGGCUAGGGCAUGUUGCAUACUCUAGGCGGCCAAAAGUGUCAAGCGAACCUCUAAAGAGACAUGUUGGGUGGCCAAAGGUUGAGAUGUGGUAUGGCCGAAAGGUGUCAAGACAACCUCUAUAAGACAAGGCUAUAUGACCAAGGGUAUGCGCUAGGCAAGGAAGCUAAGCAUCUAGGAAAUGUCAAGAAACUCUAAAGAAGUUAGAACGUGGAUAAGGAAUGUCAUGCAACAAAGAGGUGGGCUAUGUGGACAUAGGUCAUGCGGCCAAUGGGGCAAUUCAACCAAAUGCUAGUCAAGAUGGCAUGGUUUGUUGAAGGCAUUGAGGGAUGUUUGGGAGAUUAGGCGAGAAAAAAAAGUCUUAGGCAUUCUUGGCAGUAAGAAUUUACUAAAGAACCCUCAUAGAAAAAGGGAUAUGCGUCCAAGGAUGACUUAAGCAAUAUGAGGUAAGAUGUGCGGUAGAGUACAAGUGGACAACAUACAAGAUACCUAAGUUUUGCCAAAUAAGUGUCUUGCAUGAGUUGGAAAGUGGCAAGUAUGGGCGUAAGAGGUGAGAAAAAAAGGUUCAACCAAAGAGCAUGCAAGGAUCACUAUAUGUACAACUUUGGACGAAUUAUGUUAACAAUCAACUUGUGUUAAUUGGGUAACUCUACUUCGAAAAUCUCCUAAAUUGAGUGUAGUAUCAAGAGAAAGGCUACCAAGAAGAAAGGCAUUGAAGUGAAGAAAGACUCAAAGGUCAUUUUCAAAAAAAAAAAAAAAAAAACUUGAACAAUGUAGAGUAUUUUGAGCUACAUAACUCAAUACUUGGAAUUUGUUAGUGACACUUUGUGGUAAGCUAGUGAAGACAUUCUAAGUAAGUUUGUAGAAGGAAUCUUAUUGAUUUAAGCUUCAAAGUCGAGUUAAGUUUCUGGUAGAAAAAUCAUAUUUCUAGACAAGGCCAUGGGUGGGUUGAUUGCCAGGAUGACAAGGUGAGAUGAGCGUGUGUUUUGAGCGAAAGAGGUUAUUUAGGCUUGGGACAUGCAAGAAGCAUGUCCUGGCAUGAUCAAGCAGCCUGAGCCACGCGUCAUUACACACUCUAUUAUGAAAGUUGAGUAUAUUGCUACUUGUGAAGCAGCAAAAGAAGCAGUUUUGGUGAGGAAGUUCUUGCAUAAUUUGGAAGUUGUUCCAAACAUGAACAUGCCCCAUCACUUUAUAUUGUGAUAAUAGUGGGGCAUAUUACUAAUCCAUUUACAAAGACUCUCAUGGCUAAAGUGUUCGAGGGUCUUCUAGAAAGUCUAGAUCUGCGAGUUAUGUACAUUAGGUAAUCUAGGAAAAGUGGCAGAUGUGUAAUGGGUAUGAGGAUGCCCUAGUUUAUUGUAUUUGUAUAUACACAUUUUAUGUAAUACACUUGUACAUUUUACCAUUUUCAAUGUUAGAGGAUUACUUUAUUAUGAACAUCCCAAAGAGACGAGAGUUUUAGUCCAAGUGGGAGUUUGUUGGAAUUUAUGUCCUAAAACUCGUAGAUUGUAAAUAUAAUCCAUUGACCAUUGUUAAUAAAGUGUUAUUAUUGUAAUAAUUGUUAUUGAUUAUAUUAUUAGUUUUGUCUUAAUAACUCAAAUCCAAUAAACUAACAUCCUAAACUGUUUAAUAAGUAUUGAAUAGUAUGUAGAGACAUACAGGGAUCAAUGUUCGAGAUCAGCUUAAAGGGUCUAUAGUAUACGGAUAAGACUGGGUACCUUUAUCCUGGUAACAUUAUGAAUACGACUCACUUUGUAUUUGAUACAAAUACAAUGAUCCAAUGUGUUCAUGUAGUUGACAUGCGAGUGAAGGUAUCCUAUGCAAUGAGAUUGCAAUAGACUAGACUGUGAAAUAGUAACCACUUGGUGUUACUACAUUAACUAGUUAGGUUUCUAUUUCACUAGGAUGACCUAGAUAACUUAGUCUUAAUCUUGAGUGUAUUAUGAACUCAAUGAUCUUGGAUGAAUUUGACUUCAAAUACAAACUUGGAUUCCACAACCUAAACCAAAAUAAAAUAAUAUAUCAUGUUAAGAUGGAUUCACAUAGCAACAUUUUAUCAAAUGGUUGCAAUGUUUCAAAUAAGCAACAAUUAAAAUUCACAUAUCGAUUUGGCAUCUAUAAAUAUACAAACUAAAAAGUACCUAAAUGUCAAUUAUUUACCCAAUAAGGCUAACUAAGUAACCAACGUCUAAUAUGUUUUGCAAUGAAAAAGGUUGCCAUAUUGUUAAUUUGGCCAUAUUGUGAAGGCAACCUCUUAGAUGUGUUUGUGAGAAAGGAAAGAAAUACCAAAAUAAGUAUGGACUAAGAUAGUAUCAAAUAAAGUUAAAGUUGAAUUUUAAAGCUCUAUUUUUUUCAAGAUAGAGAAAUUUCAGCUAAAGAGGAAAACACUAAGGACAACCAAGCAAAAAAGUCUAACAAAUAUCAAAAGAGAACAUGCAGGAAAGAAAGAAUGUAAAUAAGGUUUUAUCCGCACCAAGCAAAAAAGUCUAACAAGUAUCAAAAGCUUCAUAAGUUGUACUAGAAUUCAAAGCUCUAAACUCUAAAGAAUGUAAAUUUCUUUGAAGAAAUUUGUGUAUAAAGGUCACACAGUUGAAAAUUCAAUACCUUUUCAAGAAUGUUGUUGAGAAGAUUAUUGUGAUGAAUCUUUGAAUCCAAAUUAUGGAGACAAGAUAAAUAAAUGAGUUCUGAUUCUAACUGACUGAAUGAGAGUUUAGAAAAUAAGAACAUUGGAGUUGAAUUAUCAGCAUUUAUUUUAAUCAAACUUACGAUAGCAAACCAAAUUAUAGAGAGAGAUCAAAUGCUAGGAUAAAGGAAUAAUCUUACAUUUGGUGAGUUCCCAAAUGUUGUGGUAGUCACGAGAGUUAUUCCACUCGAAUUGUCUUAGACAAGAGGCUUCCAUUCAGCAAGUACUGGUGAGAAUUAAAGUGGAAUGACAAACUUAAAAACACCUAAUCUUUAACAAACUUUUCCGACUUUUUGCAAUUAUUUUUUAACACAAGAUAUCAAAACACACUUAAAAACCAUAACAACCAAUUACCAUAAAACGGUGUCCAAUAACAAUAAUUGGGUCAACCCAAACAUCAUCAAAUUCUUGGGAAAGGUUGUGGACUAGACCUUCACCAUCUUGCCCCUAAAACAAGUUAAAGCUUAAGGAAAGAACACAGUAGAAACAAAAAUCAUAAACUCAUCAGUUAGAUAGUAUUGGUGGUCAAAACCUCAAGGUCUCACUUCUUCCAUUUUAUAUUACCAAAUUUGAAAAUGAUUUUUAAUAUAUGAUCAUUACUUGAAACAUGUUGGUGUACAAGUGUGAAUGAAACUAAAUCAAGUUUGUGUUUUAUGUUAUUGUUUUUGACAGUAUAUUUAUGUGCUAUGCAAUCCAUGAGAGUAUAUUUAUGUGCUAUGCAAUCCAGAAGGGGGAAUGCAAGCUAUACCCAAUUCAUAAUUGUAUUUGGAACACUAAUGAUUUUAGCACAAAUUCCAUCUUUCCAUUCUCUAAGACAUAUAAACCUUAUCUCCCUCACUCUAUACCUUGGCUAUAGUGCUCUUGCAACAUAUUAAAAUUCUCGUAAUUAAAAAUUCAUACACAAUUUAAAUUAAAUUAAACAUCAAGACCCCUGACGAAGAUGAAUCUCUGUUCAUUUUUCUUUUUAUUAACAAACAAAAGUUUUUAGGUCAACUUCUUUCAACAACCUCCUCAAGGAUCCUUAAUUAUCUCUUUCCAAGUUCAUAACCACUCUAGUCAUGCAAAGAUUAAGGUUCAUGGCCAAUCAACAAUUAAUCUGUGAUUAAGAUAUUAUGAACGCUAUUCACAUAAAAACAUGAAAAGAUUAAGAGCAAAUAAUCAGAUGCAUUACAAAGAAUAAUUCAUAAACUUUGUCUACAUCUAUCCCUAGGAUUAAGAGUUUAGCUACCCCAUACUUCACAAUCUAAAACACAAAACUCAAUACAAUACCCAUAAAAAAAAUUAAAGGAGAAGAAAAAGAAAACGAAGAAGAAAAGCUAGUGAUUCGUAUUAUUAUAAUACUGUGUAUAACAGUAUGUGUUUUUUAAUAUUCUCUGUUUCCAGCUCCAAUGUACCAAAAUAUUAUCACAAACUCCACAAUCCUUCUCUUUCCAAUCCCUAAACUAACCAAUGAAUCAUAUUCGCACGCUUGGUAGCCUUGUUCAAAAUAUUAUAUAUUACAAUUAUAAUAACUUGUAUCCCCCCUUUUCAAGCCUAAAAUGCAAAACCUUUCUUCCAUUCUCUAAGGCAUAUUUCCUCUUCUUUAAUUUUGCAUUCCAAUUUUAAAUUACAAAUUACAAAUUUUAAUCACAAAGGAAAAAAGGAAAAUUAUUACCUUUAGAAAGGGAAGAAAAUAAAUGAGUAACCAUGAAGGAUUUGGAAACGAAUAGAGGUUUAGCGAAAGUGGAAUGCGACAGAAGGACGGUGAAUGUGUUUACUCGUUUUCGAACAGAGAAUGUGUUUACGCAUUCCGAACGGUGAACAGACGGACGCAAAUCAACGAAGGUGAAGGGAACGCAAAGCAGACGGACGGUGACGGACGAUGAACGCAAAUGAAUGAAGGUGAAUGCUUAUGAACGCGAAGGGAAGUCUUUUCCGGCGAUGAACGCAGAUGAAUGCACAGAUGAACGCGAAGGGAAGGUUAGGUGAACGACGCUUUUGAUUUCGGGUGGAGAAGGGACAAAGUCGCGGCGAAUUAGGUUUAAUUAAGAAAAGGGGAAGUGAUCUAAUUGAAACGUUGGGUUUUGUAAAAGAAUAUUAACACAAUAAUUUUUUAGAAAUUUCUUGACGUUUUUAAAACGUCAAAAACAAAUUAAAAUUUCUUGAACUUUUUAAAACAUCAAUGAUUUUUUAGAAUUAUCUUGACGUUUUAAAAACGUCAAGAAUUUUUUAUAAAUUUCUUGACGUUUUUAAAAAUGUCAAGAACUUUUUAGAAUUAUCUCGACAUUUUAAAAACGUUAAGAAUUUUUAUAAAUUUCUUGAUGUUUUUAAAACGUCGAGGAAAACUAUAUAUUAUUGACGUUUAAAAAACAUCAAGAAAGUUGAAUUCAUAAACAUUCUUGACGUUUUUUAAACGUCAAAAAUUAUUAGAUAUUUCUUGAUGUUUAAAAAACGUCAAGAAAAAGUACAUCUUACUUGACGUUUAAUUGCAUAAAAAACGUCAAGAAAAAACGUCAAGAAAGUUGAAAAUUGGCCUUUCAUAAAAAUUCUUGACGCUUUUUUAUUUGAAAUCACAUCUUUCUUGACGUUUUUGGGAAAAAACGUCAAGAAAGGAAAACUACAACCGUCAAGAGAGCCUGUUUUUGUAGUAGUGAUUUUGGGGACAAGACUGAGUGGGGAGUUGGGAUUAUAAUUGCACAAAAUGGAAUUCACUCAUUUCCUACUGUAGGAUAAGUAGAUGAAUGUUAGCUUAAAUGGUGUCUCCAAAACUUAAACAAAGGGCCCGUACUCUCUCUAUGACAUGAGAGGGGUUUUUGUUUAUUAGUAGGACCAUAAACAAGUUGUUCAUUAGAGGAGCACUAGUUUUUAAGGAUUAGAGGUAACAUAGGGGUAAAGCGGUAAAUUGAUCCAACUGGUGUUACAAACACUCGUGAAGGACUAACUUACUAUUAUUGGUCUAUAUCCGUGGACACAGAAAUAUAUUUUUAGUGAGAAGAGUUCAGUUGUGAGUCUUUAGUGGAGUGUACACACAACUAACGAAUAUUGAUUAAUGUGGUUAAUGAGUUUAGCCAAUUAAUCUUAGAUCGUUGUAGCUUCUGAUCUGUAGGUCCACUAGGUCCCUUUCCUAGCUCGUAAAGGGUAAUGAGAUUUAUUUGUAUUAGUUGUAAUUUAAAAUGUUUAAAUUUAACUUGGGAAUUAGUAUAAUGUAUAGUGAUACAUUAUAAUAUAAAGUUUAUCAAACUUUACUAUAUAAAUUUAACUUUGGGGAUGAUUUAAAAUUAAUUUAUGAGAGAUAAAAUAUUUGAAUGAGUUCAAAUAUUAAUUUAAUGUAAAUUGGAUUCAUAUUAAAAUUAUUGAGAGAAACUUAUAUUUGAAUAUGAUUCAAAAUUAAUUUAAGUUAAAUAUAAGAUAAAUAAUUUAAUGUUAUUAGUUAAUUGGAGAAUUAAUUAAUAGUUUAGUUUAAUAUUAUUUAAUUAAAUGUGAUUUCAUUAAUUAUUAACUAAUUGAUUAAUGUUUAAUUAAUCAGUAGAUUUGAAAUAUAUAUUAAUUUAAUUGUUUGUAAAUUAAUAGAAUCUCAUAGUUCUCUUCUACUUCAUUUUUUAUUCCUAGAAGGAAAGAGAGUUAUAAUAUCUAGAAGAAAACAAUUUUCUUAAAAAAUGAAUAUAAUAAAAAAAGAAAAAAUAAGGCUAACGCUAUUGCUCUUUGCAAAAAGAAAAGAGUUUCUCUCAAUAUCUCUAAACUUUUUCCCAUCCCAAUUGGUUCCACAAACCAAUCUUAUCACAGAGGUACUCUUUGCAAUUUAAGCUCUCUUUGCAAUGGACAGUCUUCAAAGUUUUUUUAACGAUGUUUCUAAUGCUUUCCUUUCUCUCUCAUGUUUAAUAAAACAAAUUUCUCUUAAAACCUGUAGGGAGGCUACAUCGUAUCGAAUUUCAUACAACUGACGUGUUCAUCGAGUUACAACAAGUGCCGCACAAUAGUCUGUUCCAUGUUUGAAAAGUUGUGAGUGUGACACGCUGCACAUGAGGUUAGAACGAGACAUGGCAAGGCAAGCUCUACGCGCACCUGCCAACUUCUGCCACAAUAUUUUGUACGCAAGCUAAUGUCUUUGGGCUGUUUUUAUGGUAUUUGGAAAUUUUAAGCAAAGUUUUGAUAUUUUUAUGAUCAACAGGAAUUAAAUGGAAUUAUUUCCCAUUAUUUUCAUUAUUUUAGAUCAGAAGGAGAUCGAACAAAUUUAUAAGCCAAGGGUCCAAGCUACUCUCUAUAAGUGACAAAAAUGAGUUUAAAGUUGAUUUCUAAACAUGAAUUUACUAUCAAAUGUUUCAAGCAUGCUUUGAUGUUUGAAUAUUUGAGGAUACUGACUUAUAAAGUAUUUCCAAAGCAUGAAUUUAGAAACAUUUUGGUAAUGAAAAUUAUAAGCAAUCAUGAUUGUGCUAAGUUAUCAAAAUGUUUAAGCUUGAAAAUAAUAUUAGCAUGUUUUAGUCUAUACCUAAAAUAUUCUAAGAUAUAUAGCAACCCUUCGGGAGAGAUUUUCUUGUGCAUAGAGGUCAUUUGAUUUGGAUAUUCAGUAAAUACCUAGCUUUCCAUCAUUGGUAUUAGAUAAGAGAUGAAGACUUCUAAAGAUGCUUAGUUUCCCAUCUCAAGGGACGAGACCCUGUACGAAUGCCUAGUUUCCAUCUCAUUGUAGUUAUAACGAGAUAGGGCACAAUUGAUGCCUAGAGUUUCAUCUCGUAAGUAUCGUAUCACGGGAUAGGGCUUCUAUGCCUAGUUUAUUGUUUUUCGUCUUGACGAUUCUAGUAUAGCAACUGAAAGGGAAAGUUUGAGAUAAGUUGUUUGAGUUUGAUUUCAUUUAUGUUAAGAGUUAAUUGUUAAAUACUUAUUAUUUCAAACAAUGUUUUAUAAAACAAUCACUCAUUGGGCUAUUUAGCUCACUCUUUGGAUAAAUAUCCCCAUAUGGAUUACGUUGUUUGGAAAAUUAAACUGUCUUUAGUACUUCAAAGAAAACUUCCCUCCCAUGUCCUCUCACCUCAUGUCAUCCCAUUUGUGUUGAUAACAUGAAAAAUAUUUAGCACCUUUUAAUUGAUUAUGUCUUUGUAUCGAAAUGUUGGUUCCGUCUUCUCCAAACAUUCAAUAUUUGUUGGGAUUUUUUGCUCAAUCAAGGCUUAUUCUUGUUUGUUCUCGACCUGCUACCUAUGAUUUAUGAUUUUGUUUUGGACAUAUUAUUUUAUCAUUUUGUUUGGUUUUAUAUUUGUGGCUUUUUUUUUGUUUUGUUUUGUGUUUUGUUUUUUUUUUUUUUUGAAAAGGAGACAACCUCUUUAUUAAUAUUAAAAUAAUAAAAUAAUUAGACAAAAGCUCAUGGUACAAGAGAGUUAUACAAUGAACAUGUAACCAUGGAUCAGAGGGUGCACCUUGGCAUCUCAACUAGGUUGACACCCCCAUAGCACCCUCAUCAUAUCCAACCAAGCUAAAACCCAUAACAAAGGAGUAAUGUCCAAAGGCAAAACAAACACAAAAAAAGCCUUCUAUUUGUGGCUUUUGUUUUGAUCUUGUGUUGUCGCUUUUUGGAUGUGAUGAGGGCGCUAAGGGGGUGUCAACACUCAAACCUUAUGACGUAACAAAUGCAAAUUUUAUGACGUUUUUAGGGGUAGUCCCUCCCAUUACUAGCUCAACACUCAAACGGAGUCUCCUGUAUAAAAUAUAAAAUAAUACAGACACAAAUAGUGAAUGAAAUCUUAUGACGUAACAAAUGCAAAUUUUAUGUAUACUGCAAUUGACUAAAUAUUGAACAAGAAAGCCCAAGGGAAUACAAAAAAAUCCAACGUUUUUAGGGGUCAAUUUGAAAAAUGGCAAAAUUACUUUUUCUUUUCAAUUUUAGCAAACAACAUUUUUUGCACGUGCAUGGUAUUUUAUAAAAUACCAGAAUAUCAACAUUCUUCAACUGUAGUUAUUUCGUUUCUACAUUGUAAUUAAUUUAUGUUAUGCAUUUAUCAGUUUUUAAUUAUCUUUUACUUGAAAUAGAUACAUCAACUCAUAUCAUAAUAUUUUUCUUAAUAUCUCGAGUCUCAACUAAUUAAUUCACAUAUUAAUAACUUUAUUCAAUCAUACUAAUUUCAAAAUAACCUAAUUGAAUUUGAAUUUCAAAAUAACAAAAUUAUUAUUUUUCGGAAUUUGAGAGUCUCAACGAUAGAUUUUGUAUUAAAAUAACCUUAAUUGAAUUUCAAAAAUAAAAAAUAUCAACAUGUUCACUAUCUUUAUCUCAAAAUAACAUUAAUGCCUUGAAUAUCAAGAUAAUUAAAUUAUUAUUUAAAAUUGGAAGAAACUCAACAUUAAAAAAUAUUAACUUGUUCGCACACAAGCAUAGAAGCACUGCGCACACACGUACACAUGCACACUUACACACACGCGCACACACGCACAUCUACACACAGACACCCACAGACACACGAACGCAUGCACAUACACAUGCACACGCGCACGCAUGCACAUACACAUGCACACGAGCACGCAUGCACACGCACACACCUAUCCACACGCGCGCACAAGCACACACACAUGCACAAACGCACACACGCGUACGCACAAACGCACACACUUAUACACAUACGCACACGCGCACAAACACGCACGCACGAGCACACACACACCUAAGCACACACGCAAUAGCCUGCGCACACACACGCACGCACAAACACAUACAAACAUGCACACACCCACACAUAUAUGCACACGGACACUCGCAACAAACGCACGCACAUACACAUACGCACACCUACCUACACGCACACACGUACACACGCACAUAUGCAUAAAGAUGUAUAAAUGAGUUAAAAUUAAAAAAAAACUACAUUAAUUGUGUUUAGAAGGACUUUUAAACCAUGUUCAUUUGACUUAAUAACAUUAAUUAAACUAUAAUUUCUAUCAAUAUUGGCUUAAAAAGUGUCAUUCGUGUAAUUAUUUCAAUAUAAUGCGAUUUUAUCCAAUUCUAUUUGCAACAAACAGGUCGAAUAUGAACCAGUAGAUAUACAUGUCAUAAGAGAUAUAGGAACAUUUUUAUGGUCAUUUUGAAAAAUGCAAAACUUUUUGUAACGACCCAACUUUUCUAGGUAAGUCGAGGUCAUUAAUUUUUAAUAAAAGACUUUGUUGAUACAAAAUGAAGCGUAAGUCAAUUUAAAAAAAAAUAUGUCAGGCCUGAUUUUCAAAUAUCAAGAAAACUUAAAAAUAACACUAUUUACAAAUAAAAGUUUGUAAACUAAGUUUUUAGUACAUCUUAAACCUUAAAAGAAACAUAAGCGGAAGCAAAAUACACAUUUCCUAUGGCAAUCACGCUUCCUUCCUGCCCCUCGCCGGUUUGCCACCUUUAUUUCCUUUGCCUGAAAAUUAAACAUAAGAAGGGUGAGUAUUUUAAAUACUCAGUAAGAGACCCUAUACUGGUCUCGUCAGGGAAAAUAAAUUGUUAAAGUUCUAUUGGGACACCCUGUACAGUCGCAGUCUUGUGAUCCCGUAGGAUACACAUUCAGUCUAACGCCCCGAAGGACGUACAUAUCAGUCUGACGCCCCGAGGGACGUACAUAUCAGUCUAACGCCCCGAGGGACGUACAUAUCAGUCUAACGCCCCGAGGGACGUACAUAUCAGUCAAGUGUUCUGCAGAAACACAUAUCAGUCAAAUACUCCCGAAGGUGCAAAAUAAAUUGGUGAUCCCGUGGGACACCUACAAGGUAAACAUCCCAAUACAACCUAACAAUUUAUCCCCUCAUUCCAUUCAACCCAUCUUUCAGUUACUUCAAAUCACAAAGUCCUUUCUUUCAACAUCCUAACAGUCAACUUAUUUUACUACAGUCAUAUGUCUGUCAAUAAUAUGCUAAUACAUCAGUCAAUCACUAUACAGUCAAGUCAAUACACCCCUCAGUUCACCAGCACAAACCACAGUUCAGUAUAAUCCACAUCCAACUGAAACAAAUUCACUAGUUCACAUCCAAUCUUUAUACAGCACAAUCUAUUAAUAUCAUCAUGUACACAGAAGCAUAAUUUCAGUCAUUCACAUGUAUACUUUCGGCAAUCCACAUCAAUUCACACAUCAAUGUAUAUAUAUAUGUUUCCAGUCAAAUACAACAUACACUAAACAUUUAGUCUGCAAUCAAACAUGUACAUCUUAAUCAUCAUCCAUACAGUCCAACACAACUCAAAAACUUUAGGUAAGUCCAGUAGAAAAUCCCUUACCUCACUUUUAUGCAAGUUCUUCAAUCUACUAAAUCCAAUGAAUCAAAUCCUAAACAUAAUCAAUCAUAAAAUCAACAUCUUUCUAAAUAGUUUCAACCAUUCAAAUUACCCCAUAUGUAAAUUCCACAACUUACCCAAGAAGUGGAAAAUCAAGUCCACUUCAACCUUUUGGAAAAUCAAGGAUUCGCUCACUGAAUCAAGAUGUACCUUCAAGAAUUAAGCAUUUCGCCAACAAUUAAAUCCAAUGGCAGCAUCCAACAAAAACCAAGAAACCAACAAAAACCAUAACUUGUUCUUACCCAAAUAUGAGCCCAAUGGUUCACGGCGAGGCAGAUCUGGACGACGAUUUGCUUUGCGAGGGAGGCACGACGGUUGUGAGCGAGAGGCACGACGGUUACAGGCGGAUGGGCGCGACGGUUUAGAUCUGAAGAAGAAAAGAGAGGGUGGCGGUUGGGUUCGGCGAGCGGCGGCGGUUUUGCUUCGCGAACGGAGAUGGAGACGGCAAUUCGGCGCGCGGGACGACUGCAACGCAAAUCUGGACUGGCAGCGGCACGGUCUUGCUUCGCGGCUGGGUAUGGUGAAAAAGAAAGAGAAACGGAAGAAGAGAAGUCUCGGGUGGCGGUUGCUGGGCUACGGCGGUUGCUGGGCUGCGGCGGAAGGAGAAAAUGGAAGGAAGAGAUCGGCGGAAAGAAGGAGAAGAUGGAUGGGAGUCACGAUCGCACGGGAAGAAGAAGGGAGAAAAGAAAAGAAAAGAAAAGAAGAAAAGAAAAAUAAUAAAGAAAUUUUUAAUAUAAAGUAAAAUAAAAAUAUAUAUAUAUAUAUAUAUAUAUAUAUUACCUUUUUGGGCAUUACAUUCUUCCCUCCUUAAGAAACUUUCGUCCUCGAAAGUUCUAAUCCUGAAAUAACUCUGGAUAACGAGUCCUCAUUUCUUCCUCUCGCUCCCAUGUCGCCUCUUCAAUUCGAUGAUUCCGCCACAAAACCUUUACUAAUGGAAUGCUUCUAUUACGAAGCAUCUUUACCUCUCUAGCCAAAAUCUCCACAGGUUGUUCAACAUAGCUCAAAUGCUCGUCAAUCUCCAAGGUUCAUAGUCCACUACAUGAGAUGUAUCGGCCACAUACUUCCUCAACAUCGAAACAUGGAAAACAUUAUGAACUGCAGAGAGAGAUGGUGGUAAUGCCAAGCGAUACGCCACAACACCAACCCUCUCUAAGAUCUCAAAUGGUCCAACAAAACGAGGACUUAACUUUCCCUUCUCAAAACGCAUAACACCCUUCAUAGGUGCUACCUUCAAGAAUACCUUUUCUCCCACAUCGAACUUAAGGUCUUUUCGCCGUACAUCUGCAUAACUCUUCUGUCUACUCUGCGCUGUUUGCAUACGCGUCCUAAUCGUUUGAAUAGCCUCAUUAGUAGACCGAACUAAUUCAGGUCCCAUCAAUCUAUGUUCACCAACCUCACUCCAACAAACAGGGGUUCUACAACAUUUGCCAUACAAAGCCUCAAAUGGUGCCAUACCGAUGGUAGCCUGGAAACUGUUGUUAUAAGCAAACUCCAUCAAAUGUAGAUGAGAGUCCCAACUACCUGGAAACUCUAUAACACAAGCUCGUAGCAUAUCCUCUAAAACUUGGUUCAAACGUUCAGUUUGACCAUCAGUCUGUGGAUGAAAGGCUGUACUGAAAUCCAAUCUCGUACCCAUAGCAGUCUGAAGUCCCUUCCAAAACUUGGAAGUAAACCGUGCAUCCCUAUCAGAAACAAUCGAUACAGGCACUCCAUGCAGUCUCACAAUCUCAGUUAAAUACAACUCUGCCCACUUACUAGCAGUAUAAGUGGAUUUUCCUGGUACAAAAUGUGCCGAUUUCGUAAGCCUGUCUAUGACAACCAGAAUCACUGUGAAACCCUUCAGGGUCUUAGGCAGCCCUGAAAUAAAAUCCAUCGACACAUUCUCCCACUUCCACUCUGGCACACUUAAGGUUGUAAUAAACCUGCUGGUUUCUGUCUAGGUGCCUUAACUUGCUGACAUACUAGACACUUACUAACAAAUUCCGCCACUUCCCUUUUCAUAUUCCGCCACCAAUAAAAUCGUUUUAGAUCCUGAUACAUUUUCGUGCUACCAGGAUGCAUGGAAAAUGGGGAAUUAUGGGCUUCAUCUAGUAAGUCAAUCUUAACUGUACUGUUCGCUGGCACACAUAAACGUCUCUCAAACAUCAACCCACCAUCAGAGGAUAUGGAGAACUCAUCAGUCUGCCCUGUUUCAACAAGGCGACGUCUCUCCAUCAAAUAAGGAUCAUUACUCUGAGCAUCAACAAUCUUGUGCCUCAGAGUCGGUUGCACCGUUAAUUGAGCUAGCUGUGAGGUGACUCUCCCCACAGACACUGCAAUCUCAGCUCUCUCCAAGUCUCGAUGCAAUGGUACCUGUCUAGUAAUGAGUGCUGCCGAAUGUGAUACUUUUCUACUAAGAGCAUCAGCCACCACAUUCGCCUUACCAGGAUGGUAUAAUAUCUCACAGUCAUAAUCUUUUACCAACUCGAGCCACCUUCGCUGUCUCAUAUUCAACUCCUUCUGAGUGAAGAAGUACUUUAGGCUCUUAUGGUCAGUAAAGAUUUGUAUCUUUUCACCGUACAAGUAAUGUCUCCAUAUCUUCAAUGCAAAAACCACUGCUGCCAACUCCAAAUCAUGUGUGGGGUAGUUCUGCUCGUGACUCUUCAACUGACGAGAGGCAUAAGCAACCACCUUACCUUUCUGCAUCAAAACACAACCCAGUCCUUUCUUGGAAGCAUCACUGUAAAUCACAAAACUUCCAGAUCCAUCUGGUACAGUAAGGACCGGUGCAGUAACUAACCUUUGCUUUAAGUUCUGAAAACUAUCCUCACAAGCUGGACUCCAAACAAACGGAGUUCCCUUCCUUGUCAACUGAGUCAAAGGAGUAGCCAAACGUGAAAAAUCCUCCACAAACCUCCGGUAAUACCCUGCUAAACCCAGAAAACUACGAACCUCACUAACUGUGAGGGUCGAGACCAACUGGUAACCGCUUCUAUCUUUGCAGGGUCUACUGAAACUCCCUCACUGGAAACCACAUGACCAAGAAAAGCCACCUGCUUCAACCAAAAUUCGCACUUAGAACUUAGCAUACAGUUUAUUGACUCGAAGAGUCUCUAACACCUUAUGUAAGUGUUCCUCAUGUUCGGCUUCAGUCUUGGAAUAAACCAAAAUAUCAUCAAUGAAGACUAUCACAAAAGUGUCCAAGAAAUCCUUAAACACCCUGUUCAUCAAAUCCAUAAAUACAGCAGGUGCAUUAGUCAAACCAAAAGACAUUACUAUGAAUUCAUAAUGUCCAUACCUCGAACGAAAAGCAGUCUUAGGAAUAUCACGGUCUCUAAUCCUCAACUGGUGAUAACCUGACCGUAAGUCAAUCUUAGAGAACACCGUGGCUCCCUGUAACUGAUCGAACAAAUCAUCGAUUCUGGGUAAAGGAUACCUGUUCUUGACUGUUACUUUAUUCAACUCUCUAUAGUCAAUGCAAAGACGCAUCGACCCAUCCUUCUUCUUCACAAACAAUACUGGUGCACCCCAAGGUGACACACUAGGUCGAAUAAAGCCUUUGUCAAGCAAUUCCUGUAACUGUACCUUCAGUUCUUUCAACUCAGCAGGAGCCAUCCUAUAAGGGGCUCUAGAAAUAGGAGUAGUGUUUGGCUCCAACUCAAUGGCAAAAUCAAUCUCUAUGUGGCGCAGUCCUGGAAGAUCUUUUGGAAAUACAUCUGGGUAUUCUCUUACCACAGGUUCUGAAGUUAAAGAAGUCUCACCUUCCCUAGUAUCCACCACACUUGCCAAAAUACUCCAAGUACCCUGGCUGAGUAGUUUACUAGCUUUCAUAGCUGAGAUUACUUUAGGCAGUACUACUGUUCCUACUCCCUUGAAUUUAAAGCUAGAUGCAGUAGGGGGACUAAACACAACUUCCUUACGAGAACAAUCAAUACUAGCAUGAUUAGUAGCUAGCCAAUCCAUACCUAAAAUUACAUCAAAGUCACGCAUAUCUAAUACCAACAAGGUUACGUCCAGCACACGACCAGCUAUCUCAAUUUCACAUGCUUUAAUCUUUUCCUUAGACAACAUAAUUUCUCCAGACGGUGUAGACACUGACAAAACAUAGUCUAAGGGUUCCACCUCUAAGCAUGCAUGCGUCACAAAAAGCGAUGAAAUAAAUGAAUGAGAAGAUCCCGAGUCAAACAAGGUCAAGGCAAAAUGCCCUAAUACUGGUAAUGUACCUGUCACUACUGUGCCGGCCUUCUCUGCCUCUGAUCUAUUAGUGGCAAAGAUUGUACCCCGCUGUGGAGGUCUCUCUCCCUGACUGCUCGAUCCAGCCCCAGUAGAUCUCAAGGGACACCUAUCAGCCAUGUGUCCCUCUUGCUUGCACUUAUAACAGACUCUCGUUCCCAUCAAACAACGACCCAGGUGGCGUUUCCCACACGUAUUACAUACUGGCCUCUCUUGAGUAGUGUCUCCUGCACCGCCAGAACUCUGCUGGAAACUGCGAAAAGAAUCACCUGGUCUCAUGUUCCUCUGAGGAACUCCUACAGUUCUCUGCUCUACUUUUCUCUUUUGACCGACGACGAUCCCUUAUUAAAGCUCCUUGGCUGUCUUUCAUCCUUCCCAAUACUCAUAUCCACUGCCAGACGCAGUGCUUCAGCUUGGGUAGUGGGCUUUAGUGCUCGCACAAAACCCCUAAUUUCAUCUCUCAAUCCCUUGACGAACCUAUCAGCUCUAGCCUGCUCAUUACUAACAAGCUCAGGGGCAAAACGUGACAGCAUAUCAAACUCCUGGUCGUACUCCUCGACUGUCAUAUAUCCUUGCUUCAACUCCAAGAAUUCCUGGCUUUUGGCGUCUCUAAGGUUAGCCGAGAAAAACUUGGUAUAGAAGCAGUUCUUAAACUGAUCCCAGGUAAUUUGCCUCACAUCUCCACCUAGCAUGCGCAUUGUAGUCCUCCACCAGAUAAUGCCUCUGUCCCUCAGUAGAAAAGCAGCACACUGAACUCUGUGCUCCUCGGACAUCUCAUGUAAUUAAAUAUGGUUUCCACAGAGGACAACCACAUUUCAGCUUUAGUAGGAUCCUCCAGUGACCCAUCAAACGUCUGAGGGUCAUACUUCCGAAAGUCCCUCAAAUGUUUCGCCUCAGCAGAAAGUUGGUUAGGUAAUUCUUGUGCAGGAGGGGCUGCUGGUGCAGGGGAACUACAGGUGCAGGUGGAACCAGGUGCCUGCUGGUUUUGAGCUAUAGCUGUCAUAAGUUCUGUAAACCUCUGCUCCAUGUGAGCAGACAGUGCAUCAAACUCAACGUGAGUCACGGGUGCAGCAGGAAUUCGCUGUUCAGCUUGACCCUCAGUAGGCUGAUUACGACCUGCUCCUCUACCUCGGCCUCCUGCUCUCUACGACCUCCUCUACGUACUUCUUCCCUUGGCGGCAUAAUUCCUAUUACCACCAACAACACUCUUUAACAAAAUCUUAAUCAUAAACAUAAGCAAGUCUUUAUCGUCAUGCAAUCUAGUUUAAUUUAGGCAAGGUCAUGCAAAUAAACCAUACAUAUAAGCAUCAAGCAUACCUGACGAGAGACGAAGGGUCGCGUUAGCCAUAGGAACACAAAAACAUAGACUUACAUCGUAAGUCAGUCUACAGAACCUAAAACUUAGGCUCUGAUACCAACUGUAACGACCCAACUUUUCUAGGUAAGUCGAGGUCAUUAAUUUUUAAUAAAAGACUUUAUUGAUACAAAAUGAAACGUAAGUCAAUUUAAAACAAUCUAUGUCAGGCCUGAUUUUCAAAUAUUCAAGAAAACUUAAAAAUAACACUAUUUACAAAUAAAAGUUUGUAAACUAAGUUUUAGUACAUCUUAAACCUUAAAAGAAACCAUAAGCGGAAGCAAAAUGACACAGUUCCUAUGGAAUCACGCUUCCUUCCUCCCCCUCGCCGGUUUGCCACCUUUAUUUCCUUUGCCUGAAAAUUAAACAUAAGAAGGGUGAGUAUAACAAUACUCAGUAAGAGACCCUUACUGUCUCCGUCAGGGAAAAAUAAUUGUUAAAGUUCUAUUGGGACACCCUGUACAGUCGCAGUCUUGUGAUCGCGUAGGAUACACAUUUCAGUCUAACGCCCCGAAGGACGUACAUAUCAGUCUAACGCCCCGAGGGACGUACAUAUCAGUCUAACGCCCCGAGGACGUACAUAUCAGUCUAACGCCCGAGGGACGUUCAUAUCAGUCUAGUGUUCUGCAGAAACACAUAUCAGUCAAAUGCUCCCGAAGGUGCAAAAUAAAUUGGUGAUCCUGGGACACCUACAAGGUAAACAUCCCAAUACACAACCUAACAAUUUAUCCCUCAUUCCAUUCAACCCAUCUUUCAGUUACUUCAAAUCACAAAGUCCUUUCUUCAACAUCCUAACAGUCAACUUAUUUUACUACAAUCAUAUGUCUGUCAAUAAUAUGCUAAUACAUCAGUCAAUUCACUAUACAGUCAAGUCAAUACACCCCUCAGUUCACCAGCACAAACCACAGUUCAGUAUAAUCCACAUCCACACCGAACAAAUUCACUAGUUCACAUCCAAUCUUUAUACAGCACAAUCUAUUAAUAUCAUCAUGUACACUAAGCAUAAUUUCAGUCAUUCACAUGUAUACUUUCGCAAUCCACAUCAAUUCACACAUCAAUGUAUAUAUAUAUGUUUCCAGUCAAAUACAACAUACACUAAACAUUUAGUCUGCAAUCAAACAUGUACAUCUUAAUCAUCAUCCAUACAGUCCAACACAACUCAAAAACUUUAGGUGAGUCCAGUAGAAAAUCCCUUACCUCACUUUUAUGCAGUUCUUCAAUCUACUAAAUCCAAUGAAUCAAAUCCUAACAUAAUCAAUCAUAAAAUCAACAUCUUCUAAAUAGUUUCAACCAUUCAAAUUACCCCAUAUGUAAAUUCACAACUUACCCAAGAAGUGAGAGAAUCAAGUCCACUUCAACCUUUUGGAAAAUCAAGGAUUCGCUCACUGAAUCAAGAUGUACCUUCAAGAAUUAAGCAUUUCGCCAACAAUUAAAUCCAAUGGCAGCAUCCAACAAAAACCAAGAAACCAACAAAAACCAUAACUUGUUCUUACCCAAAUAUGAGCCCAAUGGUUCACGACGAGGCAGAUCUGGACGACGAUUUGCUUUCCGAGGAGGCACGACGGUUGUGAGCGAAGAGGCACGGCAGUUACAGGCAGAUGGCGCGCGACGGUUUAGAUCUGAAGAAGAAAGAGAGGGUGGCAGUUGGGUUCGGCGAGCGGCGGCGGUUUUGCUUCGCGAACGGAGAUGGAGACGGCAGUUCGGCGCGCGGGACGAUGCAACGCAAAUCUGGACUGGCAGCGGCACGGUCUUGCUUCGCGGCUGGGUAUGGUGAAAAAGAAAGAGAAACGGAAGAAGAGAAGUCUCGGUGCGGUUGCUGGGCUACGGGCGGUUGCUGGGCUGCGGCGGAAGGAGAAAAUGGAAGGAAGAGAUCGGCGGAAAGAAGGAGAAGAUGGAUGGAGUCAGAUCGCACGGGGAAGAAGAAGGGAGAAAGAAAAGAAAAAGAAAAAGAAGAAAAAAAAAUAAUAAAGAAAUUUUAAUACUAAAGUAAAAUAAAAAUAUAUAUAUAUAAUAUAUAAUAUAUAUAUAUAUAUUUACCUUUCUUUGGGCAUUACAUUUUUUUUUUAAUUUUAGCAAAUAACAUUUUUUGCACGUGCAUAAUAUUUAUAAAAUACCAAAAUAUCCACAUUCUCCAACUAAAAUUAUUUUGUUUCUAUGUUGUAAUUAAUUUAUAUUAUGCAUUUAUCAACUUUUAAUUAUUUUUUACCUGAAAAAAGAUACAUAAACUCAUAUAUAUACUUUUUUCUUAAUAUCUCGGGACUCAACUAAUGGAUUCAAGACUUUAACUUUAUUUAAUCUUACUAAUUUCAAAAUAACCUAAUUGAAUUUGAAUUUCAAAAUAACCAAAUUGAAUUUCAACAUAACAAAAUUAUUAUUUUUCAAAUUUGAUAAUCUCAGAAAUAGAUUUUGUAUCAAAAUAACUUUAAUUGAAUUUCAAAAUUAAAAAAUAUCAACUUAUUCACUCUUUAUCUCACAAUAAUAUUAAUGGCUUGAAUAUCAAGAUAAUUAAAUUAUUGUUUUUAAAAUUGGGAGAAACUCAACAUUAAAAAAUAUCAACUUAUUCACACACAAUCACACGCGCACACACAUACAUACACUUGCACGCACGUGCACCCAUACACGCACACACACACGCGUGCACACACACACACACACACAAACGCACACAUGCACACGCACACCAAACCGCACGCACACAAAUACACACACACACGCACACUAAUGGUUCAAUUUCAUCGAUUGUUCCUAUUUUUCUGACAGUUUAUUUUUGCCAUCGAUAGAGGAUCUUCCGACAGACCUGCGUGACGGUGUGUGUUGACAGCUUAAUUUCGUUGGCAAAAGAAAAGUCGAUUAGUUUUUGAAGAUUUACUGACGAUAUUUGUCAUCGACAAAGGGUAAAUUUCUUGUAGUGCAUGUACAUCAAACAUAUCAAAUUUGUUAAGUGUACCAAUGAAGUAUAAGAAGUUUAUUAGUGGUGUAUCAAGCGUAUCAAACUUAUAAGUGAAGUCUUUAAGUGUAUCAAACUAAUCAAGUGUAUCAAGGUCUCAGGGUAUCAAGUGUAUCAAGAAGAAUCAAGUGUAACGAGAAGUAUUAUGUGGAACGAGAAGUAUUAUGUGUAUGAAGAUGUUUCAGGUGUGUAUCAAAAAGUAUCGAGUGUAUCAAUGAGUACCGAGUGCAUGAAUUGUAUCUAUCAAAUGUAUCAAGUGUAUCAGUAAGAAAUAUCAAGUGUAUCAAGCGGUAUUAGGUGUAUCAGACGUGUAUAAGGUGUAUCAAAUGUACAUCAAUAACGAGGGCAUUUGUGACAUUUUACCUCUUGAUGUGUGAGUUGGUCUUUGUUUUUGUCAUUUUCUCAAAUAAUAAAGUAUGUGUUCUAUGAACUUAAUUAUUAUAACUUACACUACUACAAAAACAGGCUCUCUUGACGUUUGCAGUUUUCCUUUCUUGACGUUUUUUUCAAAAAACGUCAAGAAAGAUUUCAUUUUUAAUAAAAAACGUCAAGAAAUUUUUUGAAACAUCAUUCUUGACGUUUAUUAAAUGUCAAGUAAAAUAAAUUUUUCUUUGACGUUUUUAAAACAUCAAGAAAUAUCUAUUAAUUUUUUGACGUUUUAAAACGUCAAGAAGCGUAUGAAUUCGACAUGCUUGACGUUUCUUAAACGUCAAGAAUUUAAAAUUUUACUCGACGUUUUAAAAACGUCAAGAAAUUCAUAAAAUAUUCAAGAAUAUUUUUUAAAUUACACUGAGAAGGUAUCGAAUUUUAAUUUUCAGCUCUAACAUUUUUCCUAAUCUACUUUUUUCUUCUUCACGACUGAGUAUUCGAGGGAGUCAUUUUUUGAAUUUGUUGACAUUUUUUAAACGUUAAGUAAGAUCAUUUUUUUUUUUACAUUUUAAAAAUGUCAAGUGUUAUUAAAUAAAUAUAAAAAAUAUAUUGGGCUAAUUUUAUUUCUUUAAAAUCUCUUUAAAUAUAUAGAUACAAUAAUAAAAAUCUCUUUAAAUAUAUAGAUACAACAAUAAAAAUUUCUUUAAAUAUAUAUAGAAAAAAAAUAUUGUACUAAUAUUAUUCAGAAUCACUUUAAAUAUAUAUAGAAAAAAUUAUUGUGCAAAUAUUAUUUUUUAAAAAGCCCUAGCCCCUUUCUACUCAAAACACGCGUGUUCCCCUUUCCCUCUCCAGCCGAAAUCCUUCCCAUUCGAAAAAAGUGUGUUCAGCAGUCGUCGUUCGCUUUCAACGCCUAUCCGUUCGCCUUCAACGUCUGUCCGUUCGAUUUCACCGUCGAGUUCCACCUCUUCGAAUCCCUCACGUCCGUCGUUUCAAAGUCCUUCGUCCGCUGCAUUCCAUCUUUCCAAAAUCCCUCAGUGCCUCACGCUACUGCGUGCCCGUCAUUUCGACUUCACCAACGAGUGCCUCACGUUCGUUGCUUCAAAAUCCAUCAUCCACUAAGUUGAGGUUAGGCUUUUAUUUCCCUAAAACAUAUAACAAUUUCAUUAUUCUUCAUUAUAUAAACUCAGAUGGCAUGAUUGGCAAUAAUAGAUAGGAAGGAUGGAGGUGUAAACUUCGAAUUGAUUGAAAUUCGUAUACUUUUAUUCAAUCUUUAAAGUACUGUAGUUUUUCUUCACCAUCAAAUUUUAUUAGGAUUUAAAGAAAACAAAUGAAUGUAUGAACAAAUUUUUGGGAGUGCAUGUCAUAUAAUCAACUUCCCUCUUUCAGUAAUUUUGAAGAUCUCAUAUAACAAUACUACUAAUUGAGAGCUUUGGAGGAUGAGUCAAUUCUUCUCCCUUCGUGAAAAGAAAAAGAAAAAAAGAUCAUGUAUUCUCUUUGUUUGUUACCUUAUGUUGUCCAAGGUUUUGCCUUCUUCCUUAAUAAUUUGGAGGUGUUUUAACUAAUUUUUUCAUUCACCCUCUUUUUGCCAUAGUUGCUUUUGUGUGCAGCUUGAGAUUUUUAAUUCAAUUGUGUGUUUUUACUUUUUUCUAUUGGGUGAAUUCUGUUUUGACUUUUUUUAAGCUAAAUAUAAUUAAUUGUUUCCUAUGGAACCAUAACCUUGAUCUUGGUUAUAGAUUUCAUUUUAAGGUAAAAGUAAAACACUCUUAUUUGAAUGAUUAUGUUGUAUUAUCCAUUGAAAGACUUGGUGUUGUAAUUGCCUUGUCUUCCUCAGGUAUUCUGUUGUAUGGUUGAUUACGAUCUUCAUGAUUGGAAUCUUUGUUUAGUGAAGCUCAUUUUGUUUGAUUUACUCAGUCGUGCAAUUGCUUUCUUUUUUAUGAUCACUUUAAAAAAGAAAUGAGUUUAGUUAGUUCUUUUAAUUUUCUUAAGUUUCAUUUGUAAUGCAUGAAAAUCUCUUAGCAGUAGAAACUGAAGACCAUAAUUGUAGAAGAUUUGUAUAGAUUGGAUUCACAUUCUCAACAUUGGUUAUACAGGCAUUACUUAUCAUUGUCCUUCCACUUUAAUUAUCAAUAGUGACAAUAACUUUAUUUCUCAUUAGAUUUACAAUGAUGGAUAAAUCUUGGAUGCACAAGAGUAGAUUGUCUAAAGAUUAUGAGUUGGGUGUGGAAAACUUCAUCAAAUUUGGAUUUUCUAAUACAACUAGCUCCUAUAUUCGUUGUCCUUGUUUGAAAUGUGGGAAUUGUGAAAAACAUAGUAGAAAGGGUGUUAGAGAUCACUUGUAUGUUAAUGGUAUUGAUGAAAGUUAUAAAUUUUGGUUUUGGCAUGGGGAAGAACUUCCUAACUCAUCCUUCUAUGAUGAAUCUUCAAAGUUUGACACCCAUACAUGUGAAGAUCAGGAUGUUGGAAGUGUAAAAGAAAUGAUUGAAGUUGCUCAUGAGGAGUAUUCAAAAGACCCAACUGGAUUUGAGAAGUUGCUUAUUGAUGCUGAAAAACCAUUGUACGAAGGAUGCAAAAAGUACACAAAGUUGUCUACUCUAGUCAAAUUGUAUAAUUUAAAAGUUAGGUAUGGAUAGAGUGAUACUAGUUUUUCAGAAUUACUUGAAACUUUGAAGGAAAUUCUGCCUAAUACCAAUGAGCUCCCGAAUUCAUUGUAUGAAGCAAAGAAAACAUUAGGUGCAUUAGGAAUGGAAUAUGAAAAGAUUCAUGCAUGCCCGAAUAAUUUUGUCUCUAUAGAAAAGAAUUUGCUAAUGCAAUUGAAUGUCAUGAAUGUUGUCAAUCAAGGUGGAAAAACGUCAAGGAUACAAAUGAAAGGAGAAAGCAAAUUCCCUCUAAAGUGAUAUGGUACUUUCCAAUCAUUCCACGAUUUAAAAGGCUAUUCAGAAGCAUUGAAUGUGCUGAAAACUUGACUUGGCAUUCUACUGAAAGAAUUAAUGAUGGUAAGUUACGACAUCCAGCCAGACUCUCCAGCAUGGAAGUUAGUAGACAUGAAAUGGCAAGACUUUGGUUCUGAACCCAUAAAUCUUCGUUUAGCAUUGUCAGCCGAUGGAGUAAAUCCUCAUGGUGACAUGAGUUCUAAAUACAGUUGUUGGCCGGUAGUGAUGGUUAUUUACAAUCUUCCACCAUGGUUGUGUAUGAAAAGAAAGUACAUGAUGCUAUCAAUGCUAAUUUCAGGACCAAAACAACCAGGGGAUGACAUAGGCAUAUACUUAGCACCACUAAUUGAAGAUUUAAAACUUUUAUGGGAAAGUGGUGUUGAAUGUUAUGAUGCUUAUCGAGAAGAACCAUUCAACUUAAGGUCAGUUUUGUUGUGGACAAUCAAUGAUUUUCCUGCAUAUGGUAACCUUAGUGGAUGUUGUGUGAAAGGGUAUAAAGCAUGCCCAAUUUGUGGAGAUAAUACAAAUUCUAUAAGGUUAAAGUAUGGGAAGAAAAUGGCAUACCUUGGACAUCGUAGAUUUUUGGCACGAAAUCAUCUGUAUCGACGACAAAAGAAGUCAUUCAAUGGUAAAAAAGAACUUGAUACAAUUCCAGAGCCACUUUAUGGGGAGGAUGUGUAUUUAAAAUUGAAAGAUCUUGAAUUUUCUAGAGGGAAGAAGAACCAUAAGAAACGGUUGAUGAACAGAAGUGACAAAAUUUGUUGGAAUAGAUUAUCUUCUUUUUUUGAGUUGCCAUACUGGAAGGAUCUUCAUGUUAGACAUUGUUUAGAUGUGAUGCACAUUGAAAAAAAUGUUUGCAUGAAUAUCUUAGGUACAUUUCUUGAUAUUCCUGGAAAAAGUAAGGAUGGAUUGAAUGCUAGACGCGAUUUAGUUGAUCUAAAACUUCGACCAGAGCUUGCCCCUAUCAGAAUAUGUUACUCCUACUAAUUACUUUCAUUAUGUAAAAAAGACAUCUAAACGUGAGGAUGAGAUUAUACUUGAGAAUAAAGAACUUCGAAGGCGUGUAAGCGAAUUAGAAGCACAUAACCACUCAAACUUGUCUAGACCAUUAUCUGGACAUGGUAGCUGUUCGAAGCCAAAUAUCUUAGAAGAGAGUGACUCGAUGAAAAUAAUCAAAGGGAAGAGUAAGUUGAUGGAUAAAAUCGAAGGGAAAGAGGUGGAGGAGAUCAAUGUAAAUGACGACAAAGUAGAGUUGGACAUCUUUAAGGUAUGUGAUCGAUCCUCUAAUAAACUCAAAUUCUUAAUAUUCAUAUCAUAUUGAAAGUGAAUGUUUUUCUUGAAUUAGGAGAGAGCCUUAAUAAAAAUGACUAAGGAAAAAGAGGUUGUCUGUGAAUCGACGUCAGUUUUGCCAAUGGGAAUGAAGUUGAUUCUCAUAUACGUUGAGAAGAUAAUGGAGAAAGAUUCUAGUAUCACUAUUCCACUACUGUUGGCAUUUUUGGUAUUAGUCGAAAGACUUCUGUUCUCCGAGAGGACAUCAUUGAUCUUUGUAACAUGAAUGAGGUCAAAACAUUUACAUUGGUGGCCUAUAUGACGUAAGUAUCAAUUUCAUUUCUUUAGAUCUAAAUUUAUGUAUCUCGUUUACAAGUUUAUAAUAUUUUGUAGGUACUUGUAUUCAUCUGUUCUUGGUUCGAAGGAAACUAUACAGUAUGUCUUUGUAGAUCCAUCCCUCACCUCUGUCGGACACUCGCAAGAAUCUCGAGUUCGACACUUAUGCAGUAGAUUGAUGGUCUCAAAGAUUAACGAAAUAGUUCUUGCUCCUUUUAAUCCUGGGUAAGUCAAGUUAUUUUAUUACUUGCAUUGCAAAAAACUAGUACUAAUAUUUUGUAUAAUUAGGGGUCAUUGGGCACUGCUGGCCAUAAAUGCAUAUGAUGAUAUAGUAUUUUACCUCGACUCACUAAGGACAACAUCGAAGUCAACUAUAAGAUACGUCACCGACACGUAAGUUAAUCUAGUAUUUCAUUUAGUGUUGAUUCUUAUAUGCAUGUACACAAUAUUUAAACUAUUUGUUCAAUCUUAUCUUGUCAAAACAGAGCAAUAGCGAUGUUUCAGUCACAAAAGAACAUUAAAAAAAGUAGAAAACAAACUUUAUGGCUAACAGUAAAGGUAAGUAUCAACUUUUAAAGUCAUUAAAUUUUUGUAGACUACUAGCAAUUAGGAUUACUUUGUUAUUCAAAUUUGUUGCUUUUAUAUAGUGUCCACUGCAAGGAAGUAUUGAGUGUGGAUACUAUGUGAUGAGGUAUAUGAGAGAAAUUGUGACUAGGGGAAGCAUUGUCAUAUCCGAUGCGGUAUGUUAUAUAUCAAACUAUUGGUUUUGUGAGUUAAUUGGUUUAUUUGUAUAGUCAGUUAAUUCAUUUAAUUUAUUUUGUAUGUUUAUUGAUUGAUACACGAAGAUCAUACUCACAGGCAGAACUACACGAGGUGCGAGUUGAGUUAGCUGACUUUUUGGGUUCUUACAUAUGAUUAUGACCAAUAUUUUGUGAUUCUGAAGUAGGAAAUUUUUUGUUGUGUCGCUUCUUUAUGACCCUAAACUUUAUGUAUAGAAACUUUAGCCGAUAAUUCUUUUGAAUUGUUCAUAUGGAGGAAGGGGGGAGGGGGGUUCAUUCGUAUAUAUUUUUAUUAUUGUUAUAGCUAGCAUGUUUUGUGACUUUUUAAGUUGAUUUGGAUUCAUGGCAAUGUAAUGCCAUAUGAAAUCUAAUGUAAAGCCUAUUUCAUUAUGUAUAUGUAAAGUCUUGGAAUUGAAUAUAUAUGGUGAAUGGUUUUAUUUAUAUAUGUUUGAGAUUUGAAACUAUAUUUGAUGAAUAUCAAAUAUCUAUGAAACUGUUGUGGACAAUUACAGGAUAAUUACAGGACAAUCAGAAUAUAUUUCUUUCCAUUACAGCAUAAUUCAAUUACAAUUUCUUUUUUUAAAAAAAAUUAAAAAAUGCUUGACGGUUUUAAAAUGUCACGAACAAUUGCAAGCUUGACGGUUUUAAACUGUCAUGAACAAUUGCAUUUUUACGGUUGACAAAUGUCAAAACAAUUACAUUCUUGACAGUUUUAAAAUGUCAUGAAUAGUAAAAUUCUUGACGGGUUUAAAAUGUCAUAAACCAGUUCAUCCUUGACGGCUUUAAAAUGUCAUAAACAAUACCAGUCCUGACGGUUCUAAAACGUCAUGAACAUAAGUAUAUUUGACGUUUAUAAAACGUCAACGUUCACUAUUCUUGACGUUUAAUCAACCGUCAAGAACUUUGCCUUUCUUGACGCUGGCUUCAACGACGUUUUUAAAACCGUCAAGAGAGCCGUCUCUUGAAGUUUAAAAACGUCAAGAGAGCCUGUUUUUGUAGUAGUGUUAUUUUGCCAUUUUCGCAAGUGUCCCUUAAUUGUAAUACAUGUAUAUGUGACAUAAUCUAAUCAAACUAACCAUAAAUGGACUUAAUGUAUCAGGUAUUAGGUGUAUCAGACGUGUAUAAGGUGUAUCAAAUGUACAUCAAUAACGAGGGCAUUUGUGACAUUUUACCUCUUGAUGUGUGAGCUGGUCUUUGUUUUUGUCACUUUCUCAAAUAAUAAAGUAUGUGUUCUAUGGACUUAAUUAUUAUAACUUAUUUUGCCAUUUUCGCAAGUGUCCCUUAAUUGUAAUACAUGUAUAUGUGACAUAAUCUAAUCAAACUAACUCAUAAAUGGACUUAAUCGAUCUCAUGGACCACGAAUUCUUCAAUUACUUGCAAAUUUGGUGAGUUCCUUCAAACAGUGGGCGAAGAGCUUAAUUUUGAGAGAGAGGAAAAGUCGUGAAGAGUAUAUGCGAGAGAGGGGGAACGUGCCAGAGAGCAUUUGCGAGAGAGCUAAAGACAGCGACGAUGUGGGAUGAAGUAAGGUUUUUUUCGGUCGUUGUUCACAGUGGGAUGAAAGCUUCGAAUUAUUUGUUUUAAAUCAAAAGGCGUAAUGAUUGAAGGAAAACAUUUAUUUUUUAUUAGGGUAAUUUUUAAUGACACAUAAUUUAUGUCAUUAAUUAACAAUGCGAAAAUUUUGUCAAGAAAACUCAAUUUGUGUCACGAAAAAUUUUGUAUUUUUAUUUUUAACGACACAUUUUAUUCCCUCAUGUCCCUUUUUCUUGAUUUCAAGUGUCAUUAAAACUUAUUGUUGAAUAAGAAAUUUUGAGACCAAUCACAAGUUGCCACAUCAUUUAUUAAGUUAAUGAUGAAAAGUACAAAUAAUUAAAUUUGGGACUAAUUAAAAUUGACAUAUGCUCCAAAUUAAAGAGUUGAAAAUAAAUAAAAUGGUCAUUCUAAUAAUGCCACAUGUUUUCAUAUUAAUAGUUGGAUUAAGUUAAUCAUUUUAGUUCAAUUAAAUAUUAUUUACUUGGACUAAGUUCAAUUAAGCCCAAAAAAUAAGCUUAAUUGAGCCCAAAGACUAAAUAUAACCUAAGUCCAUAUGGUUGAGCCCAUGCGUCUGGUCCAUGGACCAACUAGGUUCAAACCCAUAAAGCCCACCAGUGAACUCUAUAAAUAGAGGAAUUCUCCUCAUUUGUAGGGGUUGGAAAAUAUUGACUCUAGAAGAUCCAGAGAGAAUUCUUCAAAGAGCUAGAAGACUCCCUAACUCCUGAAGUUGACCAUCCUCGAAGAUUGAAGCUUCUUUAAAGAUACAAGCUUUCUUCCAAGGCUUCAACUUCAAGAACAUCACGUGCUUCGCUUCCUCCAAAUCAAGCUGAAGCAUCCAGUUGAGAGAGAAUCAGAGGAUCAAAUUCUAGAGAUUGAACCGCAUCGCAUCAAAUCAACAAAAAUACAACAUCAACUCAAGUUCAAGUCCACGAAUUAAAUUUCUCCAGAAAUCUCGUGCGAACAAAUUGGCACGCCCAGUGGGACCAUCUCUACCUCUCAUCUCUCUCUCAUCAUCUAGAUCUACAAGCAAAUCAAUGGCAUCAAAGAAAGUUGCAUCCAAAUCUUCAGCUGCAAGCGACACCUACACGGGACCUAUCACCUGUAGUCGUUCCAAGGGGAUCAUCCAAGGGCAAGACCAAGGUUCCGCCAUCGCGCAGAGCAUCCUGAAGCAAUUAAUGGAAUCUCCUAAAGCUGGAAUUGUCAUCAAGGAAAAUCCUCUAUAUAAUGAUUAUGAUUCUGCCUCUAGCAGGUCACUGAAAGAAGCACACCCAGAUGUGAUGUCCGUCAUGAUGGCUGAUGUAGCAGUCGAGACUGCCAUGGCGGAGAUGGAGAGAAAAUUAAUCUCCUGAUGAAGGUUGUUGAUGAACGAGACCACGAAAUUACAGCUUUAAAGGAGCAGAUGCAGACUCGUGAAACUCUGAAUCGAGUCAAACUUGUCGUUAAAGUUGAUGACAAAGGGAAGAACGUGGUACAAGAAAAUCAGCCACAACAACAAUCAACUUCUGUGGCUUCUCUCUCGGUUCAACAAUACAAGAUAUGAUCACAAACUCCAUCAGAGCACAAUAUGGAGGCCCAUCUCAGACUUCUUUCAUGUACUCUAAACCAUACACCAAAAGAAUCGACAACUUGAGAAUGCCGCUUGGAUAUCAGCCUCCAAAAUUCCAGCAGUUUGACGGAAAGGCAAUCCAAAACAGCACGUUGCUCACUUCGUCGAAACAUGUGAGAAUGCAGGAUCAAGAGGAGAUCAACUAGUCAGACAAUUUGUUCGAAGCUUGAAAGGAAAUGCUUUUGAAUGGUAUACUGAUCUGGAGCCAGAAAGCAUUGAGAGUUGGGAACAACUAGAAAAGGAGUUUCUCAAUCGCUUCUACAGCACCAGGCGUACUGUAAGCAUGAUGGAGCUUACAAAUACGAAACAAAGAAAGGGAGAACCAGUCAUCGACUACAUCAAUAGAUGGAGAGCUCUAAGUCUUGACUGUAAAGAUCGGCUCACCGAACUGUCGGCUGUAGAAAUGUGCACCCAAGGCAUGCACUGGGGACUCCUCUACAUUUUGCAGGGAAUAAAGCCCCGCACAUUUGAAGAACUGGCAACUCGAGCUCAUGAUAUGGAGUUGAGCAUCGCCAGUAGAGGAACUAAAGAUUUUCUUGUUCCUGAAGUAAAGAAAGAUAAGAAAGAGAUGAAAGGUGCUGAAAAGAUAGUGAAAAGCACCGCGAAAGAAUCUAUGGUCGUAAACACAACCCCGCUGAAAUUCUCCAAAGGAAAGGAAGCGAGGGUUGAAAAGAAGGAUGAUGGAAGCGAAAGGCGACGUCUGACUUUAAAAGAAAGGCAGGAAAAAGUUUACCCAUUUCCUGAUUCAGAUAUCGCUGACAUGCUAGAGCAACUACUAGAGAAGCAGCUGAUCCAGCUGCCAGAAUGUAAACGACCUGAGCAAGCAGGAAAGGUAGAUGAUCCCAAUUACUGCAAGUAUCAUCGGGUCAUCAGUCAUCCAGUAGAGAAAUGCUUCGUGCUGAAGGAGCUAAUUCUAAGGUUGGCUCGUGAGAAAAGGAUUGAGCUAGAUUUGGAGGAAGUAGCUCAAACAAACCACGCUGAAGUGACGAUAAUGUCUGAGGCUUCUUCGUCGAGAUUGAUUUUUGAGCAAAGGAAAAGCUUGGUCCAGUUCGGGACCUUUGAGCCUAUAGUUGUCCAAUUCUUUCAGGAAAUCUCAUACGAGGAUCCUCAAGGAGAGAAAAGACCAAUCGAAGAAGACGAUGAAGGGUGGAUAGUGGUGACCCACCGAAAGAAAAGACAGUCGAUCCCGACCCAAAGAGAGUCUCGCUCUUACCAAAACUAUAGAAGAGGAAAUAAGACUCAAAAGAAUAAGAAAAAGAAGAAGACUCAUAAGCUUAAGCUCGUACAUAAUGAAGACAUGAAUUUCUCUCGACCUCAACGCUUAGUGACCUUGCAGACUUCCUUCCAAAAAGCUUCCUUUGUGAUCAUCAGGAUGAAGACCCAGAAGUCGUUGCGUGUCAUGCUAUCAACACAACGGAGGAAGAAAUAAUCCCUCCAAGAUCACUAGAAGGAGAGGGAGUAUCAAAAGACCUUUCAAGGUUUAAUGUAGAGGAUCUAUUAUCACUUCCUCAAGAGACCAAAACCAUCCUUAUUGAUGCAUUGCUAAAUUCAAGAGCAUCAAGUUCGAGUACUCCGACUAUGACAUAUGAGAGUGGUUCUUAUUGUAUGUCUAUAGACUUCUCAGAUGAGGAUUUGUUGUUGGGAUCUAAACUUCAUAAUAGACCUUUGUAUGUUUCUGGAUACGUUCGAGAACAGAGAGUCGAUCGAAUCCUCAUUGAUAAUGGCUCAGCUGUCAACAUAAUGCCAAAGUCGACUAUGUGGCAAUUAGGCAUCUUGAUGGACGAGCUCUCAAAUAGCAAGCUAGUAAUUCAAGGUUUUAACCAAGGUAGCCAAAGAGCAAUAGGCAUGAUACGGUUAGAACUCAUAAUUGGCGACCUAAAGGCCAGUGCAUUGUUUCAUGUCAUAGACUCAAGGACUACUUACAAGUUGUUACUAGGGCGUCCUUGGAUUCAUGGAAACGGAGUAGUAACUUCAACACUGCAUCAGUGCUUCAAAUUUUAUCAGGACGGUGUAAAGAAGGUUGAAGCCGACUCUAAUCCAUUCUCAGAAGCUGAGUCUCACUUCGCAGAUGCAAAGUUUUAUUCAAAGAAUAAUAAUAUUUUAGAAGUUUUGCCUGCAGAAACCCCUCUUACAAAAGGAGAAGAUAAUUCACAACUGAAAUCACUCGCAACCACAGAACCACAUGAAAGUGCGAGAACCUUUAACUCUGGAAAGGGUGAAGCAUACACUAGCAGCACAAAGGGUAUGAUCUUGAAGGAUGAAAAUGCUGCAAACACACCAGUUUUGCGUUAUGUCCCUCUGUCAAGGCGCAAGAAAGGCGAAUCACCAUUCAUGGAGUCUCCAAAAGGUUUGAAAGUUGGUGACAUCGAAAUCAUAAAAGAAAGCUUCACUACACCACUAACUAAGAUAGCGAAGCAGGAGGUAAAGGUAGAUCUGGUGGAAGCAAACUUGCCCCAAAGGCGAACGAAAGACGGAUUCGACCCCAAGGCUUACAAAUUGAUGGCGAAAGCAGGUUAUGACUUCACAGCUCACACCGAGUUUAAAAGCUUGGAAAUUCAUGACCGACCUGAGCUCUCCUCAACUCAAAAGAAGCUUCUACGGAAGGACAUUCUAUACCCGUGUCGAGAAAAGGACUCGGAUACAAGUCGCCAGAACCGAUCCGUAUAACUAAAAAGGGAAGGAAAAAGUGGUUGACAUCAAUCAUAUAACUAUAGAGGAUGACAAUACUGACGUAAAAGAAGGUGAUAAUCAGAGAAUCUCAGUAUUUGAUCGAAUUAGACCAUCUGUUGCACGUCCCGUAGUAUUUGAAAGGCUAAGCAUGACAGAGGCAGAAAGAGAAAGGCUCCAGUCAGUACCAAACCUUGAGAGACAUUCGGUCUUUCGAAGGCUAACUACGACUCCCAUAAAGGAAGAAAGCACAUGCCAUGCCUUGACAACUACAAGACCAUCAGCCUUUGAAAGGCUAGGUGUGUCUAAAAAAAAAAUGUACAAGCACCCCGUGCUCCGAUUUUUAAUCAUCUCGGGGAUAAAGGAUCACACGACAACAUUGAUUCCAACAUAGCAAAGAAGAAGGAACCAAUGUCUCGUGUGAAAGUUUGGCGUCGAAUUAAGCAUACAGAUGUCGAUAAUUAUCGUAGUAAGAAGUUUCCUUGCGAGACAAAGGAAAAUGGAGAAAUUCAUAGCAACGUUCCUUCUCGCAUGAAAAGAAAAACUUUUGUUACUCUCAAUACAAGUCAAGGUUCGUUAAAGGUAAAAAGACAUGAUGUUAUACUAACGAAUCCUGAAAAAGAAGGGUCGGAACAAGGGGAAGGUGAAACUUCAUGUCAUCACAUCACCAUUAUUGAGGAAUCAGAGACUGGAACUCAUGAAGAAGACGCAGAAAAUGCCCCACAAAGUUUAGAGGAUGGUGGUCAAUCUACUGUAGACGAGCUAAAAGAGGUGAACCUUGGUACAAUAGAGGAACCACGUCCGACUUUCAUUAGUGCGUCCCUCUCUAACGAAGAGGUGGAUAAAUAUAUGAGUUUGCUCACCGAAUACAGGGACAUCUUUGCGUGGUCGUACAAGGAGAUGCCAGGACUUGACCCAAAAGUAGCAGUCCAUCAUCUUGCAAUUAAACCGGAUAUCGACCGAUUAAACAAGCACAACGACGUUUUCGACCGGAGCUUAUCCCUCAAAUCGAGGUGGAAGUCAACAAGUUGAUCGAAGCAGGAUUCAUUCGCGAGGUCAAAUAUCCAACGUGGAUAGCAAACAUUGUCCCUGUUAGAAAAAAAAAUGGACAACUUCGCGUUUGUGUAGACUUUCGCGAUCUGAAUAAUGCAUGCCCUAAAGAUGAUUUUCCCUUGCCCAUCACCGAAAUCAUGGUUGAUGCAACUACUGGACACGAGGCGUUGUCGUUUAUGGAUGGGUCGUCUGGAUAUAAUCAAAUACGGAUGGCCCUCUCAGAUGAAGAAAUGACAGCUUUCAGAACUCCAAAGGGAAUAUACUGUUACAAGGUGAUGCCCUUUGGAUUGAAAAAUGCCGCGCUACUUAUCAACGUGCCAUGCAGAAAGUGUUUGAUGAUAUGUUGCACAGGUAUGUUGAAUGUUAUGUUGAUGAUCUUGUAGUCAAAACAAAGAGACGACAAGACCAUUUGAAGGAUCUAAAAGUCGUGUUUGAUCGCUUGCGAAAAUAUCAGCUAAGGAUGAACCCUCUCAAGUGUGCGUUUGGUGUAACUUCAGGAAAAUUUCUUGGCUUCAUUGUAAGGCAUCGAGGGAUCGAAAAUAGACCAGUCCAAGAUUGAUGCCAUUCAGAAGAUGUCAAGACCUAAAAGUUUGCAUGACCUAAGAAGUCUCCAAGGACGACUGGCUUACAUCCGAAGGUUCAUCUCUAACUUGGCCGGUCGGUGUCAACCUUUUCAAAAGUUGAUGAGAAAAGGAGAAAAUUUUGUGUGGGAUGAAGCUUGUCAGAACGCUUUUGAUAGCAUAAAGAAAUACUUGCUUACUCCCCCAGUGCUGGGAGCUCCAGUACCUGACAAACCACUAAUAUUGUACAUUGCUGCACAAGAAAGGUCCUUAGGAGCAUUACUGGCACAAGAAGAGGUAAAGGGAAAGGAGCGUUCUCUCUACUAUCUAAGCAGAACAUUAAUUGGGGCUGAAGUUAACUAUUCUCCUAUCGAAAAGAUGUGUCUUGCACUUUUCUUUGCCAUUGAUAAGUUGAGGCAUUAUAUGCAGGCCUUCACGGUUCAUCUAGUGGCAAAAGCAGACCCUAUAAAGUAUGUUCUAUCCAGGCCAAUCAUCGCUGGACGCUUAGCCAAAUGGGCGGUUCUACUCCAACAAUAUGACAUUGUCUAUAUUCCCCAAAAGGCGAUAAAAGGACAAGCGCUAGCAGACUUUUUAGCAGACCACCCAAUUCCUUCGGAUUGGAAGUUAUGUGAUGACCUACCAGACGAUGAGGUUUUCUUCACAGAAGUUAUGGAACCUUGGACUAUGUACUUCGAUGGUGCAGCUCGAAGAAGUGGUGCGGGGGCAGGCAUUGUCCUCAUUUCUCCUGAGAAGCAUAUGUUGCCUUAUAGCUUUGCACUUUCCGAAUUGUGUUCAAACAAUGUGGCUGAAUAUCAGGCUUUGAUAAUUGGCCUUCAAAUAGCAUUAGAAAUCGGAGUGUCAUUCAUAGAGGUCUAUGGUGAUUCAAAAUUGAUAAUCAAUCAACUCUCGCUUCAAUAUGACGUGAAACAUGAAGACUUGAAGCCAUAUUUUGCUUAUGCUCGACAAUUGAUGGAAAAGUUUGAUAAUGUGAUGUUAGAACAUGUCCCUAGAGUAGAAAAUAAGAGAGCGGAUGCAUUGGCAAAUUUAGCCACGGCCUUGACCAUGCCAGAUGAUGUAACUCUGAACAUACCACUUUGUCAACGAUGGAUUAUACCCCCAGUUAGGCCUGAAUGUCAGGAAGUGAACAUGGCAACAUCCUAUUUGAUUGAUGAAGAAGAUUGGCGUCAACCCAUCAUAGAGUAUCUUGAACAUGGAAAGCUUCCAAAGGAUUCUCGUCAUAAAAUUGAGAUACGAAGAAGGGCAGCACACUUCAUUUAUUACAAGGGAACUUUAUAUCGCCGUUUUCUUGAAGGGCUCUUCCUUCGAUGUCUCGGAAAGGAAGAUUCGGUAAAAGCUCUAAAGGAAGUACAUGCAGGUGUUUGUGGAGCACAUCAAUCGGGACCAAAGCUUCAAUUCCAGCUAAGAAGAAUGGGCUACUACUGGCCUAAGAUGAUCCAAGAUUCAAUAGACUAUGUGAAGAAGUGUGAGCCUUGUCAAUACCAUGCAAACUUCAUACACCAACCUCCAGAACCUCUUCAUCCAACUGUGGCUUCUUGGCCUUUUGAGGCUUGGGGACUCGAUCUGGUUGGCCCCAUUACACCAAAAUCAUCAGCAGGACAUUCUUAUAUCCUAGCAGCAACAGACUAUUUUUCAAGGUGGGCUGAGGCCAUUUCAUUGAGAGAAGCCAAGAAGGAGAACGUGGCAGACUUUAUUCGAACACACAUCAUCUAUCGAUACGGUAUUCCACAUCGAAUCGUGACGGAUAAUGGAAAGCAAUUCUCCAAUAGUAUGAUGGACAAGUUAUGUGAAAAAUUCAAAUUCAAGCAAUAUAAGUCAUCCAUGUACAACGCAGCUGCGAAUGGACUAGCAGAAGCAUUCAACAAAACAUUGUGUAAUCUUUUAAAGAAAAUUGUCUCCAAGUCAAAGAGGGAUUGGCAAGAAAAGAUCGGCGAGGCAUUAUGGGCUUAUCGGACGACUCAUCGCACCCCUACAGGGGUUACACCAUAUUCGCUUAUUUACGGUGUGGAGGCUGUCCUUCCUCUCGAAAGGGAAAUUCCGUCACUAAGAAUGGCAGUACAAGAGGGAUUGACUACCGAAGAUAAUGUGAAGUUACGUCUUCAAGAAUUAGAAGCACUUGACGAAAAGCGAUUAGAGGCUCAGCAAGCAUUGGAAUGUUAUCAAGCGAGAAUGUCCAAAGCUUUUGAUAAACACGUUAAACCUCGCUCCUUUCAAGUCGGUGAUCUAGUACUUGCCGUAAGGAGACCGAUCAUCACAACAAGGCAUACAGGAAAUAAGUUCACACCUAAAUGGGAUGGACCUUACAUUGUUAAAGAAGUUUAUACAAAUGGCGCAUACAAGAUCGUUGAUCAAGACGGACUACGAAUUGGCCCAAUCAAUGGUAAAUUUCUUAAAAAAUUUAUGCUUAAUUUUGUUAGGUAAAAAAAAAAAAAAAAAAGUUGAACUACGUUAUGACUUGAUCCCUAUAUUAUAAAGGGUACGUAGGCAGCUUAAGGAAAACCUUAAGCCCAGUCCAGCAAAAAAAAAGUUGAACUACGUUAUGACUUGAUCCCUAUAUUAUAAAGGGUACGUAGGCAGCUUAAAGAAAACCUUAAGCCCAGUCCAGCAAAAAAAAAAAGUUGAACUAUGUUAUGACUUGAUCCCUAUAUUAUAAAAGGCAGCUUAAAGGAAACUUUAAGUUCAGUCCAAUAAAAAAAAAAGGAAGAAAGACAAAUUACAUUUAAUAGAAAAUAUGAUGAGGAGUGGAACAAUGAAAGAAUAAUUUUUUUUUUAUUAUUAUUAUAAACUUCUAGCAAAAAAAAAUUAAAAAGGCAUAAGUAGAUAAAUAAGAGAAAGCAGAGAAUCAUGGAGUCCAUUUAAAGUUCUUCAGCUCCUCUAGUGUGCUUUCUAAAGAUUCACGAAGUGUUGAUAGCAUUUUAGCAUCAAUAUCUCCAACGAUCGGGGCACAUUCGAGUUUGUCAAUUUCCUCACAAGUCUUCGAAAUCUCAUGUUGCUUCUGCUUCAGCUCCAGGUCGUUCUUAAAAAUUAUUCCAGAAAGUUUAGCAGACUCAACCCGCACCAUCUUUAGUUUUGCCUCUAGUUUAGCCUCCUUAGCGGACAGUCGUGUAAGACGACGUUUAGCAGUGUUGGUCUCUGCUAAUAUACGAUUCUCAUCAACUCGCAGAGUCUUCACAAAACCUUUUGCCUCCGUUAGCUGAACAUCCUUAGUUGAUUGGAGUGGAAAUGAGGAAUGUAUUUGAUUAUGGUUCUCGACACCUUGGAAGUAACCAUUCACAAGCUCCCUCAAAACAAUAAGGUUGUCGCUGCCGUUAGUCGCAAUCGCAUCAAAGAUCUUAUGCAUUUCUGGUUCAAGACUACUCAGUCGUUCAAAAGGGGUACGAAUGAUCUUCUGUCGUAGGUUUUCCCAUAAGGUUAUGGCAGCCUGUCGUCGGAGGUCAGAAAUUAAGCUGUCAGCACAAAAAUGAGAAAUCUCAGAAACUGUAAUAGGCUCUGUGCCUUCCACUUUUUGAGGAGGUCCCUUGAUCACAGGAGGACAAGCAGACACAAUAUUUGCGCCUAUAGGUUCCUUAGAGUUCCCAUUAUAAGAAAGUACAACGUUACAGUCUUCUAGAUUCAGCAUCAACUCUAGGGUAUCUUCGAUGUGUAGGUCAUGAUCACCUAAAGAAUACUACAAAAUAAUAUUAACAACAAGAAAUAAGGGGAGUAAAGGAGAGAAAAUACAAUCAAUAAAUAAAUAAAAUUGGGAGACGAAAAGAAACCAUGGGGGAAGGGACAUCGAAAAAUUGUGCAGCAUCAGGGACCCGAAUAGGAGACUCUUCAUCAUCGAUCGACUGUUUGUUAGGCUUCUUGGGUCUCUUCCAAUGGCGAUCAUCAUUGCUGCUUUGACUGUCCUCAAUACGUUUAGAAGGAUGCUUGGUAGCUAUCGAUAAGCGGUUGUCCUUACCCAUAUUGUCAAUACCACCUUUAAUAAGAUGUUUAAAUCGUGUAGAAAGAGACAAAUUAUCCACCAAGCGUUUUGUCCCUCCCUCAAUUUUCUCCACAAGUCGUUCAUCAGUUUCAUCGGAGCAUAUCUUCUGAUUUCCACUACCAAAAUUAUGUUCAAUCUUUUUUGUGGUUUUGGAUUUGAUGUGAGGGGGAGUAGGACGAUCUAUCAAAUGUUGUACUCCUUCUUGGAGGUAAUCACCGUGUUUUGCAAGCCACCAGACCUUAUAAUGAGAGGUAACAUGUGUGUCUGGAUUAGGGGCAGACACAGGAAGAUAUACUUGGGAAAGUGUAUUCUCGCGAAUACAAAUCAUCCAACAAUAUCGUACGUUAAAAAAAUUGGCUUCGGGAAUUUCUUCACCUAAGUCAUAUGGCACGUCUUGAUAAAAUCCAAAUGGUCGGCUAAAGCGACAAGGACUAUAAGGCUCAAUAACUGUGGAGGAUCCACAUUGCGAGGAUAGAAAACAAGAGCAAAUGCUUAUGAAAAAUGAAGCAUUCUAACUAAUUAACUCUCCAUCAUCCGUUAAGAGUUCGUCCUUAUUCUUUGUUGGAAGACACGCAUGCCAUGACACAUACUUUCCCUUGUGGAUAUGUGUUCGAGCCUCAAGAUUAGUAUAAUAUUUGGCCCCACCUUCACCAGAAAAUUCAACCAUGCGAGGACCCCUAAGACUCCUAGGGGCUUUAUAAUGAGUGUUGAAGUAAAGAGCAAGCCACCCAUGGACAUAGUGAAGAGGAAAACAGGCAUUUGAAUAACCAAGUGAUGAAGUAGAAUCAUGAACUUGGCGUAGGCCACUAUAAAUAUUAGCUAAAACAGGGACGGCAAGGCUAAAUGUGUAGCCUUCCGCCAUGAGGCUAGCAACCUUAAAAACCUCCGGACGAAGGGAAAGUUGCUUAUCAGGGAACACAAACACACAUAGCCAACAAGAGAGAAAUGCCGCUAGAUAGGUUUUGUCCCUAUGAUCAUCAGUGACGCUUAAGUCAAGGAACACUUUGAGUUCAGCUUUAGACCAGUCAGGACGUCUGAUGGGAAUUCCAUCUGGAUUAUGAGUUGAGCGAGGGCGAGAAGUCUUUUUAGGCUUUCGAGGAGGCGGUUUCGAAUACUUUACCUCAGAUCGUGUAACCCAAAAAGAGAUCCAUUCACUUACAGUGAUUUGAGAGUGAUCCAUGCGUUGAGAAACAAUGCGGUAAUAGGCUGCAAAUAAAUGCUCACAACUUCUUGGACAUACAUCAGGUGAUCCUAUUAAGUCUUGGUGGCAAGGAAUGCUUUCUUCAUAAAAUCUACCUUUAAUCGGGAGUCCUCCUAGUAUCCAUAAGUCCCAUAAGGAGAUGGACAUCUCACCAGCUGAGGUGUGAAGAGUGUUUGUUGAAGGACACCAUGCCUCGCAGAAAGCCCGAUCAAUGUCACUGUUGCGAUCAUAUGUAUAUAGGGAAGCCAUCACAGCAUUAAAUAGGGAGGCUCGCUUGAGUACUGCCGUAUUUCUAGCAACAACGAGCUCUAACCACUCCCAAUAAUGAGGAAGAUAGUAAAAUUCUCCAUGUACCUUGAGCACAUUUCCCCAACGAAUUUUUGGGUCGUUUAUAAUUCGACGACCCAACGUUGAUUCUGGAUCCUCAUUUGGAGGCUUGUUGUGAAUCGAAGACUCCAGAAACCAAGAUUUUAAAGAUGAAUUUGGAUUUACAAACCGUUCCUUGGACCAUUUAGGCAAAAAGAUAAAAUUGUCCUCGGGUAUUUGAGAGUCCAUAAUAUUCUCAUAUGUCCCCUCUCUCACAGGAAGAAUGAUCCCUUCCUCUAAAGAUUGAUCUACGUCCUUCAGGAUAAUUAAACACCUUUUGGUCGAGUCAGAAUACUCAGUGAAGUGCACCAUGAUGAAAAGAAGAGUUCCUGCAAAAUAAUAAUAAUAAUAAGAAGAAGAAGAAAUAGAAAAAAAAAAAAAAACCAAAACAAAAAAAAAAAAAAAAAAAAAAAAAAAAAAAAAAAAAAAAAAAAAAAAGAAAGAAGAAAAAAAAAAGAAAGAAAGAAGAAAAAAGGGGGGGGAAGAAAAAGCAAAUGGAGAUUGAAGCCCGACGAUGACAGAGUCGAUCUCUCCUACUAGGGCGAUAGAUCUGACGGCAAAAGCCCGAUCGUCCCUAGAAGAAGCUCAACAAAGUCAUUUCUGCAAACGAAGAUCGAAGCCCGACGAUGACAGAGUCGAUCUCUCCUACUAGGGCGAUAGAUCUGACGGCAAAAGCCCGAUCGUCCCUAGAAGAAGCUCAACAAAGUCAUUUCUGCAAACGAAGAUUGAAGCCCGACGAUGACAGAGUCGAUCUCUCCUACUAGGGCGAUAGAUCUGACGGCAAAAGCCCGAUCGUCCCUAGAAGAAGCUCAACAAAGUCAUUUCUGCAAACGAAGAUUGAAGCCCGACGAUGACAGAGUCGAUCUCUCUAACUAGGGCGAUAGAUCUGACGGCAAAAGCCCGAUCGUCCCUAGAAGAAGCUCAACAAAGUCAUUUCUGCAAACGAAGAUCGAAGCCCGACGAUGACAGAGUCGAUCUCUCCUACUAGGGCGAUAGAUCUGACGGCAAAAGCCCGAUCGUCCCUAGAAGAAGCUCAACAAAGUCAUUUCUGCAAACG